GCCAGCCAUGACCUGAACCGAUGCAUUUGUGUCAUUGUAUGCAGGAAAAUGAGGCAAGGAGGGAGGUGAAGAUGGAGUGUAGUAUCCCUUGUACUGUACAAUAGCUGUGGUGGUUGUGUUAUCAUAAAAAUUUUGAGCUGCUGGGGCAAUGGAAUAAGUUUUAGCCGCCAUGUAAUAGUGAUCCGGGUGUUGGUUAGCUUCUAGUAAGACAUCGAAGGUUUGGCCAGGAUAUAUUGUGAUAUAAUCUUGUGUCAAUGGUUUCAUGUAGCUACCAUCUGUUCCAACCACUGUCAUUUUAUGCUUGGCAAUUGAGAAGAAGAGAGCCUCGUGCAGGGCAGCAUUGAUUAUGCGAAGUAGAUAUGUCUUUCCAUGAUCCACCGUUAGCUUGAAUGUGUCUGCAAUUAGAAAAGGAAAGUUGUAUACUUACGACUAGAGAAAAGAAAAGGAAAAACUUUCCAUGAGGAUCCACCAAUUAUGAAGUGAUUGAUUUAUUAGGGGUGUAAAUUUGGCUCCAUAGUUCAAAAUUAUAUUUGGAUUGGCUUUUGCUCAUGUGUUAAAUCAUGGCUCUACCAUCCUCAUAGCUAUAUUCCUCUUUCUUAGCAUUAAGUUUUAAAUAUGUUGAUGUUAAUAAGAAAAAGUAAUAUGGUUAACAUACAAGAAAAUGAGAUCAGUGUACAAUUUUAAAAUGGGAAGUUAAACUUUAUACCUGAUUUUGAGCAUGGAUAUAGAUCACCGGGUUGUCCAUUUAUCAAUAAAGAAUCAGAGGCAUUGGGGUCAGCUCCAGUUGCAAGCCCUUCAUCUCGAACCGCAUUCACAUCACUCUUCCACCAUUGUCCUGCAUUUCAACAACUCCAAUAAUUUAGAUUUUGCUUUGUUGGUUAAUUCAUGAUAUGUAAAUUAACCUUUAAAAGCAACUACACUUAUACCUAAUAUGAUGGGAAUUUCUGCGUUAGGUUUGGGAAAAGGAUACUUGGUUCCAUUCUUGGGAUAGACGAUUAUAGCUCCAUGAACGGUGGCUCGAGUCCAGUCACUAUGAGCAUGCCACCAUAGAGUGCCUUCCUCAGAGGAAAGGAUGAUCUUCUGGCUAAACUUUGACCCUGGUUGAAUUGGGCAUUGUGUGAUAUACUCGGGACCAUCUGUCCAUGGAUAUCUAGGCAUGUUCACCCCAUGCCUGCAAAACGAUAACUAUACAUUAAAACUAGUACUAAUUUUUAGACUAACAAAAGAUGGCAUGUAGCAACAUAUUAUCAUAGUAACAAGAGGCAUCAACUAUAUUUCAAUGGAACUGAUGCAAAUAACCCUAAAAUAUUAUUUUAGAUUUAACUUUAUUUGCAAAGCAAUACAUUGCAGCCCCCUCUUAGAAAUAAAAGAAUGUAUGUCAUGCAAGCAUGUUGCCCACUGCUAUCUUUCUCCGAGACAUGCAUAGGACUUACCAGUGAAUGGUGAUAUUUUCUUUUCCCCUGUUAUAAACGUUGACGAUGAUCGUCUCUCCUUUCUUAGCAUAUAUAGUUGGUCCUGGAAAUUGUCCAUUUACUGUUAAGAUGUUCUUGGUGCUACAAAGCCUUGUAUAUGAAGCCUCCUUCACCUGCAACCAAUUAAAAGUUAACCAUGCAACCUCAUCCCAAAAGAAAUAUUACAUGCAUGAAUAGUUGCAUCGAUCCAUUCAUGCAAGUGUAUAACCAAUUAGAAAUUGAUAGCAUGCAUGAAGGACUCAAUGACACCAGGGUACCCGAAGACCCCAUGAGGGUCAUAACGGUGGAAAAUGAGAGCCACACUGCUCCCUAAAUAUUAUGAUCAAAAGGUGGCGUUAAGGCCAUAAUCAUAUAUAGUAUUUACCACAAAAGUAAGCCGACGAGUUGAAGCUUGGCAAUGGAUGCCACCACCAAAAAGUAGAAACACUAAAAUUUGCAAGAGGAAAACCUUCAUGAUCAGCCACAUCUUCUUUGGAAUAAAAGCCUCUUCUCUUGUCCUAAACACAACUGCUUCAAUUUUCUUACUAUUUCUAAUAAGCACGACUUAUCUUCUCUCUGACAUGAAUAGAUGAAUUCUUAAAGGUAUUUAUAGAGGCUGGAGGUGAAAGCUGAACAGCUGGUUUCCUGGGGUACAACCAUUCCUCGCCGCGUAUCAAUAUAAGAGAAGUAAUUUGAAUGUGUAUUGGUUUUGAAAGUUCUUCCAGGACCACUUCAAAGAGCAGGUUGUGUAUGAUAUCUGACCACUUACCAAAAUUUAAAUAAACCAAAUUCCUGAAGACGAGUUUCUUAGAAUCUCUUGAAUUUUCUAAUUCAAAAUACAUGAAAGAUGAUUUUCCUGGGGUACAACAAUUCCUCGCCGCGUAUCAAUAUAAGAGAAGUAAUUUGAAUGUUCUUCAGAAAGCAGGUUGUGUAUGAUCAGCUUCAAUCAGGUUGUGUAUCGUACAAGUUUGACUUUGAGAAUUGACCAAGAAAUUAAUCAAACAUAUUAUUUUAGAAUAAAUUUCAAAUACAUGUAGAAUACUUUUAAAACUUUGACCUCGCAUAUAUACAGUACCUUUAUCAAGAUUAGUCAAGAUUUUCUCUUUGUAUUUGGUAGGAAGGGAAAAGUCAACGCUGCUUUCAGAAGGAAUAUAGGAUUCCAUUAUAGGAAAGAAACAAUCAUUCAAUUAUAGGAACCGGAUCGAAAAUUCCUUGUCCGGUUGGAGGGUCAAUCCAGACAUUCAAAUCAUUCAACAUAUAAAUUAGUUUAAACGGAUAAGAGAACAUUCAGACAUUUUCAAACAUCAAAUCUCCACUUUUUAAAAAAUAAUAAUAAUAAUAAUAAAUAAUUAUAGAUUUAAAAAUAACUUUUUUCAGAACAAAUAAGAAAUAAUUCAAACUUCCUUGUUUGGUUUAUUGUACCAUAUAUAAUGAAAAAUCAUUAUAUAAAUAAAUUAUGCAAAGAUGUAUAUAUUUUAAAAUUAUUUAUAAACAGAAAAAAUGAUGAAUAAAAUUUGAGACGUGAAAAUUUGAUCAAGUUAAUUUAAAAACUUCUUUUAAUUUUUUUCACUUUUUUACUCCUAUUUUUUCACACUAUUUUUUUUCUCACAUUUCCUUUUAAACCUUUGAAAUAAAUUCCCUACUAUUUGUGGAGCUUUAAUAUAAUUUUUUUCUCCAUAUUAUACAUAUUUAUGCAAUGUUUGGUUAAACUAUUUUGAAUUUCUAUUUUUACCUUAACAAGAAACAUUUCUUGAAAAUGAAGAUUAUUUUCUCCUUAUUUUCAAAUUUGUGUUUCUCCACUUUUUUUUUUUUAAAUAAUAAUAAAUAAUUAUAGAUUUAAAAAUAACUUUUUUCAUAACAAAUACAAUAUAUAGCCGGCUUAUAAAAACUAUUAUCUAAAAAAAGGAAAAAAAGAAAAGAAAAGAAAAGUAAAAUAAGAAAUAAUUCAAACUUCCUUAUUUGGUUUAUUGUACCAUAUACAAAGAGUUUUAAAUAAUAAAUUGGAAGAUCAUCCCAAACACUUUAAAGAGUUUUAGAAAUCAAUACUAAAAUCAAUCUUGAUUUAAAACUCCUAAAUAAUUAAUUGUAAAGUUGUUUUCAAAGGAAACCCUUCUUAUCUCGAUUUCCCCUCACUAAGAUACUUCAAAAGUGGAAUAAUAGAUAAGAGUGAACUUAAAACUCAAUUAAGAAAAUUGGUCAAUAAGGAAGAUCAAGUAUAGUACAAAGUUAAAUCUUAGGAGAUAUCACAUCUUUAUAAAUAAAAAAUAAAAAAUCAAUUAGUAGGAGUUCAUUUAAUUCAAUAAUUAAAUUCAUUUUGUUCAAAAAAUUAUGCACUUUCAAUUUAAAGAUAGAAUUAAAUAAUAUACUUUACAUACUUAAAUUAUAUUAAAAAAAUUAUAAACAAACAUUUUACUCCGACUCAUUGAUAAUAACAUUGUGCCCAAAUAGUAGAACUUGCAUUAGGUGGCUAGUCUCACUUUGUGCCUUUUAGCAAUGGACAAAAUGAUUUAUAAUCAAUGAUAUACCAAAGGCUAAUAACACCCUUAUUAGCUAGAGUUACAUUAUAUCACUAUCCUCACCAAAGGUAACGCAGGUCAACAACUUCUCUCUUAAACCAAUGUAAUAAAUUAAAUGAUAAAAUUCAUUUGCAUAACAAUAAACAAAUCAUAUGAUAUUCCCAAUUUAUUUUAUAAACUAAGGAACAAAUCAUAACAUUUUUAGUAAAAUAUUAUUUGAUCCACUUUAAGGAACUUAAACAUUUUGAUAGUUUAAAAAUAGAUGAAAAAAAUUAAGAAAUUAUAAAAUGGUUUACUAUACUAUUAACCAUUACCUUGAAGAAAUCAUUCAAAAUCCUGAAAGACUUAAUCUACACCUAAUAUAAACAUAAAUAAAAAAUAAUCAUUAAAGAUUAAUUAUCUAAAUUAAUGACUUCCUAAUUUUUUUGUAAAACUUACUUUAAUUCCAAACCCUUUUCUAAAGUUCUAUUUUUUGAAUUAAAUUUUUUAUUAACCAUAUUAUUAUUAUCAUUUUCACUUCUCAUAAUUACAUUAAUGGGUUUUGUUGAAUUAUUAAUGUUAAUAUUCCUUCUUCUUUUUUUCAUGGUAGGAAGUAGGUAAUUAUUUAUUAAUUUACUACUAUUUUUACUUAUCUCCUACCCACAACCCAAAUCUUAUUAUAACUUUAUUAUUUCUUUGCCACAACCACUUUCCUCAUUUCCUCAAUUCUUCUUCCUAUUAAUCUCGUGGUUAAAGAAAGGUAAAAGAAUCUAAAAAGAAAAUCAUACAUGAAGAACUUACCUUAAAUUUCAUAAUGAAGCAAAUAAAAAAAGUUUCUUCUUUCUAACCCUUCAAACCAAACUUCUCUAUAUACCUUUCUCUUGUUUCUUUUUCCUCUCUAUUUUAUCUUUUCAAAUUUUAAUAAUGUGGAGAAAUCAAUGGAAUUUAGGGGUGAAUUAUACUUUUAUCGCUAAAAGUAACUUUUAUUGAUGGAAUUUUAGAUGUUGUCAGUGGUGCAAAUUUUUUUUAAAAAAUUUCUAACGAAUUUAAAAAUUUCAUCACUAAAAGACAUGAUGGGAAAAUUUUGGCAUCGUCAUUUUUUUGGCACAAACACUUUUCUGAUAGAAAAAACCUAUUUUCUCAGAAAAGUAUUUGUCACUAAUUAUAAUUUUUGGUGACUAAAAGUUACAACUUUUUAUAUAUAUAUAUAUUUGCUUGUAAAAUGGUUUCAUUAAGUGGUUGUAUUAUUUCUUGACAAAUUGAGUAAUUUUAUCAUUAUUAAAUUGUGAUAUUAAUAAGUAAUAUUGAUAAAUAACUAGAUGAUUUAUAUUGUGAAAUAACAUAUGUAUUUUUUGAGACUUAAUAUUUAUACUGUAAUAUUUUAUUUCUAUUAAUAAUAAUAAAAUAAUUACAGAUUCAUAAAAUGAAAUACUACAAUACAGAUUUAUUUAAAUUUAAACGUUUUGUAACGUAAUAAUAGUAUUGUUAUGAAAUAAUAAAAAGGUAAAUUAUUUAAGCAAUUAAUAUUUAUAUCGUAAUAUGUUAUAUUUUUUUUAUAUAAAUAAUAACAACAAAUAAUUCAAGACAUGUAAGAUUUGUUACUUUGAAACAAACUUUCGAAUCCUAGGUACAUCCUUAAGAAAAUUUGUUACAUUCAAUCCUUGAGCUAACGGGACACCUAUCUCUUUUCCCAUGGUCCAUUUAUUCAUUUGGAGACCUCGAAAAGUGAUUAGAGGUCAUUCCCCACCUUAAAACGAACUUUGACUCCCAUAGUACAUCCUUUACAAAAUUUGGUACAUCAUUCACAAAAAUUCGUACAUCCUUAAAAAAAUUUGGUACAUCUAAUCCUUGACCUAUUAGGACCCCUAUCUUAUUACUCAUGGUUCGUUUAUUCCUUUAGAGAUCUUUGGAAGUGAUUAGAGGUCGUUCCCUACUCCGAAACAAACUUUGGAAAUCCUUGGGAUAACGGGACACUUAUCUCCCUUCUCAGGGUCCAUUUAUUCCUUUGGAGAUCCUUAAGAAGUGAUUGAAGGUCGUUCCCCACCUCGGAAUAGACUUUGGCACCCUUGGUACAUCAUAUACAAAAUUUGGUACAUUCUUCACAAAAUUUGGUACAUCUUCAUAAAAUUUGGUACAUUCUUAAAAAAAUUUGGUACAUCUAAUUCUUGAGCAACUAAGACCUCUAUCUUAUUGCCCAUGGUCUGUUUAUUCCUUUAAGAAUCUUUGGGAAGUGAUUGGAGGUCAUUCUCCACUCUGGAACGAACUUUGGAACCCUAGGGACAUCCUUAAGAAAAUUUGGUACAUCCAAUCCUCGAGUUAUUGGGACACCUAUCUCCAUUCUCAUGGUCCAUUUAUUCAUUUGGGAACACUUAGAAAGUAAUUGGAGGUUGUUCCCUACUCUGGAAUGAAUUGUGGAACCUUGGGUACACCUUUAGAAACUUUUUGUAUUUUUAUGGUUAUGUAAUGGUUUGAUGUUGUUGAUUGAAAUGAGGUGGUUGAGUCACAAUUUAUAAUCAUCAAGGGAAAACAAAUUGUGUUUAUUCAUGACCAGAUGAAAAUGAAUAACAAAUGGAAUUAUUGUCACUUUUAAUGGUAUUAUAUUAUGAAUCAUUUGAAUAGUUUUCUUAAAACAAUUUGUCAAUUCCAAAUGGAUUAUAGCUGAAUUGAAAAAUGAAGGAAUAUAGUUGUAGAAAAGAAGGGUUGAAUUUUUGUGGGCAUUAUGGAAGAAAGAGGUCGAGCCUUAUAUGAAAAACAGAUUGUUAACACUAGGCAUAAUAGUGGACGACCUUUUCAUGUAGGGGCUGACCCUUUUUAGCUUAUAACCCUUAGUCAUGAUAUUAGUUUUAUUUGAAGUGAUUAGUAACAAAAAUAAAGGUGUUGUUCAUAGGCAAUCCCAUCGUGUUUUUAAUAUUGGUUUUGUUUUAUGUGGGUGGUAGGCAGAACAAAGGUUGACCCAUUGUUUAAUAGGUAGGCCUUUGAAUAUGGACGUUAUAACCUUAGAAUAUGGACAGUGAGGAAAAUAGUGGUCAACCCAUGUAUUCAGAGGUAGAGCCUGAACUUAUAUUACAUAUCAAAUAAGUUCCUAACAAAUAAAUAAAUAAAAGUAAAUGCAUUGUGUGAUGUUUGGUAUAGACAAUACAUUUCAAUAUUUAGCACAUUAAUGUCACACCAUAAAAUGUUAAUGAAACAAACUUGGAUUGUUCAUAAUCUGAAUGAGACGUUAAUAUAUGAUGACUAUAUAUGUGACCAUGACAAUUGUUAUAAGUAAUUAGUUUUGACAGGGUUAUUUAAAAAUAUAUAUUUAAAAAACUAAAUACCUAAUGAGGUCUAACUGUGAGAAUAAAAUAAUUUAUGCUUAUUCUAUAAAUGUUGAAAGUAUUUUUGUGAUGAAUAUAUGUAUUAUUGGAAAUAUUUACAAACAUGCCUAGUUUAUUGAUGUGUGUGUGUGUGUGUAUUAAAAAAAAAAAAGUAAAAUCAAGGAUGUUCAUCCUUUCCUCAUAAGAAUGUACAUUGGGUUCUGAAGUCCAUUUUAGGGUAGAGAACAACCUCCAAUCACUUCUCAAUGGUCUUUAAAUGAACAAACCAACCAUGGGUAAUAAGAUAGGGGUCCUGAUAGCUCAAGGAUUGGAUGUACCAAAUUUUGUGAAGAAUGUUACAAAGUUUGUAAAUGAAAUACCAAAUUUUAUAAAGAAUAUACCAAGGAUGCCAAAGUCCGUUCCGAGGUGAGGAACGACCUCCAAUCACUUCUCGAGGGUCUCCAAAGGAAUAAAUGGACCAUGUGAAGGGAGAUAGGUGUCUCAUUAGCCCAAGGAUUGGAUGUAUCAAAUUUUCUUAAGGAUGUACCUAGGAUUCCAAAGUCCGUUUUGGAAUAGGGAAGAACCUCCAAUCACUUCCCAAAGAUCUCUAAAGGAAGAAAUGGACCAUGGGUAAUCAAAUAAGGGUCCUAAUAGCUUAAGGAUUGGAUGUACCAAAUUUUUUAAAGCAUGUUCCAAGGGUGCCAAAAUCCAUUCCAAGGUUGAGAACGACCUCCAAUCACUUUCUAAGAGUCUCCAAAUGAAUCAAUGGACCAUAGGAAAGGAGAUAGGUGUCCCGUUAGCUCAAGGAUUAGAUGUAACAAAUUUUUUUAAGGAUGUACCUAAGGUUCCAAAGUUCAUUUCGAAGUAAGGAGCAACCUCCAAUUACUUCCCAAAGAUCCUUAAAGGAAUAAACGAACCAUGGCUAAUAAGAUAGGGGUCUCGAUAAUUCAAGAAUUGGAUGUACCAAAAUUUUUUUAAGGAUGUACCAAAUUCUGUGAAGGAUGUACCAAAUUUUGUAAAGGAUGUACCAAAGGUGUCAAAGUCUAUUCUGGUAAGGGGAACAACCACCAUUCACUUUUCGAGGGUCGGUCUCUAAAGGAUAAAUAGACCAUGGGAAGUGAUAUAGGUGUCCCUUUAGCUUAAAGAUUGGAUGUACCAAAUUUUCUUAAAGAUGUACCUGGGGUUUAAAAGUCCAUUUCAGAGUAGGGAUCAACCUCCAAUCACUUCCCAAAGAUCCCUAAAGGAAUAAAUAGAUCAUGGGUAAUAAGAUAGCGAUCCUUAUAGCUCAAGGCUUGGAUGUACCAAAUUUUUUUAAGGAUGUACCAAAUUUUGUAAAGGAUGUAUCAAGGGUGCCAAAGUCCAUUCUGAGGUCAGGAACAACCUCCAAUCACUUCCCGAGGUCUCCAAAUGAAUAAAUGACCUCCAUUUGUUCUAAGGUAGGAAAUGACAUAUAAUGACUUCCUAAGAGUUCCUAAGGGAACAAAUGGACCAUGGGAAGGGAGAUAAGGGUCCCAAUAGCCCAAGGAUUGGAUGUACCGAAUUUUCUUAAGGAUGUACCUAGGGUUCCAAAGUCUAUUUACAGGUGGGGAAUGGCCUCCAAUAACUUCUCAAUGGUCCUCAAAUGAUGAAAUGGCAUAAGGGUCCUAAUAGCCUGAUGAUUGGAUAUACUAAUUUUUCUUAUGGAUGUAAUUAGGGUUCCAAUGUUAGUUUCAAGGUGGGGAAUGACCUUUAAUCACUUCCUGAUGAUUAGAUAUACCAAAAUUUAUUAAAGAUGUAUCUAAGGUUCAAAAGUCUGUUUUGGGGUGAGAAAUAACCUCCAAUUACUUCCUAUUGGUCCCUCAAUGAGCAAAAUGACCUUGGGAAGAGAGAUAGGGGUAUAAUUAGCCGGAGGAUUGGAUGUACUAAAUUUAUAUAAGGAUAUAUCUAGGGUUCCAAAGUCUAUUCUAAGGUAGGGAACGACUUGCAAUCACUUUCUAAGGGUCCUCAAAAGAUCAAAUGGACCAUGGGAAUGGAUAUAUGGGUCCUGGUAGCCCAAGGAUUGGAUGUACCAAAUUUUCUUAUGGUUAUACGUAGGAUUCCAAACUCCAUUCCGAGAUGGGAAACAACCUCCAAUCCUUUCCUAAAGGUCUCCAAAAGAAUAUAUGGACCAUGAGAAGAGAGAUAGGGGUUUUGAUUUCCCUAGGAUUGGAUGUACCUAUUUUUGUUAAGGAUGUACCUAGGGUUUCAACAUUCGUUUUGGGAUAAGGAAGGACCUCCAAUCACUUAUCGAAGGUUCCCAAAGGAAUAUAUAGACCGUGAUAAAGGAGAUAGGGAUCCUUGUUCCCUUAGGAAUGGAUGCACCUAUUUUUCUUAUGGAUGUAUCUAUUUUUUUAUGAAAUUAAUAUAAAAGGUUAACUACAAUUUUUUUUUAAUGAAAAAUUAUAUUUUCUUUUAAUUAAAAAUUAAAGAUUUUAAUGAAACAAAAAAUUAGAUCCAUGAUCAAGUUAAAACCAUAAGAAAAAAAGAUAAAAGAAUCAUCACUUACUAUGAUUUUGAUAUGAUAAAUUUAAAAUAAAAAAUAUAUAUAUAUAUAAUAUAAACAAUAAAAUAGUAUUACAAAUAUAUUUUUACUUUGAUGUGUGAUAUGGUUUAUAAAAUAUAUAAAUCUUUUAUUUAGCAUUAAUAUAACAAAUCUUAUAUCAUAAACCUAUAAAUAAUAAAAUAUAUUUUUUAAAUUUAAUCCUUGAUUUAUUAAAAGUAUUACUAUAAUUAAUAUUUAAAAUCAUCAAGUAUAUUAUUUGUGGAAUAAUAUUUUCAUUUUUGGCCAUUAUAUAUUUAUGUUUUUAUAUAACUUGUUAUAUUAACUAUUUAUUAUAUAUUAUUAUUUUAAAGUUAAUAUGUCCAAAAAAUAAUUAAAAUCAAUAAAUAUGGAGAUAUUAGAGAGUUAAAAAAAUAUAAAAUUGAAGAAGUUUUAUGCGAUAAUACAAAGAAAAAAAUAGUUAUUGGUGUACUUGACAACAACAUUUAAUGUGGUAAGUGUACUUGCCCUCAACUUUUGAGGGUAAUUUUGGAACAAAUUCAAAAGCACUAUUGGAGUGCAUGAAUUGGUAUAAAAAAAAUUCCAUUUUACAUUAAAAUUGAAAUAGUAAAACCACAGUUUUAAAAACCAUAUUUUUUAAUUGGUGAUGUACCAAAGCAUGAUUAUCCCAAUUUUAAAUAAUACAAAAAUCAUAAAUUUUAAAUUUUAAUUUUAAUCUUCUUUUAAAAAUUUGUAAAUUUUAAUGUUUAAUUUUUUAAUUUUUUAAUUUAUAAAUUUUAAAUAAUAUAAAACUCAUGGCAUGUUGAAGUGCAUUAAAUGCAUUGUAGUAGCAUAUUGUAUUUUUGUAGCAUAUAUGACAUAGAUGGAAUUGUGUGGAGUGUUUUUUGGGAAAAAAAGAUGAAAAAAAAAAAAUUCUCAAACCCUCACCUAGUUAAGCACCAUUGCAAGUUUGAAAAAAAAAAACCCAAUUUUUAAAAAGAGAGAAAACCACCAUCGCAAACAAUGGCUCACCACAUUUGUACCUGAUGCCAUAUCCUCUUCAACCUUUCAUCAUUUUCACCACCAACCCAUCUACCUUCUUGAAAAGUCAUUUUCCAACUACCAAUCAUACCCACCAUUCUCCAUAACACAUUUGUAUCUAAUAAUAAUUGUGAAAAUGACCAAUUUGAUUAAGCAAAUCACUAAAGGGGGGGAGGGGGGAAUGUGGGAAGAGAUGAAUUAGGUGUUAUAUUUUUUAUUUUAUUUUUUCAAAAGCAACCAAUUAAUAACAAAAAGAAUAAGAGAUAUUAAUUAAGGCAAUAAUUAAGUAAAAGAUAAAGAGAAGAUAUAUGCAAACUCUUUUAUUGUGGUUCAAAACUCCACCUAUAUCCAUUCUUUUUAACCUCCUAAGUAAGUGAGGAUUCCACUAUCAAAGACCUUCAACCUAAGCCUUCAAGCUUUAUAUUUGGAUUCAUGGUCUUCAAUGGGCACUCACAAUCCUUUCAAAUACUUCACCCACUUGAAGUCUCUUCACUCAAAAUGAGUAAAUAAGGAAAGUUCUAAUGCUUUCUAUUAGGACAUUGAGUCUUAUUUAUAUGUUGGCAAUUUUGUUUACUUUAUGUUUCAUCAUAGAAGUCUUUUUAGAUAAUGGCUUGCUCCCCAUUGAAGAUCAAGGGUGGUUGUUCGUCCAACCAAGAAGUCAUACGUAUAUUUAAAAAGGUUUGACUUGUUGCAUAUAAGGCUUCUUUAAGGUAUAAAAGGUUUAGUAUCAUUUUUGGACUUAAAAUGUUUUAAAAUGAUUUUUUAAAAGAAGUAGGGGCUGCUCAAGUGGAAAGGACCGAUCAACCAGUUAGACUACUCAAGUGGUAAGGAUGACUCAAGUAGUCUAAGUCUACUCAAGCAAUCAUAACAGUCCUUUCGAGUUUAGACACAAAUUUUGGAUGAAUUUCACUUGAACUCUAGUUUGAAAACUUAAGUUACUGAAACUCUUUGGAUUAUAAAUACUUUCUUAAUAACCCCUUAAGGGUUAGGGAUCGAAGAUUGAAGAGAUCUUAGAGAUUAAAAACCUUUCAUUCUUAAAAAGAGGGACUCCUUGAUAGAAAGCUUAAAUUGCUAUAUAAUUCAUGAUUUCUCAUUCAAGGAUUUGAAUCUUUAAAUUGUGGGUUGAAGACCAUAAUCCCUUCGAAGUGGCAAAAAGAUCUACUAGGGAGCAACAGGAAGUUGCUACGUCACAAACGUGGAUUAAGUUGUAGGUGUUGAAGAGUAAGUCUUUAGGAUAAAGCAGCCAAGUAAAUUUGUGUAACUUGAUUUUGAAUAGUGGAUUUAGAUUGGUAGGUCUUAGACCUUGUGGGUUUUUUUCUCCAAAGUUUGUGGGGGUUUUUCACAUACAAAUCUUAUGCCUCAUUAUCUAUAUCUUUUAUAUUUGAUAUUAUGUUUGUAGGGUUUUCAUAAAAGGUGCAUAUUUGUAGACCCCUCAUUUUGUCCUCCUAACACAUCUGAUACUUUAUGUUUUCCUAAGCUUCUCUCUUACCCUAUGGUUGUCCCUUAGAGACCCAUUAAAACUCAUAUGAAUUUUUUUCCCUAAGCUACCUUUUGGGACACUUUGUUGAGGGGCUCAUUUGGACUCACAAUGUGACUUUGACAACUUCUCAAGUUAGUUUUUAGGUUAGACUUCACUUAGAUUUUUUUUCCAAGAUAGGGUCACUUAGAUCUUUUUUAUACUAGGAUCACUUGGACACUUCACUUAGGUUGGUUUUCUUGAGUUUGAUUUCUAGGUUUUAGGUUUAGGUGAGUUCUUGACUUGAUUUCAAUAUUUGAAUGCAUGGGGUGAGUAUCAAUCUUUAGUUAUGUGAGUUCAAUGCAUUGAUUUUCUUAUUAUCUAUUACAUUAAGAUUAAUAUUUGGAUUUUGAUUGCAUGCGUUAAAUUUCUUUUAUUUAUUUUUUAUUUAUUUAUUUAUUUUAGAAAAUUUAUGUGAGACUAAUGUUAUGACUUUUAAUUGCUUGAAUUGAUGCUUGAUCUUAAAUAUGCAUACAAUUGACCUUUAAUUUUUAAUUGCAUAAUUUUAAUUUGCUUUAAUUUUCAAUUUCAUAACUUUUACUAAUUUUAAACUUUAUUUUAAUUUUGCAUGAGAUUUGAAUGUAUACUUUGGAGAAGAUCCCUUAGCGUACACGACUGCCCCAAUAAUAGGAUGGAGAUCAAGAAACUUAGGAGAUUCUUUUUUAGUUCAAGUGAUACAACCUACAACCUACAUGUGAACAACAUGCACCCAUUGACCUUCUACAAAAUGCACAGUCUACACAAAAGGAGACAUUUAUGCAACAUAGAUACAGGUUUCUUUUCUAAAAAAAAGUGUAGGCUGCCAUAUGAUAGGGCUUUAAACUAUUAAAGGAAAGUUAUUCAUGAUUAUUUAUUUUUUAUUUUAAAAAAGAAACUUAUAGCACACAUAGGAUGCAAGGGGCCACUUUCUAAAAAGAAAAGGGAUUCUUUCUUUUGGAUGAGGAUGUAGCAUAAAAAGUGAGGACCACUUUGAGAAUGGAGUCCGGUUUGGAGAAGAAAAAAAAAAAAAGACCACACGGUUCCAUGGAGAGGGGAGGGCAUAGUCUACCAUUGAAGGAGAGUUGACAGCCAUGUGUUCCUUGAGAAGGGGGUUCGCUCCCCACAACACACAUUUCAUCCUAAGGAGAGGAGGAUCUUCACACGUUGUCGAUUAGGGAGAAUACAAAUGCACAUGGAGGAUCACUUAUAGCCAUGAAUAAUAGCAGCUCAUCCAUAGCCCCACACACAACCAUGCAUAUUGGAGAAGAACUAGAAAGUUGUCACUUCAAGAUUUACCAUAGGUGCACACAUCAUUUGGAGAAGGUAAGUUAGGUUUUUUUUUUUUUUUCAAUUCUUAAUUUUCAGUUUGCAAGUUAGUUUUCUUUGUAUUUGUUUUGAUUCCACUAGAUUGAAAGUGGGAAUUAUUAAUCUUAGUUAGUUUUAUUAAUCUUAGUUUUGAGUCAUCCUAUAUAGUUUAGACACUUUCAUAAGUUUAGGUUCAUUAAUAAAAUUAAUUUUAUGCUUGAAAGUUCAUGUUUUUAGUUUGCUUUGACUUAGUCUAGCUCAUUUUAAUUAGUUUAAGUACUUUUAUAAUUUUAGUUAUUCUAUGUUUGAAAGUUCAUGUUUUUAGUUUACUUUAAUUUAGUCAAACUCAUUUUAAUUAAUUUAGGUACUUCUAUAAUUUUAGUUUCUUAGCUGAAUUUAUCCCAUUUUUUUUUAGUUUUUAUUUUAAAAUCAUUAAUGUUAGUUCCUAAUCAUCCUUAUCUUAAUUUAUAUGUUUUUAAGAUCCUAGUAGUUAGUUCAUGAAUCGAUAUCUUGUUAGUUUGUCUAAUAUAAAAUGCUUUGCUUGUUGCUUUACUGAUCCUUCAUUUAAUUUGAUUGUUUUUUAGGCCCUUGGAAACUCAUGAUGAUUGGCCUCUACUCUCACCUAGUUUAGGUUGCUAUAAAUUAUCACUUUCUAAUGUUAUUUUCUCUUUUAAAAAGAAAGUCUUUUCCCAAAAUUUUAUUUAUUAAAAUGGAUUUAAAAAACUUCUUCUAUAAUCCUUAGGGUUAAAAAAAAAAAAUCAUUUUCUUAAAAACUAUACAACCAUGUUUUAAUAUAUUUACACCUUUCUUUUAUUUUCAAUAAAAAUUGUGAUUUUUAGUGAAAUAUGAAUCCAAGCUUGUGGUCCCAAACGAAUGGGACAAUUCUUGGCUUUGAUGAGUUUGUCAAUUCUCAUGCAAGGUUGGGAAUCCAUAACCUAAAUUUGUGUAUAACAAAUGAGGAUUUGGUGACUAACCCCUUCAUAAAAUUAUUUUUCAAAAACCUUUUAUUGUUAACUUGUUGGAUUUGUUGCAUCUUUGGAAUAAAAUUUUGAUUUGGAUAAUUUAUGAUAUUCCUAAAAAUUUUCUUGUGGUUGAUGAUAUUAUGAACUUCAUUAACCUCAUUUUAGAAGUUUGAUUGAAUCAAAAAUCAUAUUUUUAAUGGAAAUUAUGAAUUAAUCUUUUGGUAGGUUCAGUUUUUUCCCAAUUCUGGAUACCCAAAUUGUUUUUUGUAUUUUCAAAUUGCUAAAUGACUUUGAAAAAUUAUUUUGACUUUUCUUCCUUCAUUCUAGACUUCUUGAAAUUUAUUUUAUACACAUAAAUAUUUAAAAAAUGUUUUGAUAAUUAGGAAAAAUAUAUUUUCUUUGUUCUACCCACUGUUGGCAUCUUAGAUCUAAGCAACAGAAGCAAUACCAUUUUUUUAAAAAUUAAUAUUUUAGGGUUAAAGAACUAACCUUUAGGUUUUGAGGUUCCCAAACCUUAAAUUCCAAGUGUUGAAGACGAUCCUGAAGUUGUUAGAAGUCUUGUAAACCUAUGAUCUUUCGCCCAAUGACUUAACCUUGUUCUUGGAAAACAAUGAGAAGGAAAGGCGGGUGGAGGCUAUGACUCUCUUUCUCUUUGAAUGGUGAGAGGCAAAAGCUAUAGAAACCUUAAUCCAUAUAGGGUAUUUAUAGGGAACCUAACUAGGCUUAAGUGACUUGAGCCUAUAUGGUCGGGCUUAGGUCACUUAAUCUAUCCCAAAAUGGGUCCUAAUUGAUUAAUUAACCUAAUAGGGCUUACUAAUUAAUAAAUUAGCCCAAUCCAAAGACCUUAUUCACUUACCCUUAUGCAACCUUGAAAAAUUACCAAAACACCCUUAUGCACAAAAGUGAACCUAGAGCUAAUCUGACCCUCAUAAUGCAUUCUAACAAGGUAUAUGAGCUCAGAGUGAGGAUCACUAGGAUCCAUAUAAGUAUUGGCUCCCUCAUAAUCAAAUUUUGAAUUUGAUUCAACAUCCCACUAUAAAAAAUCAACUAAACUCCAGUAUCCUAUGUAAAUAAUAACAAGACACUAAGUGCUCAGGUUCAUGACCUAUUAUCCACUACAUGCAGACUCUCCAUGAACUGGUGUCUGUAAUUUAACAAGGUAGUAUUAUUACCUUUCAAGAUUACCUCUUAAAUCCUUGAGUUAUAGAUCCCACUUAUUAUGUGAUCAAUUGACAUACUCUUACUCUAAAGAUAAUAUGUCAAAUUCCACUAAAGGAAUUAUUAUGGCCACAUAUUUCAUGAUCAUAUUUCUUUCGAUCACCCAAAGGAACACAUUGUCUCAAUCCCAUGAGAUAUCAUGGUGCCUAUAUUGUGAAUUCCUAUUACCAUCAACCUUUAUCAAUAAUGACCCAAUCCAUAUGGAUAUAUAACCACUUUAGGGUCUCACCCAAAUGUUAAACCCUCCUAUUUAUUUUGGAAUAUACUGAAUAUCCUUUUAAGGUUAAAAGUCCAUGCAGUAUGGUAACUUGGUAAAUCAUGAUAAUCGAUAACCUUGUGUCAUGAUUGACUGUAGGCCUUGUCUAAUAUUCAUCACAUACACUAGUGCACUCACCAUAGGAAAUCCAUCCAGAUGGCCAAGACAAGUCACCCCUCCAAUUAGGAGGUGAUGCACUAGAGUCUCUACUAGAUUGCCCAAAUCCAUGAACCAGCGGUGGACAACUUAUCUACUUGCAAGGAACCCAUGACUUGUAUCUUUUGUGCAACUGCUAAUGCACCCAAGUCAUGUACAAUGUAAGAGACAUGGACUAAAUGCUCAAAUCAUUGUUAGUACACUAAAAGGAUAGCAAAGGGAUGGUUAAGUCUAACUUUGUUACAUCAUAUCUUGCUUUCAAAGGCUCAAUCCUAACAAACUCCCACUAGCCCUAAAAGCAAACUAGGCAUCAUAGAAAAAUUUUUGUUCCAUGUCUCAUCACAUCUUUAUACUAUCUCAUUAUAAAGUAACACUUCUUAUUUAUGUGUUUCCUCUUCUGGUGAUACUUCAAUUCUUUAGACCAUGCCAUUGUCCCGUUGUUAUCACAUAACAGGAUCUUAGAUGAUAUAGCCAAGGGAAAUACCAAUAAGCCAAAAGGCUUUCUUUGUUGCUAUAAAAACAACAAAAAAGAAAAACCCCACUUCGAGUGUACACAUACCUAGAGGUAGACUUAUAAGAGUCCUUAUCAGACCGAAGUCCAAUUUCCUAGUAUGAAAUGAGUACUAACUCAUCGCAAAGGAUCACAACAUAUAAUUCCUUAUUUUCCAAAGAUACUAGAGUAUAUGUUUGACAUCUGGCCAAAGCUCUAAUAAGGAAAUGGACUAAUAUCCACUCAUUAUUCAUACAACAAAGCAAAUAUCUGGUCUAUCACAUAACAUCGCAUAUUUAAGGCAAUUCAUUAUAGAGGCAUUGGAUAUCGCCUUAAUGUGAUCUCUCUCCAUAGAUGUCUAAGGUCAUUGAUCAUAAGAAAGACAAGUCUAAAACUAAAUAGUAACAAACCUUCUUAGAGUUUUGCAUCAUAUACUUGACCAAAUGCUCAUCCAUGUAGGUGACAUGGUGCAAUUCUCCUAUUCUUGUAAUCCUGAAGGAUCAUAACCCGAAGAAUAUAUUGCAUCUUCCUCUAGAUUUUCAUCCAGAAUUGAGUAGACUAUUAGUUCUUGACUGAUGACAAUAUCCCUACAUCAUAUCUAAUGAGUAGAUUUUCAUCUACCUGUAAGAUCUUUGAGCAUCACUAUGCUUUCUUGUGUCUUUUUAUACACACAAGGCUAUUUGCUAUGAAAAUGUUUGGUUGUUAUGUCUUACAAAUGAGACACACUGCAAUAGAUAGUAGUAAUAUGAUGGAUUUGAGUAUGAUCACUAUUGAAAAGGUUUUCCAUAGUUGAAACAAAUUUCAAAAUGAAUCGCAAUUCGGAGUUGAAAUGAGGGAGUUGUAGUCGAUUGAAACUAGGUUGCACAAUGAGCAUGGAAGCACAAUGAUGUUGACUUCAACUCAAAAUUGGGGCUACCUCCCAUGAGCUUUUUGAGGCAAACCACAUAUGGUUUUGAAGCUUAAGAAGUCAGAAAUCCAAUACUUCAAACGGAUUUCAAUUUGGAGUUGAAGAAACAAGGGAGAUUUGGUUGAUUGAAGCUAAGUUGCACAAAGGGCAUGUAAUUACGAGAUGGAGUUCAAGCCAAAUUAUUUUUGGUUGUUUGGGCUCAUUUUUUGGGCCUCUUUUUGGGCUCUUUUAGUGGCAAUUAGGCCCGUUGGGUUUUUCUUUUUUUACUAACCCUAUUUUUGGUUGCAGGGCUAUUUUGAUAAUUUGGAUUCUAUCCAAGUUUUAGAUACCAAUUUUGCAACAAGAUCCCUAAGGCCAUGAGAAUUAUUUAUUUAAUUUUCUUUCAUGUCUUUUAUACUUUUUUUUUUAGAUAAUUUAUUAAAUUGGAAUGUGCUAGGACUUAGGAAAUUUUUAUUUUAGGUAAAGACAAGUUGGAAAUAAAUAAGGAACCUACUUCAUUUUCAAAAUUAAACUUUUAGAGAUUUUUUUUUAAAUAAAUCUUUUUAGAUUUUAGAUCUCUAAGAAUCUUUUUAUUUUAAGGAAGAAGUUUUUUUUUUUUUUUUCAGGUUUUUUUGAAAUAAAAUUAUUUCUAUUUAGCACAAGAUUCUAAAAUAAAGAAAUAAAUUAUUUUUGGAAAAAUAUAUGAUAGAUAAUUCAUGAUUAAGAUAGCUUACCAAGAUAUUGUUUCAAAUAAAAUAAAUUAAAAUGGUAAUUUUGGAUUUUCUUAAAAGAAUAAAUUUUCAUGAGUUUUAUUUCCAUUAUUAUUUAGUUAACAAAUUGGUUGUUGUCAUUUGGAAUUUCAAAUUCCUUUUGGGACUUUUUUUUUUGGGUUAGAUAGUUUUCUAAGCUCUCUCUCUCUCUCUCUCUCUCUCUCUCUCUCCUCCCCCCCCUUCCCCCUCUCCCCUAGAGAGAAGGAGAAUGACACGUACAUUGGUCCUCCAGGCUUUUCCUCCUUGAGAGAAAGAGAAAAUCGUUUAGUUUGAAAAUGAAAGUUCAAGGAUAAGGAAUAUGAAAGAUAUCCUUAAUUGGCAUAGGAGUCCCAAUUCAAGUAAUAAAUAAAAGUUUUGGAAAUUUUCAUGAUAGAUAAUUUAUUUUAAGAUGGAUUAUUUUAAAAUUAUCUUAAAGUCUCUCUUCCAAAAUAUUAAGUGGGAGCGGGCCAUAGGCAAGAGCCCAUCUUGAUUUCCAUCCUAAAGAUGGGGUGGCCCAAGGAAUCAAGGGAUAUGGACUAUCCUUUAUGGACAAGACUAUAUAUGUUUAUAGUAAGAGUGGCCAAUCCUAAAGAUAGAACUCUUCACUUCGUAACAUUGAUGUUAAGGAUCUUGAUUACUCAUUUAACUUAGAAAUGAAGUGGUAGAAUCACCUAAAGUGGUCCCACUUGCAUGGGCUAAGGGCUCAACAUAAAGGUAUGUUGAUCAAUGCCUUAGGAUAACCUUUGGAAGUUUAAGGCAGGUUGAUUAAUUAGAGAGGGUCUCUACCUAGUAAUAAGAGUCAUAACCUGCCUAAAGUAAGCUUGAUUCUUAUGAUACUAGGUUACCUUGCAUAGAUACAUAUAGUUUGAGAGCACUACAGUUUUGCUAAAUUAAUUACCAAUUUGCCUUAAAUGCUCAAUUCCUUUUAUUAAUGCAUGGAAUUAUUAUUUUUAUUAUGGAUAUCAUGUCUUUAAUCUAUCACAUUUUAUCUUUUGUUUAAAUUGGACCUAAUUUUAAAUUAGAAAUAAUCUGGAUAUAGUAUUAGUUGCAUAGAAGCUGUUUUUGGUAGAGUUUGUUAUUUCCUUUGAACAAACCUAUCAUCAAGUAAGAGAAACAUAUCAAAGGUGGCAUAAGACGGAUCAAAAGACUAAGUCUCUCAUACUUGGGUCUUUAGAUAAUGUGUUGCAAAAGAAACACAUGUCUAUUGUCGUAGUCUAUGAUAUUCUCUUCAAAGUUGCAAAGGUUAUUUGGUGAUAAGGGCAAGUCAACUAAACAACUUGCCCUUAAGACUAUUAUGAACACUAGGAUUCAUGUUAUCUUAGAGAUCUUACUAGAUUCUUUUGGGAUGGGUAAGAAGAUUCUCAAAGAGUGGAAGGGUGUUCAUAUGGAAGUCAAGGUUCUUCAAGCUCUUCUAACACUAUCUCAAGCUACCUACAUAGAUAAGAUUUUGGUCAAGUGUGUGAUGUGGGAUUCCAAGAAAGGUUUGUUACCUUUUAAGCAUAGAAUUCCCCUUUCUCUAAAUCAGUGUGUGCUAAAACACUUGAGAAGAAUGAGUGCAUGUAGUUAAUACUUUAUGCCUCUGUAGUGGGUAGUCUUAUGUAUUUGAUGCUAUGUACUAGGCCAAAUAUUUUUUUUGCAGUGGGUAUGGUGAGUAGAUAUCAGUCUAAUCUAGUUGCAAAACAUUGGACAACAGUCAAGCAUUUACUCAAGUACCUUAGGAGAAUGAGAGAUUGUGUUUGUGCUCCAAAGUGUUGAGAUAGUUUAAAGGGUGACAUGAUGGUUGACAAGAUACCUUUUGUGAAGAACCUAGUGGAUCUCUUCACCAAGACAUUGUCAGGGAGAGUCUUUGAUGGUCACAAGGAUAACACAGGUUUCAAAUGAGUGUCUAACAUGCUUUAUAGGCAUGAUGUUUUGAGGGCUAGUGGGAGAAUGUUAGGAUAUAGCCCUUAAAAGCAUGGCAUGAUGUAAUAAAUUUGGAAUUCAUUAUUUAUUUAACGAUGUUCCAGUUUCACUUUUAUCGAUCCUUAUUCCAUGUAUUAUACUUUAUGAGCAUUCUUGCCUACAUCUUUUGCAUUGUAUGUGACUUAGGUACAUUAGGAGCUUCAUAGAAGAUCUAAGUCAUGGGUUCCUUACAAGUAGAUGACUUGUUCACAACUGGUUCAUGGGUCUAAGCAACCCAUUAGAAGGGCACCACCUCCUAAUUGGAGGGAUUAGACUAGUCUUGGCUAUCGGGAUGGUUUUUCCAUGGUGAGUGCAUUAGUGUGUAUGGUUACAUAUUGGACAAGACCUAUAGUGAGUCACGACUUAAGGCUAUCAANNNNNNNNNNNNNNNNNNNNNNNNNNNNNNNNNNNNNNNNNNNNNNNNNNNNNNNNNNNNNNNNNNNNNNNNNNNNNNNNNNNNNNNNNNNNNNNNNNNNAUAUUGGACAAGACCUAUAGUGAGUCACGACUUAAGGCUAUCAAGUAGUCAUGACCUCACCAAGCUGCUUCAUUAUGUUGUCUCUCAACCUUGAGAGAAUAUUAAGCUUGUGCUAAAGUUAGUAAUGACUUUGAUCUACGGGUAAGAACAUAAGCUGAUCAUAUAUUCCCUAUGGAUUAGGUCACUACUGAUGGAAGCCGGUAGCAAUAGGUAUUCUCAAUAGAGGCACCAUGAUAUCUUUUAGGAUCGAGACAGUGUGUCCCCUUUGGUUAUCAUAAGGAGGUGUGUUCAUGGAAACUAUGGUCAUAGUAGUUCCUUAAGUAAAACUUGACAUAAACUCUUUGAGAGUUAAGAUAUGUAAAUUGAACAUACAAUGGGAGGAUCCGUAACUUAAGGAUGGUAAAGGUCUUGAAAGGCUAAUAGAUUUCACCUAGUUAGACUAUGGACACCAGCUCAUAGGAAGACUGAACACAAUGGAUAGCAAAUCAUAGACCCAAGCACUUGGUGUCUCAUUGUUAUUUACAUAGGAUACUGGAGUUCAGUUGAUUCUCUAUAGUAGGAUGUUGAAUCAACUUUAGAAUUAGAUUCUAAGGGAGCUAGUAUUCCUAUGGGUCCCAAUGGUCCCCGCUCUGAGCUCAUUUACCUUGUUGGCAUGGGUUAUGAGGGUCAGAUUGGCUCUAGGUUCACUUUUGUGCAUAAGGACGUUUUGGUAAUUAAGUAAAGUUGUAUAGGGAUAAGUGAACAAGGUCUCUAGAUUGGGUUAAUUGUUUAAUUAGUAGGCCCUAUUGGGUUAAUUAAUCAAUUAGGACCCAUUUUGGGCUAGAUUUAGUUACCCAAGUGCAUGUGGGCUCAAGUAAGUUAAGCCCACUUAGGAACCCUAUAAAUACCCUCUAGGGGCUAGGGUUUCCAUAACUUUUUGUCUUCCAUCAUCUAGAGAGAUAGAGAGUCAUAACCUUCACCCUCUUUUCCUCUCCAUCGAAAGUGUGUGAAGAUCAAGGUUCGAGUCAUCGGGCAAAAUAUCGUAGGUUUAGAGCAGGUUGUGUAUGAUAUUUGAUUACUCACCAAAAUUUAAAUAAACCAAAUGCCUGAAGAAUUCUAAUAAUUGUGAAAAUUUCUCACAGCUCAGCUUCAAUCAGGCUGUGUACCAUAGAAGAUGAGUUUCUUAGAAUCUCUUGAAUUUUCUAAUUCAAAAUACAAGUUUGACUUUGAGAAUUGACCAAGAAAUUAAUCAAACACAGUAUUUUAGAACAAAUUUAAAAUAUAUGUAGAAUAUUUUUAAAAUUUUGACCUCGCAUAUAUACAGUACCUUUAUCAAGAUUAGUCAAUAUAUGUAGAAAAGUCAGCGCUAUAUAAUCAUAAUCCAUCAAAGAUACACUAUUUGCUACUGUGGGCGUACCGGCCAUUAGUAAUGGGCCAAAAUGUUCUCCAUGAUUAAAAAUAAAAUACAAUCAUGGCAUAAAAAUCUUGACCCUCAUUUUCAAGAGGUGACUUUCUCCAAGAAAGAAUUAUUUUCCUUUUUAUUUUCUCAUGGGGAGAAAGUUGGAGAUUCACAUUGUUUAUAUUUUUAUAAUAGUUUUAGAGUAGUUUUAAAGCUUCCAAAAAUUUCUCCCUUAUUUUUAUUUAGUAGGUUGGCUCAGUCCACUUGGUACCCAAAAACAAACCCAAUAAAUAAUUAUUUAUUGAAUUUGGUCAAUCCCAAUGUUUUCAAAACCGAAUUAGACAUUGAAUUAGAAAAAUUAUCGAUUCAUAGUUCACUGGUCAGACUAGUGACCGAACUGGUGACAUCAUAAAUACAUAAUUUAUAUUUUAUUAAAAUUAAAAAUAAUUUUAAAAUAUAUAUAUAAUUAAAAAUUAAUAAUAUUUGUAAUAUUAUUUAUUCAUUUUAUAUAAAUUUAUUAAUAUUUUAAAUUUAUUAAUAUAUGUAUAUAUAUAUAUAUAUAUAUAGAAUAUUUAAAUAUGAAAAUAUAUUGAAAAUGGGUAUAUAUAUAUAUAGGUAGUCUUUGAGUCAACAUGCAUAACAAGAUUGGACAUCAAUUAAUUCAUUUAAUAAUUAUGUUGAUUAGUUUAAUUAUACUUUUUAAAAUAUUUAACUCAUAUUUAACACAUUUUUAAUUUGAUUUUAAAUAAAUAGGUUAAUUGAGUUAUAAAUAUAUUAAUCAUAUAAAUUAACACAAGACCUAACUCAACCUAAUUAUUAAAUGGGACAAAUGAGUUAUACGAUAUGUUACUUGUUUAGUAAUUAUGUAGUAUUUUAGGUUUACGUUUUUAAUCAAAUUAUUAUUCGUGUCAAGUUUGACAUAACACACAUAUGACCCACCAACACAAAUUGUAACCCCUAAGCUUGUUCACUCAAAAAGUAAAUUUAUACUAAUAUUUAAUUACCUAGUUUAAACUAGUAGGAAUAUUUUUAAAUUAUUGCUUAGUUUUUUUAAAAUUUUUAAUAUUGACAUAUGUAUAUAGUUUCUCUAAAGACAUUUCAUUGAUGUAGAAUUCCAAAUAUAAUUUGUCUAUAUAAAGAUAUCAUAUAUUUUUAAUAAAUAUAUAUUGUAAGUUAAAUAUUAUAUUGUAUAAUAUGUUGUACUAUAUGCAUAAGUAAUACAUUACUAUUUUACAAAAUAAAAAAUACACUAUAUAAUAGUAAUAUAUUAUAUACAUAAAAAGUUUUUGUGUGUAAAGUAUCCAACCACAUUUUAAUUAAUAAUUGAUUAUUUUAUUUUUAAAUAAUCUAAUUAUGUAUUUAUUAUUUUUAAUUAUUAAUAACUAAUUUUUCAAAAGUGAUUUGUUAUUAAGAAUAAAAUCAUAAAUUAUGCCAUAAAAGUAGUAAUUGUUGUACAUACUAAUUUGUUAAGGAUUAUUAUUAUUAUUAUUAUUAUUUUACUUGCAUACAUUGUUUAAUAAAAUAUUUAUUUUAAGUUUUAAAUUCCUUACUUUAAAUUUUCAAUUUUAUUUUUAGUCUAAUUUUUAAUCUAUAAAUUCUAAUUUUUAAUUUUUAAAAUUUUAAUUCCUAAAUUUUAAAGGGGAAAUCAUGUAACCAUACAUCACCAAUAAAAUAAAUAAAUGAGAUUUUUAGAACUUUGCUUUUACCUUUUUAAUUUUAAUGUAAGAUGAGAAAAAAUAUUGCCUAUUCAUGUAUUUCAAUAGUGCUUUCAGAUUUGUUUCAUAAUUACUCUUGAAAGUAAAUGACAAAACACACAUCACUUUAAUACCACCUAUUGACAAGUACAUGAAUAAUUUAUUUUUCUUAUUUCUCUCACAUCAACUCUCUCACAUGUCUCACUUACCACUUGCCACAUUUCCACUUUUUUCUUUUUUCUUUCUUUCUUUUUUUCCCCCUCUUUUACCACCAUAAUCCUUAGUCACCUAUUAUAUUUUUCACUACUAUUUUUUUUCCUUUGAUAUUCUUUUUAAUAAGCUCAUAUAUUUUGUCAUAAAACUUCUUUAAUUUUAAUUUUUUUCACUCUCUAAUUUCUCUAUAUUUAUUUAUUACAAUUAUAAUUUUUUGGACAUAUUAUACUUAAAAUGAUAAUGUAUAAUAAAUAGUUAAUAUAACAAAUAAAAUAAAAUAUAUGUAUAAUGGAAAAAAAUGAAAAUAUUAUCCCACAAAUAAUGUACUUGAUGAUUUUAAAUAUUAAUUAUAUGAAUAUAUUUAAUAAAUUAAGGUUUAAAUUUAAAUAUUUUAUUUUAUUAUUUAGAGGUUUAUGAUAUAAGAUUUUUUUAUAUUAAUGCUAAACAAAAGAUUUAUUUAUUUUGUAAAUUCUAUCACAUGUAAAAGUAAAAAUAUCUUUAUAAUACUAUUUUAUUAUUUAUAUUAUUUUUAAAAUUUUUAUUUUAAAUUUAUCACAUCAAAAUCAGAAUAAGUUAUUGUGCUUUUAUCUCUUUUCUUAUGAUUUUAAUUUGAUUUUGGAUCUAACAUUUUGUUUGUUUAAAAUCUUUAAUUUUUAAUUAAAAUAAAAUAUAAAAGAAAAUAUAUUUUCAUAAAAAAAAUUGUGUUUAACCUUUCAUAUUAAUUUUAUAAAAAAUAAGUACAUCCAUAAGAAAAAUAGGUAAAUCCAUACCUAGGGGAAUCGAGACCCCUAUCAUCCUUGUCAUGGUCUAUAUAUUCCUUUGGGACCCUUGAUAAGUGAUUAGAGGUCCUUGCCUACCCCAGAAUGAACUUUGGAAUCCUAGGUACAUCCAUUCUUAAGAGAACCAAGACCCUUAUCUCAAUUCUCAUGGUUCAUAUAUUCCUUUAGGGAUCCUCGAGAAUGAAUUAUAGGUUGUUCUUCACCUUGGAUCAGACAUUAGAACCCAAGGUAUAUCCUAAAGAAAAUUUGGUACAUUUGAUCCUUGGGCUACCGAAACCCUUAUAUCCCUUCCCAUAGUCUAUUUGAUACUUUGGGGACUCUUGAGAAGUGAAUGGAGGUCGUUUCUAAUCUCGGAAUGGACUUUGAAACCUUAAGUACAUCCUUAAAAAAAUUUGUUACAUCAAAUUCUCAAGCUAUCGGGACCCUAUCUCCUUUCCCAAGGUCCAUUUGUUCAUUUAGGGAUCCUCGGGAAGUGAUUGGAGGCUAUUCCUCACCCCAAAAUGGACUUUUAAACCCUAAAUACAUCUUUAAGAAAAUUUGGUAUAUCUUAUCCUCUGGCUACCCCAUAUCGCUUCUUAUGGUCCAUUUGAUCAUUUAGAGACCAUUUAGAACUUCUUAUAUAAACAAAAAUAGAAUUAUAAAAUUCUUAUAAGAAAUAAAAUUUUUAUGACUUCUACAUGAAACCUUUUUUUUUUAAGUUAUAAGUUUUUUUAAAAAUAAUUAAAUAGGUAUAAAAACUUUUAUUUAACUCUUAAAAGUCAAUCCAAAUAAAAUUUAUAUAUAUAUAUAUAUAUAUAUAUAUAUAUAUUUGAAAAUCACUUUUAAAAAUCCAAAAAAUCACUUGAAAAUACUUUCCAAAACUUUUUUUAACUUACAUUUAAAAAAUAAAAAAUAAAAAAUGAUUAGUUUUUACUAGUUAUUUAAAUUUCAGGAAGCGAGAAAGAAUUUACUCUGAUGUAAAAAAAAUGAGAGAAAAGUAAUUAAAUCACUAAAAAAUAGACUUGGAGUUCCUUUGGUGUGCGGUUAGACUCAAUUUGUCCCCAUGCAAUGGAAAUGGACAAUAUUUUAUUUUUUUAUUUUUUUCCUUUUCCUUUAUGUUGGUGUAGUCUUGUGAUAUUGUUACUAAAAUAGGAGGUAAAAAUAUAAAUUAUACAUCCAUUAUUUUAAAUUUAGAAAAAAGUGCUUAUUUUAAUUUGAAAUAAAUAAAUAGAAAAAAAAACUGAUUUUAUCUCAAUUGUGUAAGACUUCAAAAAAAAUUUCUUAUUUGCAAAAUAUUUUGAGUUGUAAAAGUAAAAAUUAAACAAACCAUUUCAUGACCUUUUUCACAAGUAUCCAUUUAGAUCAUAGUCUAGUUUUAAAAUAUUUGAAUAAUCCAAUUACUCUAAACUAUAUCAUUUAUAAUUUUUUAAAUUAUUACUAUCAUACCUAACCUUGUAUGGAAUUGGAAUAAAAUAUGGAUAAGUAAAAGAUGUCAAAUGAAAGAUAAUUUCAAACUUUUCUAAUACAGCAUGAUAUUUUAUCAUGUUGAAUAAAAUUGGAAUGGACAAAAGUUGUCAAAUCAAGACUUCCAUGGCAAAUUCCACCAUUGCAUAUCUCAAAUAUUAUUCUACAACAUUAUCUUUGUAGACUUUUAACAAUCCAAGAAAUUGACAAAUUAUAUAAUAAUCCCAAACACAAUAUUCUACAACUUUACAAUAUUCUACAAUUUUUUGGAAUAAAAAAUAAAUAAUGAAAUCUACAACUUUAAAAUAUUCUACACUUUUUUUGAACAAAAAAAAAUAAAUAAUGAAAUCUUUGGCAUGUUAAUUCUUUGCAGCUUCAACAUGGUGGCAUGUCGGAUGGCGGAGGCAGCAUUUGAGCUUCUGGGUGUUUACAAUAUCUAUUGUUGUUAUUUAAAGGAAUCAUUGAAAUGAUUGCAUGAAAGAUUUAUUCCAUAGCCUAAAAUAAAUAUUGGCUUUAUAUAUAUAUAUGUGUGUGUGUGUGUGUGUGUGUGUGUGUGUGUUUGCUCAAAUGAUAGGCCGGUUUUAAGCCAUAAUAAUAAUAAUUGUAUUAUUGUAUUAUUGAAAUAAAAAGGUUAUUGUAUUAUUAUUUAUUUUUUUGAUUGAAUAGAAAAAAUCAAAAUAUUUGAUUUCUUUUUAUUCAACUAAAAGUAACUUGUUGAUAUACAAACACCCCAUCUCAGUGACUAUCAAACACGUACUCUUGUUAACANNNNNNNNNNNNNNNNNNNNNNNNNNNNNNNNNNNNNNNNNNNNNNNNNNNNNNNNNNNNNNNNNNNNNNNNNNNNNNNNNNNNNNNNNNNNNNNNNNNNUAAGCCAUAAUAAUAAUCAUUAUUUUACUUAUUAUUGAAAAAUAUAAGGUUGUUGAUAUCAACAAGUUACUUUUAGUUGAAUAGAAAAAAAAAUAUUUUAGCUUUUUUUAUUCAAUAAAAAAGCAAACAUAUCUAAAUUUAUAUAAUAAAAAUGCUUUAACUAGAAAUGAAUUUCAUAUGGACCACUAUCAAAUACCAUGCAUAGGGAGAAAUCCAGAUCCUCACUUGCUCUUUGAUUUUAAUGCAUUGAAUUUGAUGUUGCCUAAAACAAAUUAUAUUUCAUGUCCUGUAUUAUGAGUAGACAACCAUUCCUUAUGUUGGAUUUUAGAUAAAGAAUGGAUAUUGGAGAUUGGAGUUGUAAGAAAUUAGGAGAUCCUAAUUUUAAAUAUGUAACAAAGUUCUAUAAUCGCCUCAAUCCAUGUUUUAAAAAUUGUAUUUCUUUCUAAUAUUGGAGCAAACUUUUUCUUUGUUUCUUAUAAAUUUCAUUUGGGAAUGAUUUAAAAAUAAAUAAAUAAAAUCCCUUCUAAAUAUUAAAAAGUAACACUUUCUUAUAAAAAUUAAUUAGGUGGAUGGUAAGGUAAAAUUCAGGAUAACUUCAUAUUUUUUGCUUUAAUUGAAAAUUAAAAUCAAAAUUAAAGUAAUAAUUUUUAAGGGGAAAUAUUGAUAUUGUAAAACUUUUAUUAAACAUGAAAUAAUUUCUUAUAUAAACAAAAAUAGAAUUAUAAAAUUCUUAUAAGAAAUAACAUUUUUAUGACUUCUACAUGAAACCUUUUUUUUUAACUUAUAAGUUUUAAAAAAAUAAUAAUUAAAUAGGUAUAAAAACUUUGAUCUAACUCUUAAAAGUCAAUCCAAAUAAAAUUUAUAUAUAUAUACAUUUGAAAAUCACUUUUAAAAAUCCAAAAAAACACUUAAAAAUAAUUUCUAAAUAGUUUUUUUAACUUACAUUUAAAAAACAAAAAAAUUUAAAAUGAUUUGUUUUUACUAGUUAUUUAAAUUAAGGAAGCAGGAAAGGGUUUGCUCUAAUGUAAAAUAAAAAAAAAAAAAAAUGAGGGCUGAAAAGUAAUUAAAUCACUAAAAAUAGACUUGGUGUUCCUUCAGUGUGCAGUUAAACUCAAUUUGUCCCCAUGCAAUGGAAAUGGAAGAUUUUUUAUUUUUUAUUUUUUAUUUUUUUCCUUUUCCUUUAUCUUGGUGUGGUCUUGUGAUAUUGUUACUAAAAUAGGAGGUAAAAAUAUAAAUUAUAUAUCAAUUAUUUUAAAUUUAGGAAAAAAAAGUGCUUAUUUUAAUUUGAAAUAAAUAAGUAGAAAAAAACUGAUUUUAUCUCAAUUGUGAAAGACUUCAUUAAAAUUUUCUUAUUUGCAAAAUAUUUUGAGUUGUAAAAGUAAAAAUUAAACAAAUCAUUUCAUGACCUUUUUCACAACAUGAUAUUUUAUCAUGAUGAAUAAAAUUGGAAUGGUCAAAAGUUGUCAAAUCAAGACUUCCAUGGCAAAUUCCACCAUUGCAUAUUCAAAGACUAUUCUACAACAUUAUCUUUGUAGACUUUUAACAAUCCAAGAAAUUGACAAAUUAUAUAAUAAUCCCAAACACAAUAUUCUACAACUUUACAUUAUUUUUUUUAUUUUAAUACAAGAGAAAUCCUUAGUCAACAAUUUUUUUGAACAAAAAAUAAAUAAUGAAAUCUACAACUUUACAAUAUUCUACAAUUUUUUUGAACAAAAAAAUAAAUAAUGAAAUCUGAAUAAUGCAAACAAUCACUGAAAUCUUUGGCAUGUUAAUUCUUUGCAGCUUCAACAUGGUGGCAUGUCAGAUGGCGGAGGCAACAUUUGAGCUUCUGGGUGUUUACCAUUUUUCACUAUGAACGCAGUUUCCAUGCCCCAAGUCAGAUGGCGUUCUACAUGGCAGUGCAUGAACCACACCCCUGCAAUAGAGAAAACAUACCAACAUUACACCUAAUUUAUUGCAAUAUUAAGAAAAAUUAUUCCCUUGGUAUGCAGGUUGGCAGUUUCAAGGGUUUUUUUUAAUAGAGGACAUGAGUGCUUGCAACAUACCAGGGUUGGAUGCCUCGAAUCUGAUUGCAACCCAACCAUUCGUAGGAACAGAGAUGGUACUCUGAAGGGGAGGAUCCACUAGAUUAUAGCGCAAAGGGUCCCUAUUUUUAUCAAAAUUCCCAAAUCCCCAUCCAACAAGGUAGAAUCUAUAUCCAUGGAGAUGCAUGGGGUGGUGUGUCCCUGAAACCAAGUUUGUCCCUUGAAAAACAAUCUCCACUGUGGAGUUAUACUCGACCACCCUUACUUCUGUUCCAAUUUCCGGCGUUUGAUACUCCAAUGGAAGAUAAUCAGCUGUAAAAUCGAACACCAAUGGUGGAACGCUAGGAAAUUUAUCUCCAUAUACACCACUGAUGUUAUAAUAGUAAGCUUGUAGUAUGUCAAUCGUAGGGGAUUGGAAGCUUAUGUUGUUUAUACUUGCAGAGAGCCGCGUCCCAUUGGGCCCUGCACAUGAAUUAUUGGGGCAUAGGAACGAGUUUACAGAAAUAGUGUAAAUUAGUUUAGUGCUCGGGCUCAAUGGGACAUUGGAAGGAUGUUCCGCAUCUGCUAAGCUUCGAAGGCUAGCCAUGACCUGAACCGAUGCAUUUGUGUCAUUGUAUGCAGGAAAAUGAGGCAAAGAGGGAGGUGAAGAUGGAGUGUAGUAUCCUCUGUAUUGUACAAUAGCUGUGGUGGUUGUGUUAUCAUAAAAAUUUUGAGCUACCGGGGCAAUGGAAUAAGUUUUAGCCGCCAUGUAAUAGUGAUCCAGGCGUUGGUUAGCUUCUAGUAAGACAUCGAAGGUUUGGCCAGGAUAUAUUGUGAUAUAAUCUUGUGUCAAUGGUUUCGUGUAGCUACCAUCUAUUCCAACCACUGUCAUUUUAUGCUUGGCAAUUGAGAAGAAGAGAGCCUCUUGCAAAGCAGCAUUGAUUAUGCGAAGUAGAUAGGUCUUUCCAUGAUCCACCGUUAGCUUGAAUGUGCCUACAAUUAGAAAAGGAAAGUUGUAUACUUACGACUAGCGAAAAGAAAAGGAAAAACUUUCCAUGAGUAUCCACUAAUUAUGAAGUGAUUGAUUGAUUAGGGGUGUAAAUUUGGCUCCACAGUUCAAAAUUAUAUUUAGACUAGCCUUUUCAUAUGUGUUAAAUCAUGGCUCUACCAUCCUCAUAACUAUAUUCAUCUUUCUUAGCAUUAAGUUUUAAAUAUGUUGAUGUUAAUAAGAAAAAGUAAUAUGGUUAACAUACAAGAAAAUGAGAUCAGUGUACAAUUUUAAAAUGGGAAGUUAAACUUUAUACUUGAUUUUGAGCAUGGAUAUAGAUCACCGGGUUGUCCAUUUAUCAAUAAAGAAUCAGAGGCAUUGGGGUCAGCUCCGGUUGCAAGCCCUUCAUCUCGAACCGCAUUCACAUCACUCUUCCACCAUUGUCCUGCAUUUCAACAACUCCAAUAAUUUAGAUUUUGCUUUGUUGGUUAAUUCAUGAUAUGUAAAUUAACCUUUAAAAGCAACUACACUUAUACCUAAUAUGAUGGGAACUUCUGCGCUAGGUUUGGGAAAAGGAUACUUGGUUCCAUUCUUGGGAUAGACGAUUAUAGCUCCAUGAACGGUGGCUCGGGUCCAGUCACUGUGAGCAUGCCACCAUAGAGUGCCUUCCUCAGAGGAAAGGAUGAUCUUUUGGCUAAACUUUGACCCUGGUUGAAUUGGGCAUUGUGUGAUAUACUCGGGACCAUCUGUCCAUGGAUAUCUAGGCAUGCUCACCCCAUGCCUGCAAAACAAUAACUAUACGUUAAAACUAGUACUAAUUUUCAGGCUAACAAAAGAUGGCAUGUAGCAACAUAUUAUCACAGUAACAAGAGGCAUCAACUGUAUUUCAAUGGAACUGAUGCAAAUAACCCUAAGAUAUUAUUUUAAAUUCAACUUUAUUUGCAAAGCAAUACAUUGCAGCCCCCUCUUAGAAAUAAAAGAUUGUAUGUCAUGCAGGCAUGCUGCCCACUACUAUCUUUCUCCGAGACAUGCAUGGGACCUACCAGUGAAUGGUGACAUUUUCUUUUCCCCUGUUAUAAACGUCAACAAUGAUCGUCUCUCCUUUCUUAGCAUAUAUAGUUGGUCCUGGAAAUUGUCCAUUUACCGUUAAGAUGUUCUUGGUGCUACAAAGCCUUGUAUAUGAAGCCUCCUUCACCUGCAACCAAUUAAAAGUUAACCAUGCAACCUCAUCCCAAAAGAAAUAUUACAUGCAUGAAUAGUUGCAUCGAUCCAUUCAUGCAAGUGUAUAACCAAUUAGAAAUUGAUAGCAUGCAUGAACGACUCAAUGACACCAGGGUACCCGAAGAGACCCCAUGAGGGUCAUACGGUGGAAAAUGAGAGCCACACUGCUCCAUAAAUAUUAUGAUCAGAAGUGGCAUUAAGGCAUAAUCAUAUAAAGUAUUUACCACAAAAGUAAGCCGACGAGUUGAAGCUUGGCAAUGGAUGCCACCACCAAAAAGUAGAAACGCUGAAAUUUGCAAGAGGAAAACCUUCAUGAUCAGCCACAUCUUCUUUGGAAUAAAAGCCUCUUCUCUUGUCCUAAACACAACUCCUUCAAUUUUCUUACUAUUUCUAAUAAGCACGACUUAUCUUCUCUCUGACAUGAAUAGAUGAAUUCUUAAAGGUAUUUAUAGAGGCUGGAGGUGAAAGCUGAACAGCUGGUUUCUCUCCAACUUUUGCUGUAUUUCUUUAAUAUAUAAUUCAGAAUCUAUUGAAGAUGAUUUUCCUGGGGUACAACCAUUCCUCGCCGAGUAUCAAUAUAAGAGAAGUAAUUUGAAUGUGUAUUGGUUUUGAACGUUCUUCCAGGACCGCUUCAAAGAGCAGGUUGUGUAUGAUAUGAAGACGAGUUUCUUAGAAUCUCUUGAAUUUUCUAAUUCAAAAUACAAGUUUGACUUUGAGAAUUGACCAAGAAAUUAAUCAAGCACAUUAUUUUAGAAUAAAUUUAAAAUAUAUGUAGAAUACUUUUAAAACUUUGACCUCGGAUAUAUACGGUACCUUUAUCAAGAUUAGUUGGCGCUGCUUUGAGAAGGAAUAUAGGAUUCCUUCUCAAAUCAUUCAAAUCAUUCUAAUGAACCGGAUCGAAAAUUCCUUGUCCAGUUGGAGGGUCAAUCCAGACAUUCAAAUCUUUUUUUCUUUUUCUUUUUUUCUUUUUUGAAUAUUAAAAUUAGGUAAGCAAUGAAAUCAUUCAAUAUACUCAUCUAUUGUUCAUAACAUCAGCAUCUGCCAAUUGUUUAUUGUACAUUUUCAAACAUUCAGACAUUUUCAAACAUCAAAUCUCCACUUUUUUAAAAUAAUAAUAAUAAUAAUAAAUAAUUAUAGAUUUAAAAAUAACUUUUUUCAGAACAAAUAAGAAAUAAUUCAAACUUUCUUGUUUGGUUUAUUGUACCAGAUACAAAGAAAAAUCAUUAUAUAAAUAAAUGAUGCAAAGAUGUAUAUAUUUUUAAAUUAUUUAUAAACAGAAAAAAUGAUGAAUAAAAUUUAAGACGUGAAAAUUUGAUCAAGUUAAUUUAAACUUCUUUUAUUUUUUUUCACUUUUUUUCUCCUAUUUUUUCACACCAUUUUUUUCUCACAUUUCCUUUUAAACUUUUGGAAUAAAUAUUUAUUUGUGGAGCUUUAAUAUAUAUUUUUUUCUCCAUAUUAUACAUAUUUAUGCAAUAUUUGGUUAACCUAUUUUGAAUUUCUAUUUUUACCUUAACAAGAAACAUUUCUUGAAAAUGAAGAUAAUUUUCUCCUUAUUUUCAAAUUUGUGUUUCUCCACUUUUUUUUUUUUUAAAUAAUAGUAAUAAAAAAUAAUUAUAGAUUUAAAAAUAACUUUUUUCAGAACAAAUACAAUAUAUAGCCGGCUUAUAAAAACUAUUAUCUAAAAAAAGGAAAAAACAAAAAAAGGAAAAGUAAAAUAAGAAAUAAUUCAAACUUCCGUAUUUGGUUUAUUGUACCAUAUACAAAUAGUUUUAAAUAAUAAAUUCGAAGAUCAUCCCAAACACUUUAAAGAGUUUUAGAAAUCAAUACUAAAUUCAAUCUUAAUUUAAAACUCCUAAAUAAUUAAUUGUAAAGUUGUUUUCAAAGGAAACCCUUCUUAUCUUGAUUUCCCCUCACUAAGAUACUUAAAAAGUGGAAUAAUAGAUAAGAGUGAACUUAAAACUCAAUUAAGAAAAUAGGUCAAUAAGGAAGAUCAAGUAUAGUACAAAGUUAAAUCUUAGGAGAUAUCACAUCUUUAUAAAAAAAAAAAAAAAUCAAUUAGUAGUUCAUUUAAUUCAAUAAUUAAAUUCAUUUUGUUAAAAAAAUUAUGCACUUUCAAUUUAAAGAUAGAAUUAAAUAAUAUACUUUACAUACUUAAAUUAUAUUUUAAAAAUUAUAAACAAACAUUUUACUCUGACUCAUUGAUAAUAACAUUGUGCCCAAAUAGUAGAACUUGCAUUAGAUGGCUAGUCUCACAUUGUGCCUUUUAGCAAUGGACAAAAUGAUUUAUAAUCAAUGAUAUACCAAAGGCGAAUAACACCCUUAUUAGCUAGAGUUACAUUAUCACUAUCCUCACCAAAGGUAACGCAGGUCAACAACUUCUCUCUUAAACCAAUGUAAUAAAUUAAAUGAUAAAAUUCAUUUGCAUAACAAUAAACAAAUCAUAUGAUAUUCCCAAUUUAUUUUAUAAACUAAGGAACAAAUCAUAACAUUUUUAGUAAAAUAUUAUUUGAUCCACUUUAAGGAACUUAAACAUUUUGAUAGUUUAAAAGUAGAUUUUAAAAAAUAAGAAAUUAUAAAAUGGUUUACUAUACUAUUAACCCUUACCUUGAAGAAAUCAUUCAAAAUCCUGAAAGACUUAAUCUACACCUAAUAUAAAUAUAAAUAAAAAAUAAUUAUUAAAGACUAAUUAUCUAAAUUAAUGACUUUCUAAAUUUUUGUAAAACUUAUUUUAAUUCCAAACCCUUUUCUAAAGUUCUAUUUUUUUAAUUAAAUUUUUUAUUAACCAUAUUAUUAUUAUCAUUUUCACUUCCCAUAAUUACAUUAACAGAUUUUGUUGAAUUAUUGAUGUUAAUAUUCCUUUUUUUCAUGGUAGGAAGUAGGUAAUUAUUUAUUAAUUUACUACUACUUUUACUUAUCUCCUACCCACAACCCAAAUCUUAUUAUUACUUGAUUAUUUCUUUACCACAACCACUUUCCUCAUUUCCUCAAUUCUUCUUCCUAUUAAUCUUCUGGUUAAAGAAAGAUAAAAGAAUCUAAAAAGCAAAUCACGCAUGAAGAACUUGCCUUAAAUUUCAUAAUGAAGCAAAUAAAAAAAGUUUCUUCUUUCUGACCCUUCGAACCAAACUUCUCUAUAGACCUUGCUAUUAUUUCUUUUUUUCUCUCUAUUUUAUCUUUUUAGUUUUUAAUAAUGUGGAGAAAUCAAUGGAAUUUAGGGGUAAAUUAUACUUUUGUCGCUAAAAGUAACUUUUAUCGAUGAAAUUUUAGAUGUUGUCAAUGGUGCCAAUUUUUUUUAAAAAAAUUCUAAUGAAUUUGAAAAUUUCAUCACUAAAAGACAUGAUGGGAAAAUUUUGGUGUUGUCAUUUUCUUGGCACAAACACUUUUGUGAUAGAAAAAAAUUAUUUUCUCACAAAAGUAUUUGUCACUAAUUAUAAUUUUUGGUGACUAAAAGUUACAACUUUUUAUAUAUAUUUGCUUGAAAAAUGGUUUCAUUAAGUGAUUAUAUUAUUUCUUGACAAAUUGAGUAAUUUUAUCACUAAAUAAUGUUAUUAAAUUGUGAUAUUAAUAAGUAAUAUUGAUAAAUAGCUAGAUGAUUUAUAUUGUGAAAUAACAUAUGUAUUUUUUGAGACUUAAUAUUUAUACUAUAAUAUUUUAUUUAUAUAAAUAAUAAUAAAAUAAUUAAAGAUCCAUAAAAUGAAAUACUACAAUAUAGAUUUAUUUUAAUUUAAUUUUUUUGUAAUGUAAUAAUAGUAUUGUUACGAAAUAAUAAAAAGGUAAAUUAUUUGAGCAAUUAAUUUUUAUAUUGUAAUGUGUUAUUUAUAUUUUUUUAAUAUAAAUAAUAACAAGUAAUUCAAGGCGUGUAAGAUUAUAUCCUAUAAUAUAAAUUUAUUUAAAUUUCAAUAUUAUUACAUGAUGUUACCCAUUAUAAAUAAUACUAAAUGAUUUUUAUUAUAUUAGGUAAAAGUUAUCUAUACAACUCUAAAAUAGUAUUGAAUUUAAGUUAGUUAUGGAUAAGCCAUAGUCCACUAAUUUGUUCUCAUUCAAAAUCAUACCUUGUCUACUUAAGAAGUAAACUUAUACUAACUUUUAAUUACAUAGUUUAAACUAAUAGAUUUUUUUUAAAAAUAAUUGUUCAGAAUGGAAUUUAUCAAAUAAAUUGCCUAGCAUCUAUAAAGACAUUUUAUUUUCAUAAAAUUCCAAAUAUGACUUUUGUUUAUAAAGAUAUAUAUUAUUAAUAAAUAUAUGAUUGCAAGAUAAAUAUUAUAUGAUAUAAUAUAUGACGCUAUAUGCCUGACUACUAUAUUACUAUUUACAAAAUAAAACAUGUACGUAUAAAUUUUUUUUUUUUGUAAAGUAUUCAACCAUAUCUUUAUUAAUAUUUGAUUACUUUAUUUUUUAAUGAUUUCAUUAUGAAUUUAUUAUUUUAAUUAUUAAUUACUAAUGUACUAAAAGUGAUUAGUUAUUAAGAAUAAAAAUCAUAAAUUAUACCUUAAAAUACUAACUACUAUAGCUAUUAAGUUGUAAAGGAAUUUUUAUACUUGUAUACAUUUUUUAACAAUUUUUCUUUUUUUAUAAAAAAUAUAGUUAUAAAAGUAAUUGAAAUAUAUCAUAAAUUAUUAUAUGAUUUACCUUUAUAGUGUUUGAUAUUUUUGUUUGAAAUACAAUAGAAAGAGAAAGAAAAAAGAAAAUGAUGUAGAACUCUAAUCUCAUUUUGAUCAUUAUUUUAUUGAUGUUGGUUCAAGUAUUACACUUCAACAUUAUUCCAAUGUUUUCUAUUAAUCAUACUUUUCUUUUAGCUCAAUUUCAAAAUUUUCACUUUAAUCUAGAAGUCUAGAAUUAAAUUUAUGUUAGCUAUGAAUAAACUAUAGUCCUCUAAUUUGUUAUCAUUCAACAUAAGGCUUGUUUAAGGAUGAUAAAAUUUGAUACAAUUCGUCAACAAGACUUGAAUCUAACAUGCUUUUUAUGGGUUUGAUUUGAGUAUAAUUGAGUUUGAGUCAAAUUCAUGUUGACCUAUAUAACUCAUUUAAUAACUAGGUAGUCUUUGGGUCAACAUGCAUAACAAAAUUUGACAUCAAUUAAUUCAUUUAAUACAUGUGUUGAUUAGUUUAAUUAUAACUUUAAAAUAUUUAACCCAUAUUUGACACAUUUUAAAUAAAUAGGUCAAUUGAGUCAUAAACAUAUUAGUCAUAUAAAUUAACACAAGACCUAACUCAACCUGAUUAUUUAAUGAAAAGAUCUAAUUACUAAAUGAAACAAAUCAGUUACAUGACAUGUUACUUGUUUAGUAAUUAUUUAUUAUGUUAUGUUUACAUUUUUAACCAGAUUAUUAUUCGUGUCAGGUUUGACACAACAUAAAUAUGACCCAUCAACACAAAUUGCAACCCCUAAGCUAGUUCACUCAAAAAGUAAAUUUAUAUUAAUAUUUAAUUACCUAGUUUAAGCUAGUAGGAAUAUUUUUUUAAUUAUUGCUUAGUUUUUAAAAAAUUGUUAACAUUGGAAUUUAUCAAAUAAAUAGUCUAGUUUCUCUAAAGACAUUCCAUUGAUCUAGAAUUCCAAAUAUAAUUUGUGUGUAUAAAGAUAUCAUAUAUUUUUAAUAAAUAUAUAUUGUAAGUUAAAUAUUAUAUCAUAUAAUAUAUUGUACUAUAUGCAUAACUAUAUUACUAUUUUACAAAAUAAACAAUACACUAUAUAAUAGUAAUAUAUUAUAUACAUAAAAAGUUUUUUUGUAAAGUAUCCAACCACGUCUUAAUUAAUAAUUGAUUAUUUUAUUUUUAAAUAAUCUCACUAUGUAUUUAUUAUUUUUAAUUAUUAAUUACUAAUUUUUCAAAAGUGAUUUGUUUUUAAGAAUAAAAUCAUAAAUUAUGUCAUAAAAGUAGUAAUUGUUGUAGAUACUAAUUUGUUAAGGAGUGUUUUUACUUGCAUACAUUAUUUAAUAAAAUAUUUAAUUUAUGUUUUAAAUUCCUUACUUUGAUUUUUCAAUUUUAUUUUUAGACUAAUUUUUAAUCUAUAAAUUCUAAUCUUUAAUUUUUAAAAUUUUUAAUUCCUAAACCUUAAAGGGGAAAUCAUGUAACCAUAUAUCACCCAAAAAAAAUGAGAUUUUUAGAACUUUGCUUUUACCUUUUUAAUUUUAAUCGUAAGAUGAGAAAAAAUAUUGUCUAUUCAUGCACUCCAAUAGUGCUUUCAGAUUUGUUCUAAAAUUACCCUAAAAAAUAAAAGACAAAGUACACACCACUUCAAUACCACCUAUUGACAAGUACAUAAAUUAUUUAUUUAUUUUAUUUCUCUCACAUCAACUCUCUCACACAUCUCAGUUACCACUUGCCACGUUCUCACUUUUUUCCUUUUUUCUUUUCUCUUUCCUUUUUCCCUCCUCUUUUACCACCAUAAUCCUUAGCCAUCUAUUAUAUUUUUAUUGUUAUUUUUUUCUUUGAUAUUCUUUUUUAAUAUGUUCGUAUAUUUUCUCAUAAAACUUCGUUAAUUUUAAUUUUUUUCACUCUCUAAUUUCUCCAUAUUUAUUGAUUAUAAUUAUUUUUUGGACAUAUUAAACUUAAAAUGAUAAUAUAUAAUAAAUAUUUAAUAUAACAAAUUAAAUAAAAAUAUAUAUAUAAUGGACAAAAAUGAAAAUAUUAUCCCACAAAUAAUAUACUUGAUGAUUUUAAAUAUUAAUUAUAAUAAUAUAUUUGAUAAAUUAAGGUUUAAAUUUAAAUAUUUUAUUUUAUUAUUUAGAGGUUUAUGAUAUAAGAUUUUUUUAUAUUAAUGCUAAACAAAAGAUUUAUUUAUUUUGUAAAUUCUAUCACAUGUAAAAGUAAAAAUAUCUUUAUAAUACUAUUUUAUUAUUUGUAUUAUUUUUCUUUUAAUUUUUAUUUUAAAUUUAUCACAUCAAAAUCACAAUAAGUGAUGGUGCUUUUAUAUUUUUUCUUAUGAUUUUAAUUUGAUUGUGGAUCUAACUUUUUGUUUGGCUAAAAUCUUUUAUUUUUAAUUAAAAUAAAAUAUAUUUUUCAUAAAAAAAAAAAUUGUAUUUAACCUUUCAUAUUAAUUUCCUAAAAAAUAAGUACAUCCUUAAGAAAAAUAGGUAAAUCCAUGCCUAGGGGAAUUGGGACCCCAAUCAUCCUUGUCAUGGUCUAUAUAUUACUUUGGGAUCCUUGAUAAGUGAUUAGAGGUCCUUACCUACCCAAGAACGAACUUUGGAACCUUAGGUACAUCCAUUCUUAGGGGAACCAAGACCCUUAUCUCCAUUCUCAUGGCUCAUAUAUUCAUUUAGGGACCCUCGAGAAGGAAUUAUAGGUUGUUCCCCACCCUGGAACAGACAUUGGAACCUAAGAUAUAUCCUAAAGACAAUUUGGUACAUUCGAUCCUUGGGCUACUGAGACCCUUAUAUCCUUUCCCAUAGUCUAUUUGAUACUAUGAGGACUCUUGAAAAAUGAAUGGAAGUUGUUCCUCAUCUUGAAAUGGACUUUCGAACCCUAGGUAUAUCCUUAAAAAAAAUUGGUACAUCCAAUUCUUGGGCUACAAAGACCCCUAUCUCCCUUCCCAAGGUCCAUUUAUUCAUAUAGGGAUCCUCAGGAAGUGAUUAGAGGCUAUUCUUCACCCCAAAAUGGACUUUUAAACCCUAAAUACAUCUUUAAGAAAAUUUGGUAUAUCUGAUCCUCUAGCUACUGGAACCCCUAUAUCACUCAUCAUGGUUCAUUUGAUCAUUUGGGGACCCUUUAGAAGUGAUUUCAAGUCAUUCCCAAUCUCAGAAUGGACUUUGAAACCCUAGGUACAUCCUUAAGAAAAUUUGGUACAUCUAAUCAUCAAGCUACCAGGACCCCUAUCUCCAUUUCCAUGGUCCGUUUGUUCCUUUAGGAACUCUUGGGAAGUGAUUGGAUAUCGUUCCCCAACUCAGAACAGAUAAUGGAACCCUAGGUACAUCCUUAAGAAAAUUUGAAACAUCCAAUCCUUGGGCUCAUGAGACACCUAUCUCCUUUCCCAUGGUCCAUUUAUUCUUUUAGAGACCCUCAGGAAGUGAUUGGAGGUUGUUCCUCACAUUGGAAUGAAAUUUGGCACCCUUGGUACAUCAUUUACAAAAUUUAGUACAUCCUUUACAAAAUUUGGUACAUCCUUCACAAAAUUUGGUACAUCCUUAAAAAAAUUUGGUACAUCCUUAAAAAAAUUUGGUACAUCCAAUCUUUGAGCUAUCGGGACCCCUAUCUUAUUACCUAUGGUCUAUUUACUCCUUUAGGGAUCUUUGGAAAGUGAUUAAAGGUUGAUCCCUAGCUACUUCAAAACAGACUUUGGAACCCUAGGUACAUCCUUAAGAAAAUUUGUUACAUCUAAUCCUUGAGCUAAUGGGGCACCUAUCUAUCUUCCUAUGGUCCAUUUAUUCAUUUGGACACCCUUAAAAAGUGACUGGAGGUUGUUCCUUACCUCAAAAUGGACUUUGAAACCCUUAGUACAUCCUCUAAAAAUUUUGGUACAUCAUUCACAAAAUUUGGAACAUCAUUCACAAAAUUUGGUACAUCCUUAAAAAAAUUUGGUAUAUCCAAUCCUUAAGCUACCAGGACCCCUAUCUUAUUACCCAUGGUCUGUUUAUUCCUUUAGGAAUCUUUGGGAAGUGAUUGGAGGUUGUUCUCUACUCCAAAACAAACUUUGGAACCCUAGGUAUAUCCUUAAGAAAAUUUGAUACAUCCAAUCCUUGGGCUAAUGGGACACUUAUCUCCCUUCUUAAGGUCUAUAUAUUCCUUUGGAGACUCUCGGGAAGUGAUUGAAGGUCAUUCCCACCUCGAAAUAGACUUUGGCACCAUUGGUACAUCAUUUACAAAAUUUGGUACAUCCUUCACAAAAUUUGGUACAUUCUUUAUAAAAUUUGGUACAUCCUUAAAAAAAUUCAGUACAUCUAAUUCUUGAGAAAUUGAGACCCCUAUCUUAUUAUCCAUGGUCUGUUUUUUCCUUUAAAAGUCUUUGGAAAGUGAUUGGAGGUCGUUCCCUACUCUGAAAUGAACUUUGGAACCUUAAGUACAUCCUUAAGAAAAUUUGGUACAUCUAAUCCUCAAGCUAUUGGGACACCUAUCUCCAUUCUCAUGGCCCAUUUGUUCAUUUGGGGGCACUUAGGAAGUAAUUGAAGGUUGUUCCUUACUAUGAAAUGAACUGUGGAACCUUAGGUACAUCUUUAAGAAAUUUUUGUAUUUAUAUGGUUCUGUAAUGUUUUGAUGUUGUUAAUCUAAAUAAGGUGGUUGACUCAUAAUUUAUAAUCAUCAGGAGAAAAAAUAUUAUGUUUAUUCAUGACCAGAUGAAAAUGAAUAAAAAAUGGAAUUAUUGUCACUUUUAAUGGUAUUAUAUUAUGAAUCAUUUGAAUAGUUUUCUUAAAAAAAAAUAAUUGUCAAUUUCAAAUGGAUUAUAGUUGAAUUGAAAAAUGAAGGAAUAUAGUUGUAGUAAAGAAGGGUUGAAUUUGUGUGGGCAUUAUGAAAAAAAGAGGUCAACCCUUAUAUGAAAAACAGAUUGUUAAGUAGUGGGCAUAAUAGUGGACGACCUUUUCAUGUAGGGCUAACCCUUUUUAGCUUAUGACCCUUAGUCAUAAUAUUAGUCUUUUUUGAAGUGGUCAAUAGCAAAAAUAAGGGUCGACCCUUUAGUUCAUAGGCAGUCCCAUCAUGUUUUUAAAAUUGGUUUUGUUUUAUGUGGGCGGUAGGCAAAACAAAGGUUGACCCAUUGUUUAAUAGGUAGGCCUUUGAAUAUGGACGUUACAACCUUAGAACAUGGACAGUGAGGAAAAUAGUGGUCACCCCAUGUAUUCAGAGGUGGAGCCUGAACUUAUAUUAUAUAUCAAAUAAGUACCUAACAAAUAAAUAAAUAAAAGUAAAUGCAUUGUGUGAUGUUUGGUAUAGACAAUACAUGUCAAUAUUUAACACAUUAAUGUCACACCAUAAAGUGUUAAUUAAGAGGACUUGGAUUGUUCAUAAUCUAAAUGAGGCAUUAAUAUAUGAUGGCUAUAUGUGUGAUUGUGAUAAUUGUUAUAAGUAAUUAGCUUUGACAAGGUUAUUUACAAAUAUAUAUUUAAACAAUUAAAUACCUAAUGAGGUCUAAGUGUGAGAAUAAAAUAAGUUAUGCUUAUUUUGUAAAUGUUGUAAGUAUUUUUGUGAUGAAUAUAUGUAUUAUUGGAAAUAUUUAUGAGCAUGCCUAGUUUAUUGAUAUAUAUAUAUAUGUAUGUAUGUAUGUAUGUAUGUAUGUAUGUAUGUAUGUAUGUAUGUAUGUAUGUAUGUAUUAAAAAUGUAAAAUCAAGGAUUAGAUGUACCAAAUUUCAUGAAGAAUGUUCCAAAUUUUGUGAAUGAUGUACCAAAUUUUUUCAAGGAUGUACCAAGGGUGCCAAAGUCCAUUCUGAGGUGAGGAACGACCUCCAAUAACUUCUAAAGGGUCUCCAAAGGAAUAAAUGGACCAUGGGAAGGGAGAUAGGUAUCUUGUUAGCCCAAGGAUUGGAUGUAUCAAAUUUUCUUAAGAAUGUACCUAGAAUUCCAAAGUCUAUUUUGGAGUAGGGAACGAAUUCCAAUCACUUCCCAAAAAAUUCCUAAAUGAAUAAAUCAACCAUGGGUAAUAAGAUAGAGGUCCCAAUAGCUCAAGGACUGGAUGUACCAAAUUUGUAAAGGAUGUAUCAAAUUUUGUAAAGGAUGUACCAAGGGUGACAAAAUCCAUUCCAAGGUGGGGAAUGACCUCUAAUCACUUUCGAAGGGUCUCUAAAGGAAUAAAUGGACCAUAGGAAAGGAGAUAGGUGUCCCGUUAGUUCAAGGAUUGGAUGUAACAAAUUUUCUUCAGGAUGUACCUAGGGUUCCAAAGUCCAUUUUGAAGUAAGGAACAACCUCCAAUCACUUCCCAAAGAUCCCAAAAGGAAUAAAUGAACCAUGGGUAAUAAGAUAGGGGUCUUGGUAGCUCAAGGAUUGGAUGCACCAAAUUUUUUUAAGGAUGUACCGAAUUUUGUAAAGGAUAUACCAAAUUUUGUAAAAGAUGUACCAGAUUUUGUAAAUGAUGUACCAAGGGUGCCAAAGUUCGUUCCAACGUGGGGAACUACCUCCAAUAAAUUUCCGUGGGUCUCAAAAGGAAUAAAUGAACCAUGAGAAGUGAUAUAGGUGUCCCAUUAGCUCAAAGAUUAGAUGUACCUAGAGUUAAAAAUUCCAUUUUGAAGUAGGGAUCAACCUUCAAUCACUUCCCAAAGAUUCUUAAAGGAAUAAACGAAUCAUGAGUAAUAAGAUAGGAGUCCUUGUAGCUCAAGGAUUGGAUGUACCAAAAUUUGUGAAGGAUGUACCAAAUUUUGCAAAGAAUGUAUCAAGGGUACCAAAGUUGUUUUCAAGGUCGGGAACGACCUCCAAUCACUUCCCGAGGGCCUCUAAAGGAAUAAAUGGGCCAUGAGAAGGAAGAUAGGUGUCCUAUUAGCCUAAAGAUUGGAUGUACGAAAUUUUCUUAAGGAUGUACCUAGGGUUCCAAAGUCCAUUUCAAAGUAGGGAACGACCUUCAAUCACUUCCCAAAGAUCCCUAAAGGAAAUGGGUAAUAAGAUAGGGGUCUUGGUAGAUCAAGAAUUGGAUGUAUUAAAUUUUUUUAAGGAUGUACCAAAUUUUGUAAAAGAUGUACCAAAUUUUGUAAAUGACGUACCAAGGGUGCGAAAGUCCAUUCCGAGGUUGGGAACAAUCUCCAAUCAUUUCCUAAGGGUCUCCAAAGGAAUAAAUGAACCAUGAGAAGGGAGAUAGAUGCCUUAUUAGCCUAAGGAUUGGAUGUGCCAAACUUUCUUAAGGAUGUACCUAGGGUUCCAAAGUCUGUUUUGGAGUAGGGAAUGACCUCCAAUCACUUCCCAAAGAUCCCUAAAGGAAUAACAGAGGGUAAUAAGAUAGGGGUCCCGGUAGCUUAAGGAUUGAAUGUAUCAAAUUUUUUUAAGGAUGUACCAAAUUUUGUGAAGGAUGUACCAAAUUUUGUAAAGGAUGUACUAAGGGUGCCAAAGUCCAUUCCGAGGUCGAGAAAGACCUCUAAUCACUUUCCGAGGGUCUCUAAAGCAAUAAAUAGACAAUGAGAAGGGAGAUAGGUGUCCUGUUAGCCCAAAGAUAAGAUGUAUCAAAUUUUCUUAAGGAUGUACCUAAGGUUCUAAUGUUUAUUCCAGGGUGGGGAACGACCUCCAAUCAUUUCUUAAGGGCCCCCAAAGGAACAAAUGGACCAUGGGAAAGGAGAUAUAGGUCUCGAUAACCUGAUGAUUGGAUGUACCAAAUUUUCUUAACAAUGUACCUAAGGUUCCAAUGUCCGUUCCGAGGUAGGAAACAACAUCUAAUGACUUCCUAAAGGAACAAAUGAACCAUGGGAAGGGAGAUAGGGGUCCUAGUAGCCUAAGGAUUCAAUGUACCAAACUUUAUUAAGGAUGUACCUAGGGUUCCAAAGUCUAUUUAGAGGUAGAGAAUGACCUCCAAUCACUAGGGUUCCAUUAUUAGUUCCAGAGUGGGGAAUGACAUCCAAUCACUUCUCGAGAGUUCCAAAAUGAAAAAAUGGACCAUGGGAAAUGAUAUAGGGGUCCUAGUAUCUCAAUGAUUGGAUGUACCAAUUUUUCUUAUGGAUGUAAUUAAGGUUCCAAUGUUAGUUUCAAGGUAGGGAAUGGCCUCUAAUCACUUCCCAAGGAUCGGAUAUACCAAAUUUUCUUCAAGAUGUAUCUAGGGUUUAAAAGUCCAUUUUGGGGGUAAGAAAUAACCUCCAAUUACUUCCUGAUGGUCCAUAAAGGAGCAAAUGGACCUUAGGAAUAACGAUAGGGGUCUUGGUAGCCCAAGGAUUGGAUGUACCAAAUUUUCUUAAAGAUGUACCGAAUUUAUAUGAGGAUAUAUCUAGGGUUCCAAAGUCUAUUCUGAGGUGGGAAACGACUUACAAUUACUUCCUAAGGGUCUUUAAAAGAUCAAAUGGACCAUGGGAAGGGAUAUAAGGGUCCUGGUAGCUUCAGGAUCGGAUAUACCAAAUUUUCUUAAGGUUAUACCUAGGAUUCCAAACUCCAUUCCAAGAUAGAAAACAACCUCUAAUCCUUUCCUAAAGGUCUCCAAAUGAAUAUAUAGACCAUGAAAAGGAGAUAAGGGUUUUGAUUCCCUUAGGAUUGGAUGUACCUAUUUUUGUUAAGGAUGUACUUAAGGUUUCAACGUUCGUUUUGGGAUGAGGGAGGACCUCCAAUGACUUAUCGAGGGUUCCCAAAGGAAUAUAUAGACUAUGAUAAGGAAGAUAGGGAUCCUUGUUCCCCUAGGAAUGGAUGCACCUAUUUUUUCUUACGGAUGUACCUAUUUUUUAUGAAAUUAAUAUAAAAGGUUAACUACAAUUUUUUUUAAUGAAAAAAAUUUAUUUUCUUUUAUAUUUUAUUUUAAUUUAAAAUUAAAAAUUUUAAUGAAACAAAAAAUUAGAUCCAUGAUCAAGUUAAAACCAUAAGAAAAAAAAAGCAUCAUCACUUACUAUGAUUUUGAUAUGAUAAAUUUAAAAUAAAAAUAAAAAUAAUAUAAAUAAUAAAAUAGUAUUACAAAUAUAUUUUAUUUUUACAUGUGAUAUGAUUUACAAAAUAAAUAAAUAUUUUAUUUAGCAUUAAUAUAAAAAAAUCUUAUAUCAUAAAACUAUAAAUAAUAAAAUAUAAUUUUAAAAUUUAAUCCUUGAUUUAUCAAUUGAAUUACUAUAAUUAAUAUUAAAAAUCAUCAAGUAUAUUAUUUGUGGAAUAAUAUUUUCAUUUUUGUCCAUUACAUAUAUUUAUGUUUUUAUUUAAUUUUUUAUAGUAACUAUAUAUUAUUAAUAUUAUUAUUUUAAGGUUAAUUUGUCCAAAAAAUAAUUAAAAUCAAUAAAUAUGGGGAGAUUAAAGAGUGAAAAAAAUUAAAAUUGAAGAAGUUUUAUGAGAUAAUACAUUAGCAUAUUAAAAGAAAUGUCAAAUGAGAGAUAGAAAAAUAGGAUAUGGUGAUAAGAAAGAAGAAAAAAUGAUAAAAGAAAAAAGUAAAAUGUAGAAACGUGGCAAAAGGUGAGAUGUGUGAGGGAGUUUAUGUAAGAGAAAAAAAAAAGUGAUUGGUGUACUUGACAACAACAUUUAAUGUGGUAAGUGUACUUGCCCUCAACUUUUGAGGGUAAUUUUGGAACAAAUUCAUAAGCACUAUUGGACUGCAUGAAUUGGUAAUAUUUUUUUUUCCAUUUUACAUUAAAAUUGAAAAAAUAAAAACAAAGUUCUAAAAACCAUAUUUUUUUUGUUGGUGAUGUACCAAAGCAUGAUUAUCCCAAUUUUAAAUAAUACAAAAAUCAUAAAUUUUGAAAUUUUUUUUUAAUCUAAAUUUUUUUAUUUGUAAAUUUUAAUGUUUAAUUUUUUAAUUUCUAAAUUUUAAAUAAUAUAAAACUCAUGGCAUGAUGAAGCACAUUAAAUGUGUUGCAGUAGCAUGUUGUAUUUUUGUAGCAGAGAUGACAUAGAAGGAGUUGUGUGGAAUGUUGUUUGGGAAAAAAAAGAUGAAAAAAAAUCUCAGACCCUCACCUAGUCAAGCACCAUUGCAACUUUGAAAAAAAAAAACAAAAACAAAAAAACCCAUUUUAAAAAAGGAGAAAACCACCAUCGCAAACAAUGGCUUACCACAUUUGUAUCUAAUGCCAUAUCCUCUUCAACCUUUCAUCAUCUUCACCACCAACCCAUCUACCUUCUUGAAAAUUCAUUUUCCAACUACUAGUCAUACAUACCAUUCUCCAUAACACAUAUAUAUCCGAUAAUAAUUGUGAAAAAUGGCUAAUUUGAUUAAGCAAAUCACUAAAUGGGGGUAAAGAGUGGGAGGGGAUGAAUUAGGUGUUACAUUUUUAUUUUUAUUUUUUAAAAAAUAACCAAUUAAUAACAAAAAGAAUAAGAGAUAUUAAGUAAGACAAUAAUUAAGUAAAAGAUAAAGAGAAGAUAUAUGCAAACUCUUUUAUAAUGGUUUUAAAAUCCACCUAUAUCCACUCUUUUUAACCUCCCAAGCAAGGGAGGGUUCCAUUAUCAAAGGCCUUCAACCUAUGCCUUCAAGCUUUAUAUUUGGAUUCAUGGACUCCAAUGGGCACUCACAAUCUCUUCAAGUACUUCACCUAUUUGAAGUCUCUUCACUAAAAAAUGAGUAGAUAAGGAAAGUCCUAAUGCUUUUUGUUAGGACAUUUAGUUUUAUUUAUAUGUUGGCAAUUUUGUUCCAUUUUAUGUUUGAUCAUAAAGUUCUUUUUAGAUAGUGACUUGCUCAAGUGAAAAGGACCGCUCAAGUGGUCUAAGUCUGCUCAAGCAGUAAUGAUAGUCCUAUCGAGUUUAAACACAAAUUUUGGAUGAAUUUCACUUGAACUCUAGUUUGAAAACUUAAGAUACUGAAAAUUUUUGGGCUAUAAAUACCUCCUUAAUAACCCCUUAAGGGUUAGGGAUUGAAGAUUGAAAAGAUCUUAGAGAUUAGAAACCUCUCAUUCUUAAAAAGAGGCCUUGAGAGAAAGCCUAAAUUGCUAUAUCAUUCAUGAUUUCUCAUUCAAGGAUUGAAUCUUUAAAUCGUUAGUUGAAAACCUUAAUCCCUUCGAAGUGGCAAAAGAAUCUACUAAGGAGCAAUAAGAAGUUGCUACAUCAUGAAUGUGGAUCAAGUUAUAAGUGUUGAAGAGUAAGUUUUUAGGGUAAAACAGUCAGGUAAAUCUGUGUAACUUGAUUUCGAAUAGUGGAUUUGGAUUGGUAGGUCUUAGACCUUGUGUUUUUUUUUUCUCCAUAGUUUGUGCGAGGUUUUCACGUAAAAAUCUUAUGCCUAAUUGUCUAUAUCUUUUAUAUUUGAUAUUAUGUUUGUAGGGUUUUCAUAAAAGGUUCAUAUCUAUAUAUUUUUGCUUAGAUUUAAUGUGAUUAAGUUUGAUUGAUUUGUUGGGAUUGCUUUUGAGGUUGUUAGGGUUGUUAUCUUGGUAUUUAUGGUUGUUAUCCUUAUAACAAGUUAUUAUUAUCCCUAACAUCUAUCAAGAUAUCCUUUGGAUAUUAAUAAUUUAUUUAUUUUAUCCCAAAUAAUCUUUGGAUAUCAAUUAAUCAUAAAAAUCAAGUUUUACUAUUCUAAAUUUAGGGUGAACUCAUUUUUUAAUAUCGAGGAUAAACUUGAAAAUUUCUUAGAGGUAAAAAAAAUUGAUAUAACAUAUAAAUCUUUAUUUAAAUUUUUAAAUCACCCAUUCAUCCCACCUUUGGAUGUUCGUUAUUGGACUUUCAGUUGUUAUUCAAGUGAUAUUAAAGCAAUACUCAUUUUCAAUUGGUAUCGGAGUGGAAUAAAUAACCAAUUCUUUAUCCUAUUGAUUAAAAAUCCAAUUUUUAUUGAUUGGACUGUUUAAAAAUCAAAUUUUUAUUAAUCACAUAGGAUAAAAAUCAAAAUUUUAUUGAUCCUGUAAGUCUAAUAUGGAACAAUAAAAAAGUGGUGCUCCUUUGAAUAGUUACCCUAUUUUGAUGGGAAUAAUUACUCCUAUUAGAAAGCAUGAAUGAUGUUUUUCCUCAAAAUGUAAGGUGAAAGGGUGUGAAACUCAAUUGAAUAUGGUUGGGGACCACCAUUAAUCCUUGAUACUCAAGGAAGAUUAAUAGGUGAACUUAAACCUAAAAAAAAAAUGAGACAAAUCCAAUAAUCAACGUAGUGAAGCCAAUGCUAUAUUUUUAAUGGAGUUUAUCCAGAAAGGUUUUGUAGGAUAGCAAAUUGCAGAUGUGCAAAUUAAGCAUGGGAUAUUCUUCAAGUCACUCGCGAAGGUACAUCCUCUAUAAAGAUUUAUAAAUUACAAAUGCUUGCUACAAGGUUUGAAAAUAUUAUGAUGCAUGAAAAUCAAACUUUUUCUUCUUUUUAUUCUAAAUUAAGUGAUAUUGUAAUUUCUUAGUUUAACCUUGGAGAACUUAUUCCUAAUUCUAAGGUAGUUAGGAAAAUAUUGGGAUCUCUUCCAAAGAAAUUUAGAACUAAAGUAAUUGCCAUAGAGGAGAGCAAGGGCAUUGAAUCCAUGAGAUGAACUUGUAGGCUCCAUUCAGACAUAUGAGAUGACUCUACCUAGUUCCUAAAAGCCUAAAGAGUCUACUUUUAAGGCUUUUAAUGGUGAGAAAAAAAAUUAAAAUUCCAUAUGAUAUAACAAAGGAUGAAUUGGCCCAUAUGGCCAAAAUGAUUAAAAAGGUCAUAUAAUUCAAUAAAAGGUUUUACAAGAACCAAGAAUCUAGAAAAAGAAAAAGACCUAAUGAACAAUCAUCCAAUAAGAAAAGAAAAGAUUCCUCCAAAGGUAAGAAAGUUGAAUGCUUUAACAAUGGAGGUCUAGGACAUUAUGCUUAAGAUUGUCCUAGCCCCAAAGAUGCCAAAAAGUCUAUGCAAGCAACAUGAAGCAAUACUAAUUCUGAAGAGAGUGCUUCCACAACUUCUGAAGAUGCAAGGUAUGAUCCCAAUGACUUGUUAGCUUUUAUUGCUUUUAUGGAACUUGUGCAUGAUAGUGAUGAUGAUGAGUUUACUAAUGAACAAAGGACUGAAUUCUUGAGUAAUCUUGUUGUUGAGCAUGAAAGACAAAUUAAGAGUUAUAUGAAAAAUAAUGAUAUCCUUGAUGCUCAUGAUAAAAACAAAAUUGAUGUGCUUAGUGCUGAAAAGACUAAUUUGCUUGAGAAAGUUAGGUUUCUUGAAUUUGAACAUCAUUCUCUCCUUGAGAAGAAUAAUCCUCUCACUCAAGAGAAAAAAUAACAAGCCUUUUUCAUCUGUGAAUAAAUUUUUUUUACUGCAGAACUAAAAUGUUUAAUGAAAUUCUUGAUAAAUGCAAAAUCCAUGGUGAUAAAAGAGGUUUGGGGCGCAUUAAUAAAGAUGAAACUCCCUUUGAAUUCAUUAUUUUUCCAUUGAAAAUCCCAUCUUUAAAUUCCAUUACUUAGCCACUUUCCACUUUCCACUGUAAAUAUUAUAUUAAAAAAUUUUAAAAAAAAAUUAACUUAGAAUUUCUACAUAUGGCCAUUAAAAUAUUUUAUGAAAAAUAACUUACCAAAAAAAUAUUUAUGUACAUACCAUUAAAAAUUUGAUAUUAAAAAACUUUUUUUUUAUUUAAAAAAAGUAACUUACCAAGAAUAUAUUGAAAGCACUUUAAAAAAUAACUUACUAAAAUUUUAUUUACGUACAUACCACUAAAUAUUUUAUAUUAAAAACACUUUAACAAAAAUUGACUUACCAAAAAUAAAUUAAGUGCACUAAAACAAAUAAUCUAAAUGACCUAAGCCUAAAAAGUGUCUAAGUGAAAUUUAAACCUAAAAAGUGCCUAGGUGAAUUGAGCGGAAAUGGAUUUAAGUGAAACUUAACCUAAACUCAAAGAGCAACCGAGGUCAUAAUGAGGGUCUAGACGAGCUCCUCAACAAAAGCUCCCUAAAGGUGACUUGAAAGGAGUAAAUUUUAUAAGUUUCAAUGGGCCACCAAGAAAUAACUACGAAUCAAAAGAGAAGUAUAGGAAAGCACCUAAUGCCACAUGUGCUAAGAAGACAAAAUGGAAAGUCUACAAAUAUCCUUCUCCUCAUUCUCAAAAACCAUAAAGGCAGAGUCUUUAGGCUUUUGGGAACUAGGUAGGGUGAUCUCAUAUGUUUGAAUGGAGCCUACAAGUUCAUCAACUCUCAUGGAGUUGAUGUCCUUGCUCUCCUCUAUGACAAUUACUUUAGUUCUAAAUCUCUUUGGAAGAGAUCUUAAUAUUUUCCUAACUAUCUUAGAAUCUGGAAUAGUUUCUCCAAGGUUGAAUGAAUAAUUUACAAUAUCACUUAAUUCAAAAUCAAAGAAAGAAAAAGUUUGAUUUUCAUGCAUCCGAAUAUUCUUAAACGUAGUAGCAAGCAUUUGCAAUUUAGAAAUCUUUAUAGCAAAUGUACCUUCAUGAGUAACUUGAAGUAUAUCACAUGCUUCUUUUACACGUUUUCAAUUUGCAAUCCUUCGAAACUCAUCUAGACCAAUUCCAUUAAAAAUACUAAAUAAAGCCUUAGCAUUGGCUUCACUACUUUCAUUGGCAACUUUGUCCCAUUCAUGUUUAAAUUUAAGUUCUUUUGUUGAUCUUCCUUGAGCAUCAAGGAUAAAAGGUGGUCCCCAACCAUAUUCAAUUGAAUUUCAUACCCUUUCACCUUGCAUUUUAAGGAAAAACAUGAUUCUUGCUUUCCAAUAAGAAUAAUUACUUCCAUCAAAAUAGGGUGGACUGUUCAAAGGAACACCACUUUUUGACUAUUCCAUAUCAAACUUACAAGAUCAAUCAAAUUUUGAUUUUUAUCUUAUAUGAUUAAUAAAAAUUUGAUUUUUAAACAAUUUAAACAAUAAAAAUUGAAUUUUUAAUCAAAAUGAUAAAUAAUUAGUUUUUUAUCCUUCUCUAAUACCAAUUAAAAAAUGGGUACUACUUAAAUACCACUUGAAUAAUAACUGAAAGUCCAAUAAAAAACACUUUCAACGGUAGGGAACACCCACAGGAAAAGAGGGGGGGGGGGGAGAUGAAUGGGUGAUUUAAAAUUUUAAUUAAUAUUUGUAAAUGAUAACAAACUUUUUCUUACUCCAAUGGAUAUCAGGGAUAUCCCAAAUAAUUAAAUGUAUUAUACUUAAAAUCUUUAGGUAUUCAAAAAUAAGAUUUUUAACUUUUAGGGAUACCUUGCAAUUGUUUAGGGAUAAAGAUAAUAUAAUUCUUAAUAUCCAAAUAAUAAUAUCCCGAGAAAUGUUAUGGAUAAUAAUAAUUAGAUAUAAUGAUAACAACCACAACCACUAAGAUAACCACCAUAACAACCUCAAUAGCAAUCCCAACCAAUCAAACAACCUAAUCAAGUAAUAUAUGUAUGAAUAAAUAGAUAUGUACUUCUUAGGAAAACCUUGCAAGAUAUUAGGGAUAAUCAAUUUAAUCUAUUCUAGGCAAUUCAAAUAGAAUAUUAAAUAUAAAACUAUAGACAAUGAGUUACAAAUUUUUUUACAUGGAAAACUCCCACAAACUAUGGAGAUAAAAAACCACGAGAUCUAAGACCUACCAAUCUAAAUCCACUAUUCAAAGUCAAGUUGCAUAGAUUUAACUGGACGUUUUACCCGAAAGACUUACUCUACAACACCUACAACUUGAUCCAUGUCCAUGACAUAGCAACUCCAUGUUUCUCCUUAGUAAAUCCUUCAAUCUCUCUAAAGGGAUUACAAUCUUCAACUAAUAAUUCAAAGAUUCAAAUCCUUGAAUGAGAGGAUGGGAAUGGUGUGGCAAUUAGGCUUUUUUCACAAGGAGUCCCUCUAAAGAAUAACAGGUCUCUCAACAAUCUUUUAAGAUCUUUAUGAUCUUUCUAAUAUCCGAUCUCUAACCCACAAGGGGUUAUAAGAUAGGUAUUUGUAGGCAAAAGCCAUAAGAGUUUCAGUAUCCUAAAUUUUCAAAUUAAAGUUUGAGUGAAAUUCAUUCAAAAUAUAUUUUUAAACUUGAUAGGACUGACAUGACCACUUAAGCAAACUUUGACCACUUGAGCUAGCACUUUACUUGAGCGAUCCUUAUUGCUUGUAUAGGUUGACUGAUUGAGUAGGAUUAACCACUUGAGUGACCCUUUCUUUUUGAAAAAUCAUUUUGAGUUUAAAAAUGAUACCGAAUCUUUUUAUACCUCAAAUAAGCCUUGUAUCUCAUAAGCCAAAUCUUUUUAGAUGUACCUAUGACUUCUCGGUUGGAUGAAUAGAAACCCUUGAUCUUCAAUGGAGAGAAUGUCAUUAUCUAAAAAGACUUUUAUGACCAAACAUUAAUUGGAACAAAAUUUCCAACAAAUAAACAAGACUCAAUGUCUUAACAAGUCAUUCCCAAUCUUUCAAACCCAUGACUUAUUCAUUUUUCCUUUGCUUUGAUCUAUCCAUGCUUCUUAAGUUUUAAAUAUUUCUUUAGGCAUAUUUGAUCCCUUUCUAUUCUUCGGUUAAAAUUGAUUCUAGUAAUUUCUAUUUUUUUUCCUCAUGCUCAAAAUAUUGUUAGAUAUGCAACUAAGGUCCUAGCACUUAAUUUGGGCGAGUGGAUCCCUUUAUAUAGUAUAAAUCAUAUCAUAUCCUAUUAUAGGGUUAUGCAUCUUGGUUCAUUAAAGCAUUUGGGGACUAUUCCCCUUAUACAUAGCCAUUAAAGCCUAAUUAAGAAUGCUUGACGUUUGCAUCUGGAUACCUAGUUGGGUGCAUGCAGCACUAACCAUGAGUCCAUACACUUAUCACUUGAGUAAUUCUACCCAAAAUUAGUCAUCUUAUCUAGUAUAUAUCCACUACAGCUUAGGCAAAAGAGAAACUAUAAGCAUUAUUGUUAGAAUUUACAUAUCAACCCGAUAAACCAUGAUCGUGCUUUUCAUGGCCAUAAAUCUUAAACAAUAGUAAUCGAUAAACAACUUUUCAAAAGCAUCACUUGCCUUGACCUAAGCAUUUAGGACCUAGUUCUUUUUGCUCUUUCUUACUCGACCUCUUACACCAAUGAAUCAAUACGGAAGUGGACACUUUGUCAAGGGCACAUCUCAACAAUAACAUAUAUUCCUAACAAUCUAGUGAGCAUUGCCUAACACAGGCCUGCCCAACUAAUAGUUUUUUCAUGAAGAGAGAGUUGAUCUCAACCCUUUUAGUCAACCUACCAUGGAGUAGCAACAUAAACUAUCUCUUCCCAAACACCCUAGUUCAAUUAGCUUUCAACUCUCAAGUCGUAGGUAAUCCAUGCUUGUCAACCUUCAUUCAAUUAAGAUCUAACUUAACCUUUGGAGAGGCAUAGCCAAGGUUCACUUUCAAUACUCCUUAGUGCUAGUGCUAGGUGCUAUAGGCAAAGAGGUCAAUCACCACCUCUAGGAAGAGUAUUGUUAAUUCACAUCACUCAUGGACCCUAGCUCAAGAGUUUGAGAACUAGUAAUAACUAUGAAAUAACAAUGGUCAAAGUGUAAGAGAUUUAUUUUAGGGAAACAAAAAAUUAAAUAAACAUAAUAAGCUUAGCAUGAUUAAUUAUCAAUUAAUUAUAUAUUUUUUUUAAUAAAGAAGUUCCAAGUUUGAAACCAUCGUUUAUCUAUAACCCUUUCGCCUUGACAAUAUGAAACUAUAUUACAAAUUUAAAUAAUUUUUCAAUGUUUACAUGUGAGACAUUAACAUUUGUUCAGAAAUUUAAAAAAAAAAAAAAAAAAAAGGUUAUUUGGACACAUGACUCAAAAUAACUCUCAAAUUGUAAAAAUGGCCCCUCACACUUUAAUUUUGUUGAGAAAUAACUCUUUAUGGAUACUCUUACCCUUCUUCAUUUUGUUUGUUAUAAAAAUCAUUAUCUUUUCAUAACUAUCUUAUCUUUCAAAUAACUCAUUCUUGCUUUCAUUUUAGAUUUUUAUCUAAAUUAAAUAAAUACACAAUAGUCAAGUUUGAUUUACAAAAAAUCUUAACUAGAAUUAAAUUUAUUUACAAAUAAUUUAACUACUGUCAAGUUUUCCAUUUCAUCUACAAAGAACUCGAUUAUAAUGAUAUGAACUUUGUUGUUAUUAAGUUUUAUUUUUAAAAAAAAAACUUAAUUAGAGUUAAUUUAACAUCUAUUCUACAAAAAAACCUAAUUAUAAUUAAGUUCUUAAUUAGAAUAUUCAUAUGGACAUAAACAUUAAAUGAAAGGAUUAUGUGAUCUCAUCUUCACAUUUUAGAAGUUUAAAUGAAACUACAAAAACAAUUAACAAAAAAUAGUAAAAAUUACCACUAAAGGACAACCUCAAAAAAUCCUAACAAAAAUCCCACUAGAAAAAUCCCCACCAAAAAACCUUAACCAAAAUCCUAGUGGAACAUUGAAAAAAAAAAAAACAACCAAAUCCCAACAAUACAAUUGCAAAAAAUGCUAACAAAAAAUAACUACAAAAUCCCAAUAUAUAUAUAUAUAAAACAACCAUAAAAAACACUAACCAAACACACACACACAUAUAAAGGAUAAUGAAAGAUCUUGAAGAAGACCGCAAAAAACAGGAAAAUCUCAACAAAAACUAACUCCAAAUCAAAAGAAACAAAAAACCACUACAAAAAAAAUCACAAAAAAAUCCUAACUAAAAAUAAAGAAAAUGAUGAAAGAUCUUGAAGAAGAAAAAAAGAUGAGAGAAUUGUGGUCGAUUUUUAUCAUUUCUUCGAUUUGAACUACACCCCUAAAUUCACAAGGAAAGAACUUGGAAAAUUCAUUGGAAGAGUGAGAAGGAAAUGAUUGGGGAAUGAGGAAAAAAUGUCAAUUGAGAAAAAAAAAAAAGUAAUAUUAUCUUAAAUCAAUCAUUUUUUUUAGAGAAUAAAGAAGAAAGGUCAUUCUUCUGAUUUGAGAAGCAUUUGAAAUUUUUUAGCCAAAAAUCUCUUUAAAAAAUUGUAAGUAAAGUGGUGUUUUUUUGUUUGUUUUCCUUUUUUUGUUUUUGUUUUUUUUUUUUUUCAAAAUUGUUUUUUUUUUUUGAAAAAAAAAACUUUUUAAAAUUUUUUUAACUGAAUAAAAAAAGUCAAAAUAUUUAACUUUUUUUUUUUAAUGAUAAAAGUAACAUAUUGAUUUUUCUUUAUUCCUUAAUAUUCAAUAUAAAUAAAAUAUUACAAAAACAAACAACUUAAUACUUAAUUUUAUUAAGCACUAUUUAAUUUUGAAAGGUGAAAAUAUGAAAUAUUACAAUGUCAUUAAACAAAAUAAAGUCCAUUGUUUUUUUAAAAAUCAUAUCAAUGUCAUUAAACAAAAUAAAAUCAUGGAUGUUGGACUCUACCAAAGCCCAAUUGAUUUUGCAUGAAUUAAUUCUACAAAUUCCAUGAUUUGAAAUUAUAGAAUUUAAUUCAUGCUUAUUUUAAAACAAUUUAAAAAUCAAGGAAAAAAAUUGUGAAAAAUGUUUGCCGAAGAGAAAAUGGCAAUAAAUUUUAUUGGAAAUGGGAUUUUUGAGACUUAAAAAUUCUAAGAAUGAAAAAUUGUGGAAUCAAAACAAGAUCUUUUUUAAAAUAAUUUUUUAAAGACAUGCAUGCACACGGGUUUUGAAAUUGAGCAUAGGAGGGUCGCCAUGCAACUUUGAAUCAUUCAUGUGGCCCAGGGGUGCAACUGAGACCGCACUGUGAGGUUGGUGAUUGCAGCUGUCAUCCUCUCUGAAUUUCCCCUCUUGCCGACUUGACAAUCCCUCUCAUGCAGAUGGGACAUUUUCCAACAGAGAUGUUGUCAGUCCUGAAUCAGAGGCACUGUUCCUAAUAUUUUCAUGCAUCUUAAUUAAAGGUAAACCAGGAAGGGUAGAGAUGAAGGAGCGGGUCCUGCGUGCUUGGGAAUGACAUACCAAAAGGGGCCAUGCAAACCAUGCAAGAGUGGGGUCCGAGGAGUGCCAAAGUGGGACGACAUGAUUUCAGUCAUUGUGCAGGUUUGUCUGAACUGGGAUUCUAUUCGGUGUUUCACUUCUUUCCUCCAUCCUUAAUGAUCUUCAUAACAGUUGGAAAGGAGUCAGACCAGUUUUUGUUUCCUUUUACCUCUUCUGCUGAUGGAUUUUCUAGAAUGAUCUCCAAUUUCUGUGAUUUUGGACUUCGAAAAUUACCCAUGAAAUUUCUGGGGAAAAACUGAUUGGAGAGAGAGAGUCCCUUCCUGAUAACGCAUGCUGGGCAUGAUGGUUUCCAGUCCCCAGUUGAAGGCUAUCGUCUUCAAGCCUCGAGAGAUCAUAAAAGUAAGAUUGGCGAGGGCGACUCUGAAGUUAUUUACAAGAUAAAGCCUUCAUUCCAUGUGCGCCUUAACAACAGGUAGCACCAAAGAAACCAGAGUGGACCAUUCUCAACCUCGGUCGCGUCCAUCUUGUUCAACUCUAAAGGAUCAGACGACUGUUUUGACCAAGGAUAUGGUUGUAUGUCUUCUGGUCCGCUGCCUAUUUACAUCUGGCAGCACUAAGCUAACUUCAUUGGCACCUAUGUAACUGAAAGCAUAGGUCUCUAUAGGUAAGUCUACUACUUUGCAUGUGAAUAUUUGGAAUGCUAAGACAACGGCGAACUAGAAUAAUGGAGGCAAUGAAUGAGCUAUUCCCCUAGAUGGGGGCUAUACUUUCUCCCAUAAUUGCUUCUUGCUGUUGAAUAACCAUCAAGAUACUCAUCUAAUGAGCAAUUACUUCUCAGAAUUGGCUGUCGAAGGUUUUGAAUGUACUUCCAGAUCAGAUGAAACAAAUGAGGAUCCUCUUGCCAUUGGAAGACUGCUGAAAGUGAGCCGGAGCAUGAACUUUACUAAUUAGAUUCAUCAAAUUGCGCACCUUGGCCUGCCAGUGUGGACCCGUUCUGGAGCUGCUAUGAUUAUCCUGAAGUUUAUUUCUAGUAACUGGCUAUAAGACUCUGCAAAAAUUCGGUGGUUGAUGGGAAUGCAAAGAUGGGUAUUCAACGCAUGGAGUCUCGAAUAACAUUCCUUGCUGCUCAUAACUAGUUCUGAUCCAUGUAGCAGAUUCCCCAAUUGUAUGUACGCGGACAUUUCCAUCAAACGACUAUCGAAACUGAAUUGGAGAAGGAAUUGCACCAAUUGGAUUCACUUAACCGUGCAUCUUAACCUUGGCAAAACUGGAUUUGGGAAGAAGCAUUCUACAUGGAAGAUCCAAUUGCUAGGAGAAGGGGAUAAAAAAUGUCUUCUUCCAAGGUGUUGAGUUUGGACAAGUCAUGUGGAGGUUGCAUGCACACGAGAAAUAAUGGAAAUGAACUUGUGGGAGAUGAAUAGUGGGGUUGGCAGGUUGGGUAAGUGUGAAGGAUGGGGACUGGUGGUGGAAUGAAUGGAGCUGUAGGUGGUGGAUAUGGUAUUAAUUCGGUGAAUGUGAAGAAUGGGAACUAGUGAGUAUAAAGGGUGAACAUGCAUGCAUAGUUUCUACUAGUACGAAUCUGCAAAGGAGCUACAUCAUUCUUCCAGCUCCGAAUGAGACGCGCGGCGACUUUAAACAUUGCAAAGUGGCCAUGCAAGUUGAACCCACGUGUGUGCGAACCCGGGAUGGAGUGGUUGAGUGGCAAACUAAGUGGGAAUUACAAAACUAGAACUUGUCAAGUAGUUAACAACUUAACAAAUUGUUAUUUAAGUAGUUAACAGGCUGUUUGUUGUAACUAAUUAGAUGUGUUUGUUAGUAACUGAUCUUUAGAUUCUUGUAUAUAAGAAACAGAGGACUGAUCAGUGUUGUAGAGGGAUAUAGCUCAAUUUCAGUUCCGUCUUUCUGGUUUUCUCUUAAACAGAUGCUCUACACAUCUUCUUCUUCUCUUCAUAUCUCUGAGUUCUUUCUUGGUAUCAGAGCCAUCAACUAACAUCUGUAAAUCUUUUUUUCAUGGCAUCAGAAGGAUCAACAUCUUCAAUGGAUCAUCCUAAUUCCAACUUUACUCAUCAUACAAUGCCAUCAUUGAAUCAAGCAUUCACGGUAAGAAUCAAUCAAUCAAAUUAUUUACUAGGGCGAACUCAGAUGUUGAACAUCAUCAUUGCAAAUGGCAUUGAAGAGAUGAUCCAUGGAAAAAUCCCUGCUCCUUCAUGGUUUCUUGGCGAUUCAGAGAACAUAAAUCUAGAAUACAAUAUAUGGCAACGUCAGAAUCGCUUAGUAAUGUGUUGGAUCUAUUCCCUUUUAACAGAAGGAGUGAUGACACAGAUUAUCGGACUUGAUACUACAUCAGAAAUCUGGAUUGCUCUAGAGAAAAUUUUCUUAGUAGCUUCAAAGGCUCGUACCAUGCAGCUUCGCUUCCAACUGCAAACAACAAAGAAAGGAGGAUUGAGUAUGAUGGAAUAUCUACUCAAAAUCAAGUCCAUUGUAGAUAACUUGGUUGCAAUUGGAGAAAAUAUUACGAGCAAGAUCGAAUUCUCUAUUUACUUGCAGGACUAAGAGCAGAGUACAAUUCGUUUGUCAUUUCAGUUACCUUUGGGCAUGAAUCAUUAAGCCUAGAAGAAAUUCAUAGCAUGCUCUUAACUCAUGAAAAUCGAUUGGAACAACACACAACAGAAGAAACAAAUCUUAUGCAAGUAAAUAUUGCAACAAUGAACCUUCAAGGUCACAACAGAAAAAAUCAAAAGUUUGGUCAAUUCAAGACUCAAGGUAGAGGUAGUCAGAAUCCACAACAAUUUAAUCAUCAGAAUUUUGGUAGAAGCCGUGGGAGAGGUCACUAUAACAACAAUGGUGGAAAUUUUGGGCAUGGUCUAGGAAAAGGUAGCUUUAAUAACCAUUUUUACUCAUCUGGAAACUUCAAUAAUGUUUCUGGUGGCAGCAAUGGAAAACCACAGUGCCAAGUAUGUGGUAAAUAUGGUCACAUUGCGAUUAAUUGCUAUAAUAGAUUUUAUCAAAACUUAUCAAUCAACAAUGAACAAUCAGCUUGCUGUAAUGGUUUGCAACUCCGUCCAAUGUUGGAGAUGGAAGUUGGUACAUGGAUACCGGAGCUAUGCAUCACCUAACUCCAAAUCUCAACAAUUUGAAUUCACAUACUCCAUUUGCUGGUUCAGACAAAGUCGUCGUUGGAAAUGGUAUUUGUUUAAAUAUCUCAAAUAUUGGACACUCCAUUAUUUCUUCAGCUUCUCGGUCAUUAAAUCUAAGAAUAUUUUACAUGUUCCACAACUUACAACCAAUCUGAUAAGUGUGAAUAGGUUGUAUACUAACAAUAAUGUUACUGUGGAAUUCUUUACUAAUGGAUUUGUGGUGAAGGAUCAAACUUUGAAGAAGGCUCUUCUCCAAGGCAACCUUAACUAUGGCUUAUACAAUCUGUCUUCAACACCUAGUAGAAGAUAUCAAGAUCCUGAUGAUAAUAAACUUGCUGGAAGAACAAGCUUGACAACUGAGGUCCCAUGUAUGUCAUCUACAUUACAACUUCCCAAUAAGGCAGUUCUAUGGCAUUUCAGGUUAGGCCUCCUGCACAUAAAAUAGUCAAUAAAGUUUUGAGUGCUUGUAGCUUGCCCCUAGAACAUUGGACAGGUGUUUGUGAACCUUGUCAAAUGGCAAAGAGCCAUCGCUUACCUUUUACUUUGUCUGAAUCCAGAGCCUCUCAGCCUUUUGCUCUUGCACAUUCUAAUCUAUGGGGUCCUACCCCUGUUGUUGGUGCUAAUGGUGCAAGAUACUUUGUGCUCUUUGUGGAUGACCAUACAAGAUUUUCUUGGUUGUAUCUACUAGCUUCUAAAGAUCAACUAUCUCUGCCUUUUUGCAAUUUAAAGUGAUGAUUGAGACUCAAUUUGAUACUAAAGUUAGAAUGCUUCAAACUGAUUGGGGAGGAGAGUUUCAAGCCUUUACUAAUACCUUAUGUAAGUUUGGGAUUCUGCAUAGAGUAUCUUGUCCAUCCACUUCUCAACAAAAUGGUCGUGUGGAGAGAAAACAUAGGCAUGUGGUUGAAGUAGGUCUUUCCUUGCUUGCUCAUGCUUCUAUUCCACUUAAAUAUUGGCCUUUUGCCUUCCAAUCUGCUUUAUAUUUGAUUAAUAGGCUUCCUUCCUCUGUGCUGAACUUUUCUCUCCAUAUAAGACUCUUUACCAUUGUCUACCAAAUUAUUCUUUUCUUCGCGUCUAUGGUUGCACUUGUUAUCCUUUUCUCCAUCCUUUUAAUCGCCAUAAAUUUGCAUACCGAUCAGUUAAAUGCACCUUUAUUGGCUAUAGUUCUAAGCAUAAAGGAUAUCUAUGUUUGAACUUGUCCACUGGAAAAAUACAUAUAUCACGACAUGUUAUUUUUUAUGAACUAGAUUUCCCGUUUGCUAAGCCUUCUACAGUUCAACCUCCUUGUCAUGUUUCCCCCUCUCAUUGUGCCAUUCCUUUAGUAAUACCAACCACUCCAAUAUCUUCCCUCUUGCUUUCCUCAUCCAGUCCAUCUUCAGAGCUGGUUCCAAUCUCUUAUGAUAGUAUGUCAAUUUCCUCUUCAAAAGUUGCACCUAUUCCAAUAGCUCAACCGUCUUUCUCUCAUGUUCCUCCUUCUUGUCAUCCCAUGACAACGCAUGCCAAAAAUGGCAUUUUCAAACCCAAGAUAUUUCCAUCCCCUAUUAAGACUAUUUUUCAUUCACCUUGUGAACCGAAUUCCUUCAAGGAAGCUGCUAAAGUUCCUGAAUGGCAGCAAGCUAUGCACCUUGAAUUUGAAGCUCUUAUGAACAAUAAAACAUGGGUCCUAGUUCCUCCUCCGUCUAAUCAGAAUAUCAUUGGAUGUCGCUGGGUUUAUAAAUUGAAGUACAAACCUGAUGGAACUGUUGAACGCAAUAAAGCACGUUUGGUGGCUAAAGGAUUUCAUCAAACUCCUGGUUUUGAUUACUUUGAAACCUUCAGUCCCAUGGUUAAACCUACUACUAUUCGUGUGGUUCUCUCUUUGGCAUUAAGUAAAAAUUGGUCCAUCAGACAACUUGAUGUUCAUAAUGCCUUUCUUAAUGAUGAUUUAUUUGAGCAAGUUUUUAUGACACAACCCCCAGGCUUUGUGGAUCCCUCUAAGCCCAACUUUGUUUGUAAACUUACCAAGGCAUUGUAUGGUCUAAAGCAAGCUCCAUGGGCUUGGUUCACCAAACUCAGCUCCGCCUUAGUUAAAUGGGGUUUUUCCAUGUCUCAAGCAGAUACAUCAAUGUUUGUUUACUAUAACAAUUCUGCCAUGCUUGUUGUCUUGGUUUAUGUUGAUGAUAUUACUGUCACUGGCUCAAGUUCCUUGCUCAUUGAACAACUUAUGUCCUCCUUAAACUCUUGCUUUGCUUUCAAGGAUCUUGGUCCUCUUAACUUCUUUCUUGGAAUAAAGGUGUUGAAUUUUGGAUCUUCUUUGCAUUUAAGUCAAGCUAGAUAUAUCUGUCAUCUUCUUCAACGUGCUGGUUUGUCUGAAUCAAAGUCCAUGACUUCCCCAAUGGCUGCUGGCCCUGUUCUUUCCAUAGAUGAUGGUACCAGAUUAGAAGAUCCCACCUUGUACCGGAGUCUUGUGGGUGCCCUACAGUAUUGCACAAUCACUAGACCAUAUAUUGCUUAUACCGUUAAUAAGCUUUGCCAAUUUAUGCAUGCUCCAACCUCUACUCAUCUUCAAGCCGUGAAGCAUGUCCUUCGUUAUCUCAAAGGUUCAUUGUUUUAUGGGCUUUCUUUCCAACCAUCUUCUUCCCUUGAUCUUAUUGCCUAUACAGAUGCGGAUUGGGCAUCUUGCCCUAAUGAUAGAUGUAGCACCAAUGGCUACUGCAUAUUUUUUAAAGGCAAUCUGGUCUCUUGGUCAGCUUCUAAACAAAAGGUGGUUUCACGCUCUAGUACUAAAUCCGAAUAUAGGGGCUUGGAUAAGGCAACAGUUGAACUCACUUGGAUCCAGUACCUGCUUAAAGAAAUUUUUGUUCCCCUGUUUCAGUCUCCUGUUCUUUAUUGUGAAAAUCUCAGCACUACUUAUUUAGUUGCAAAUCUUGUCCUUCAUUCUCGGGCUAAACAUGUGGAAAUUGAUUAUCAUUUUGUUCGUGAGCAAGUCUUGCAAAAAAUUCUUGAUGUUCGAUUUCUCCCAUUUGAAGAUCAAGUUGCUGAUAUCUUGACCAAAGCUCUUUCAACUCAAUGUUUCCUCCAUCUCCAAAGCAAGCUCACAGUUCUUUCUCAUCCUGUGUGCUCGAGGAGGGAUGCCAAGUAGUUAACAACUUAACAAACUGUUAUUUAAGUAGUUAACAGGCUGUUUGUUGUAACUAAUUAGAUGUGUUUGUUAGUAACUGAUCUUUAGAUUCUUGUAUAUAAGAAACAGAGGACUGAUCAGUGUUGUAGUGGGAUAUAGCUCAAUUUCAGUUUCCGCCUUUCUGGUUUUCUCUCAAACAGAUGCUCUGCACAUCUUCUUCUUCUCUUCGUAUCUCUGAGUUCUUUUUGAACUCUCAUCAUAAUGUGCACCGAAGGGGCCAUACAUGUGGGCUGCAUACCCAUGGGAAAAAUUGGGAAGGUGUGCAUGGGGAGUGAAUGGUGGAAUGAGUGAUGGACAUGUUGGAUAGGUAUGAGAUUUAGGUUGCGUAGGUAUGAACGAUGAGAGAUGGGUAUGGUGACAGUGGGGUAAUCCAGUGGGUAUGAAGGUUGGAGAAAUGGUGGGUUUGCACAUAAGAAUUCUUGCAUGUUGAGGAUGAAUGAGAUGCAAUUUGCUGGAGAAAACAUCGAUUUCCAGCACACCAGAUCACCAAAAAUUACUAUCAUUCUUUUCACCAUUGAUCGCGUUUUCACCAUUGAUUAUUGCAUUUGGGUUCUCUUUACCAUCACUGAUGUCUAAAAGCUUCACAUGAUACAAGGCCCAACUCAAAAUUGCUCUCUCUCUUCGUUUUGACCAUCCAAACCUGUUUGUAGAUGAGCCAUGCCCUGUCUCUUGCAGCAGCUUUUUCUGAGCGUGGACUGCCACCACUAGAGCUGAGGUAUUCCAUUGACAACCGGAGCUACACCGCUACAUGAAUAGGAGUCAAAUGUUGCUCAUACCCUGCAUCUCGUCCCAUAUCUGACUUUCUGCAAUUCCUCUAGUCUGUCCUUGAAUAACCCACAGCUAGCAAAAUCUCCCACAAACUGUAUUAAAAGAGAGUAGACAAAUUCAUGCCACGAGCACAUAUCUAAUAUCUCGAUGCAUUCUUUAAGUAGAGGAUUCCAAGAACGAUGGGAAACAUCUUUUCCAGAAUAAUGAGAACCUGGCCAAGAAGAGUAUCGACUCUGUCAUUGGCUCGGGCCCAUGAAGAAGCUAUGAUUAGCCAACAAGACCAAGAGCAACUAAGGAAGUCAAAGGUAAAAGAAGUGUAGCUGGAAUCUGGGUGCCACCAUUCAAACUGUUGAGUAGCCAAGUGCUCUGUAACAAUGUCAUCUAAUAAGAGGACUCAUUGGACAUCUCUUCUAUGGACAAGUGGGGCAUCAACAAAUUCUGAAAGGUGUCAUUGAGUCAACUGAAACUCUCUUGAACCUCAUAAUAGAAACCUACUCAUCAAAUCAUAGUCCAUUCCCACCAUAUUGGCCGCCUUCAAAAAUAACACUGAUGAGGCCCGAAGUUGUUGAAACAUCUGAAGGCUCUUCUGACAAUUUUUUGCACAGCUUCACGAGAAAUCUUCUCAAACCAUUUCUCAAGGAUGUCUAUACAAUGAAAGGUGCUAAUUACUUGGUCAAUGUUUUAUAUUAACACACUAUUAAUCAUGACUUACAAUUUUUUCUUCGAAUUAUUGAAUUGGAGAUGAGUCAAAUGCAACUGCUUAGAUGUUAACUAUCUUUCCUCUGUCAUAAAUAAACAAAUGGUUAAUUAAGUCUUAUUCUAUUGUUAUUAAAAAAAAAAUAGAACAACAUAUGAAAAUAAAAAAGGAUUUACAUAUUAAAAGAAAUGUGCAUUCCUAUGAUUUAUAGGGAUAUUAGUGCUCAUAAUGAGGAGGCAAAGUCAACUCUCCAACAAUGAUCUCACACAUAGAUAACUCCUAGAAUUGUAAUGUUUAUGUUUAUUUUUACGGUGUAAUUAGAAGAUUAUUUAUAUAAAAGUUCUCAAUAAUAUUUCUAGCUUCAAUUGCCACAUACACCAAGUUUUACAUGGCAUCAAAGUAUGAACUAACAAGCCAAAAUAUGUUUUCUUCUUUAUUCUUUUUUUCUAUUAAAAAAUUGAACUUGAAUUCAAUAUUUAGUAAUUUCACAAGUGUUCUAAUUUCAUCUUAAUCAAACUAAAAUAUUACAAAGUUUUCUAUUUGGAAAAAUCAAGUUCUCCCUUAGUUUUAUUUGUGGCCUCAGUAUUCACCAUUAUUUUUUAAAUAAAACGAGGAAAACAAAAGUAUCCUAACCUACAAUACUAGAUAUGGGUCAAUAAUAAUGGGCUUCUCACUUUAUGGCUUCUUCAAACCAUGAAAGGAGGCAUUUUAAAGAUGAUAUUUCAUGUUGAAAUGAUAGAUGAUCGAGGUAUGAACUGCUCUUGAAGAGUAUUUGCCCCUUACCAUAGUGGAGAAUGAAAGAAACCUAGAAAAUAUAUUCAUGACCCUCAAAAAGAGGUCAUUGUCUCUUAAAGAGUAUUUAGGGGACUUCAAAACUAUAUGUGACAAUCUUGCAACAAUCAAAAAUCUUGUUUCAAAUCAAGACAAAGUUUUUCAAUUUGCUCAUGGCUUAGGACAUGACAAAGAUAUGAAAAGUUUUUAAAUUUUCAUUUAGUCUAAAAUCAAUUUGCCAUUACAACACAAUUUUAUUUACUCUGACUAUGAUGAUUUUGCUUCUUUAUUUUAAAAUAUUUACUUCAUUGUGGAGGUAUUUUCCCAAAAAAAAAAAGGUUUUCCCAUUGUUACAAGUGAUGACUUUCACACUUGCUUUAAAGAUAUAAGAUUUAGAUUUAACCAAUGUAACCUAUUUCACUUUGAGAAGCAUUUUUUAAAGAACUAUUUCAUUCAUUAUAUGAAAAAUUAUCAAAUUUGACAUAAUUUUCAUGAAUUUCAUAAAUCUAAAAUCUCAUUUAGAAAUCAAACUUAGAAGAUUCCCUAUUAAUCAAGAAAAAUAGAAAAUCUUACAUUACCUAUACAUCAAAUUCUAUAUUUACUCCAAUCUUAGAGUCUAGAGUGUCAUUAAAAUAUCUCUAGGGAUAAUAGAGAGAAGCCUCACUUUUAAAAGAACUUCAUAAAUGAAAGAUCACUCAAAAUAAAUAAAAUAGUGAAUGUAUUUUCAAUAUUUAAUCAUUGUAUAUAUAAAAGAGUUAAAAUAAAUAAAAUAAAUUUAAAGUAUAAUAUAAAAAUAAUUUAUUAUUUAAUUUUUUUUGUCUUACUCUUUUUUCUUUCCAUUUUAUUAUUUUCAGAUAUUUUAAUAAAGAAAAAAAAUGUUAAGGGUCUUUUUCAUAUUUAAUCUCAUCAUAAAAAAUAUAAAAGAAAAUUAAAUAUAUAGUUAAAAAUUUUAUAUUUUAAAUAAUUUAAUCUUUACAUAUGAGAAUAAGUGAAAUCGGUUUUAAACCAAAAAUUUAAAUUUCUUUAAUCUUUGCAUAUGAGAAAUAAGUGAAAUCGAUUUUAAGCAGUAUAUAAAAAUAAUUUAUUAACUUUAAAUUAAUUUUUUAACUUUUUAAUUUAUGUUUCCUUCUUAUUUUCUUUUUAUUUAUUUAUUUUUUAAGUUGUGUUUGGUUUUCAGAAAUUAUUAAGGAAAAAAGAAAAUAAUAAGGAAAAUGAUUUUCUUGUUUGAUUACAAUAUAGAAUAUAGCAAUAAAAAUGAAAUAUAAUUAAAAUUAAUAAAAACUUAUACAUUCUCUAAUCUAUGUAUUAAAGAAAUAAAAUAAAUAAAAUAAGUUUGGAGUAACAUAUAAAAAUAAUUUAUUGAUUUUAAAUUUAUUUUUUAUUUUCCUUUGUGUUUUUUUCUUUCUUUCUAUUUUCUUCCCCUUUCAUUUUCCCUCAAAUGUUUUUGAGCCAAACAUAGCUUUUGAGUUUUAGUAACCAAACAUAAGCAUGAUGUUAGAACUUCGAGGAAACAUGAAUACAAUUUAUAGUUAUAAUGAUACAUGUGAUCUCUCUUUCAUGAUCAAUCCAAGAAGAACUUGGAGUCCCCAUCACCUAAACCCUUAUCAACUGCUAUUUUACAUAUGAACUACUAUUUUACAUGAUCAAUCCUAAUAGUCUCAUACACUUCUUUGUUAGACUUCAGCCAGCCACAAGUAUUGGUUGAAGGAAAUAAGACAACAUUCAACAAACAAGAAUUGAUUUCUUAAUUCAUGAUACAAUGAAAGGUGCUAAUUACUUGGUCAAUGUUUUAUAUUAACACACUACUAAUCAUGACUUGGCUAAUAAAAUAGCCUUACAAUAACUAAUUGAUAAGAAAAACAGCCCACGUUUUACACUAACAAAUAACGUGGUAAAGAGUAGAGAAUAAGUCAAAGCUGGAAACUACCCUGCUUAUAAAACUACCCUGCUUAAUAGGAAUUAUUAAAAAAAAAAAAAAAAACUAAACAAUCAGAAAACUUAAAUCUUGACAAGGACAUAGUUCUGAUCAAUUAUGAGAAGAUGAAAACUUGUUGCGAAGACAGAUUCUGAUUUUGCAAGCUUGGGUAGACCAGAUGUAACCUAAUUCACUUUGAGAAGCAUUUUUUAUAGAACUAUUUCAUACAUGAAAUGAAAAAUGAUCAAAUUUGACAUAAUUUUCAUGAAUUUCAUAAAUCUAAAAUCUCAUUUAGAAAUCAAACUUAGAAGAUUCCCUAUUAAUUAAGAAAAAUAGAAAAAUCUUACAUUACCUAUACAUCAAAUUCUAUAUUUACUCCAAUCUUAGAGUCUAGAGAGUCAUUAAAAUAUCUCUAGGGAUAAUAGAGAGAAGCCUCACAUUUAAAAGAACUUCAUAAAUGAAAGAUCACUCAAAAUAUUUAGGAAAACAAUAUCAUAUCAAUUAAUCAAACUAUCAAACUAUCAAACCACAGGUAUGUUAACUAAUAAGUAAGGACAUAGUUCUGAUCAAUUAUGAGAAGAUGAAAACUUGUUGCGAAGACAGAUUCUGAUUUUGCAAGCUUGGGUAGACCAGACACAGCAUUACUGGUACAUGCUGAUGAACUAGCUGCUGAAGAUUCCCAACUCGAAAACUAUUGAUCUGUCUUGAAACCAGCCUAGGAGUGAGACACCAAGGCUAAUCUACUGGAAUGAAGCAUUGCAAUACCUUGGGCUGCCAUGGAAAUGCAAUGAAAGUUGGCUUUCUUGACAAGCUUGAUCUUGGGAUGCCAAUCAUUGCAUUACUAAGUGAUGCUUAUGGGGCCACAUCCCCGUUAUGCUUGUUGGAGACUUUAACAGCAUGCCACCAAGUACACCGUAUCAGUUUCUGGCCUCAUCUAAAAUGGAACAUCAGUCACAACAUAGAGCCUACAGAUACCAGCAGAAUGAAGAUGCAUCCAGAACAAGGCCAUUCAUGCAUACAUGGAGCAAUGAAGAAUUAAGGCCCGCCACUGGCAGCGAUGGAGUUAUCUCAUAUGGUCCUUGUCAAACUCCUAUUCUUGGCUUCUGUGUACAGCACCACUGGAAGUUUUCCCACUCCAAUAUCAGAAAGUUGAAAUAUUCUCAAGAAAUGACCUGACCUCCAGGUUGACCUUGGCUGUUGAUACUGCUUCCAUUGGACCUCUUCCUCUCUUGGGUUCAUUCAUCACUCAGAUGGGUACAAAUGACUACAGUUCAAUUCCUUAACAACUCAAAGAUCACAAAUGCGAGGGAUCAUAUGGAACUAGAUGGCCUAUAGAAAAAAGAUGGUGAAAGAGCAGAGAAGGUGGACUCAUUAACAGCUGAAGUCAAAAGGCUAAAGGAUCUUUUGUUAUUUCCACAUUAAAAUUAAGUGGGUGGCCCACUAACCUAGUAUUUAGCCAAUUAAAAGAAUACCCAAUAUCUUUAAACUGUUAUAAAGAUAUUUACCCUUGAUGGAGUGGGUAAAUUAUAAUAAUUUUAAUAUUAUUAUUUGGAAUAAAAACAGUUAUUCGAAUAACACGUUUAGAACGAUUUUUGAACGUGUAUUCUUGGCCCUCUUCUCCUAUCAAUAAGAUAUAUAUAUAGAAACCCCUUCAUGUGCGGUGAGUACUCUCUUCCAUCAAUUACAGAAAACAAUUCUGUGUAUUAAGGUUUGAUAAGGAGAAGAAGAGAUAAAGGAUUUAAGAUCUAUAAACUGAAGGGAAAUCUCUCAUGGCUGCUUGUUCUUCAAACGGUAUGUAAUCUAUUUUUAAUUAAUGUUUUUAUUAUUUUAUUAUUAGAGAUGAGUUUGAAUUCAAUGAUCUGGAAUAUCGUGUGUUAAUUUCCGUAUUAAAUAUCAACAAUUGGUAUCAGAGCAAGGUUGAAUUUAAAUAUUCAGAAUCACUGUUUUAUAAAGAUUAAAUUUUGAGAUUUAUCUUCGAUUAAUUCGUCUCACUAAAAUGAAUAAAAAAAAAAUUAAUUAAACAAAAUAAAGACCAGCCUCAACGCGUAGAAGGAAGAUUUUUAUUUUUCCUUGCAACGCUAACUGGAUCAAUGCCGAUGAGGGGCGCUGGUUUGGCGGACUGGUUUGGCGUCAGUCCGGUGGCCGUUUUCUGACGCCAUUGCCGGUGCCAUCGCGCCGUUUUCAGGCGCCAAUCCAGGCGCCAUUGUCGGAGCACCAUCUCGCCGUUUGCGCGCUGGUUGCAGGCGCCAUUGUUGGCGCCAGUCCAGGCGGCAUUACUGGCCCCAUUGAAGGCACCAUCUCGCUGUUUGCGCAUUGGUUGCAAGCGCCAUUGCUGGCGCCAUUGAAGGCGCCGUUUUUAGGCGCUAUCUUCUGGUUGCAAGUGUCGUUUCCUCGCCGUUUCAGGCGCGCUUCAAACACCAGACUAGAAGCUUCAAUAAAGGAGAAAUACAGAAUCACAACACUGGUUAGCCGAUUGUCAUCAUCACUUAUUUGAAUAUGAAACUGAAAUCCUCUUUUAAGAUGUCCAUGCAGCUUGUGCUAUUUGAACAACAAUUUCAUGAAACAAAAAAAAAAACUAUUCAAGUCAUAGCUUUAGCUUUAGGUUGAAAUUCAAAAAAAUAAAAGGUGCAUAAGACUUUAGUUUGAUAUACAAUGUAAAUUGAUUAUUGAAUCAGAUGAUUAUUAAAGAUACUAUUUCCUUGAUUUUUUAUUAUUUGAUUUGAACCUUUGUGAAAUUAUUAUUGUAUCUGAUGAAUGCAGAUUUCUUUGAUUUUAUUAUGAUUGAUUAUUGAAUUAGAUGAUUAUUAAAGAUACUAUUUCCUUGAUUUUUUAACUCAAAUAAAAGAAUUAAUUUCAUCUUGUGAAAUUUUAUCCAAAUGACAAUUUAUAAAUGUAAGGUUAACUAAUUUAGAUAGUUGCCAAAGUAACCUAAAUUAGUGAGCCUUGUAUUUAUUGAAUUGCAUAAAAGAAUAAAGGGAGACUUGUAAAAUUCUUAAUAAUUCUCUUUAUAAUUAGGAGAAUGAGACUAACCCAAAGGAGAGUCAAUUUCUACUAAUUAUUAAUUAAUGUUUUUAUUUUGUGUUGCUUAGAAAGGUAAAAUGGAUACCCAAAGGUAACAUAUAAAUGACACAAAAUAGUAAAGUGUUUUAAGCUCCCUCCAAGUGAACACUGGAUAUGUUAAAAUUUACCCAAAGGAGAAUUUUAAUGAUAUCAAUAGUUCAUUGCUAUUUAUUUUAUACUUGAGGCUUUAUUGUCAGCAUUGUUCUAUUUUGUACAGUUCCCACUUCAUUACACUCUCUUGCAUCUGGAAUGACUGUUUUUGAUGGGUCGAACUUUUCUGAAUGGUAUGAAAGGGUUCAAUUCUCACUGGGCGUAUUGGAUCUUGACCUGGCUUUAAUAACUAAUAAACCUCUUGAAGCUAUGGAUGACAGUACUCCGGAGCAAGUGGAACAAUCAAAAGCUUGGGCAAGAUCCAACAAACUCAGUCUGAUGUUUAUGAGAAUGACUAUUGCCAAUAAUAUCAAGACCUCUCUCCCUCAAACCGAGUUUACCUCGGAAUUUCUGAAAUCUGUUGAGGAGCGCUUCAAACGCGCUGAUAAGUCUCUUGUAGGCACAUUGAUGGCUGAAUUGACCACCAUGAAAUAUGAUGGUCAGAAAGGUAUUCAGCAACAUAUUUUAAACAUGACUGAAAAGGCUACAAAGCUUAAGGCACUAGGCAUGGGUAUGGAUGAGUCCUUCUUGGUACAGUUUGUCCUUAACUCACUUCCAUCAUAGUUUGCUACAUUCAAAAUCGACUAUAAUACUAACAGUGAUCAGUGGAACUUGAAUGAUCUCACCAGUAAAUGUAUAUAAGAGGAAGUGAGAUUAAGACAAGAAGGACAUAAUCUUGCUCUUGCUGUAACUCAUGGAGUCAUGAAGAAGAAAGGAAAAUUCAAAAAAGGAAAGAACUUUCCACCUAAGAAAAGCGGACCUGGGGAAGGUAGCCAGAGUCAUGAUGGAAAAUUCACGGUAAGUUGCUACUUUUAUGGCAAGAAAGGGCUUGUGAAGAAGGACUGUAACAAGAGCAAGGCUUGGUUCGAAAAGAGAGGUAUAAAUCUUUCUUUUGUAUGUUAUGAAUCCAAUCUUGCUGAAGUUCCUUCAAAUACUUGGUGGAUUGAUUCUGGAGCCACAACUCAUGUGACUAAUUUAAUGCAGGGAUUCCUUACAACCAGGAAACCAAAGGAAAGUGAAAAGUUCCUCUAUAUGGGAAACCGUCUCAAGGUUGAAGUGGUAGUUGUUGGUACCUAUCGCUUACUAUUAGAGACGGGUCAUUGGAUGGAUCUUUUAAACACUUUUUAUGUACCUUCUAUCUCUAGGAAUUUAGUUUCCUUAUCCAAAUUAGAUGCUACUGGAUAUUCUGUUUUAUGUUCUGGACAAUUAAGUUUGAUGUUAAAUUCUGUUACAGUUGGUUCUGGUAUUUUAUGUGAUGGUUUAUAUAAAAUUUCCUUGAAUCAUGAAUUUGCACAAGCUUUGAUAACCCUACAUUCAAAUUUUGGUUCAAAACGUGGCUUAAUUAAUGAAAAUUCUUCAAUCUUAUGGCACAGAAGACUAGGGCACAUCUCUAGGGAAAGAAUUGAGAGAUUAGUGAAGGAAGGAAUUUUACAAAAUCUUGACUUCACUGAUUUUCAUGUAUGCAUGGAUUGCAUAAAGGGAAAGCAAACUAAACAUACAAAGAAAGGUGCCACAAGAAGUAAUGCGCUCCUUGAGAUAAUUCAUACAGAUAUUUGUGGACCAUUCUCUGUUCCAUGUUUUACAGGAGAGAAAUAUUUUAUCACCUUUAUAGAUGAUCUAUCUCGUUAUGGUUAUGUUUAUCUAAUGCAUGAAAAGUCUCAGGCCAUUGACAUCUUCGAGAUGUUCAUAACAGAGGUCGAGAGACAAUUAGAUAAAAAGAUUAAAAUUGUGAGAUCAGAUCGAGGCGGUGAAUAUUAUGGCAGAUAUGAUGAAUCACGACAAAAUCCUGGUCCUUUUGCCAAAUUCCUUGAAAAGUGUGGCAUUCGUGCUCAGUACACAAUGCCUGGUAUGCCACAAUAGAAUGGUGUUGCUGAAUGGCGUAAUCGCACAUUAAUGGAAAUGGUUAGGAGUAUGAUGAGUUACUCUUCUGUACCUAUUUCAUUGUGGGGUGAAGCCUUAAAAACCACAAUAUAUAUCUUGAACAGAGUUCCUAGUAAGGCAGUUCCAAAAACACCUUUCGAGUUAUGGACUGGUAGGAAACCUAGCUUGAGACAUAUACAUAUAUGGGGUUGUCCAGCGGAGGCAAGAAUCUAUAACCCACAUGAGAAAAAGCUUGAUUCAAGAACGAUAUCUGGAUAUUUCAUUGGCUAUCUGGAUAAAUCGAAAGGGUACAGAUUUUAUUGUCCUAACCACAGUGUGAGAAUAGUUGAAACCGGUAAUGCCAGAUUCUUAGAGAAUGGCGAAAUCAGUGUGAGUAAUGAACCAAGAAAGGUAGAUAUUGAGGAGAUAAGAGUGGAUAUCCCACCACCUUUUUUACCUCAAGAAAUUAUUGUCCCUCAACCUGUUCAACAAGUUGAGGAAAAUGAGCAACAUAAUAGAGAUGGUUCAUUACCACCAGAAAAUAUUGCCAUUGAAAAUGUUGUAGAGCCACCACAACCGACACCUUUGAGGAGAUCUCAAAGAGAAAGGAGACAUGCCAUUACAGAUGAUUAUGUGGUGUAUCUACAGGAAUCUGAUUUUGAUAUUGGGAUAAGGAAGGAUCCGGUUUCAUUUUCACAAGCCAUGGAAAGUGAUGAUUCUAGUAAAUGGAUGGAAGCUAUGAAUGAAGAGUUGAAAUCUAUGGCCCAUAAUGGUGUCUGGGAUCUCAUCGAAUUGCCUAAUAGUUGUAAACCCGUCGGCUGUAAAUGAGUCUUUAAGACAAAGCACGACGCUAAAGGCAAUAUCGAACGAUUUAAGGCCAGACUUGUGGCCAAAGGUCUCACUCAAAAGGAAGGUAUCAAUUACAAAGAUACCUUCUCUCCAGUUUCCAAGAAAGAUUCGCUAAGAAUCAUCAUGGCACUUGUAGCUCAUUUUGAUUUAGAGUUACAUCAAAUGGAUGUGAAAACUGCAUUCUUAAAUGGGAAUUUGGAUGAAGAUAUCUACAUGGAACAACCUGAAGGGUUCACAAAGAAAGGAAAUGAACACCUAGUUUGCAAAUUAAAGAAAUCCAUUUACGGUCUUAAAACAAGCUUCCAGACAAUGGUAUAUUAAGUUCAAUAAUGCCAUUACAUCUUUCGGAUUUAAAGAGAACAUUGUUGAUCAGUGUCUAUAUCUGAAAGUUAGUGGGAACAAGUUUAUAUUUCUGAUACUGUAUGUGGAUGAUAUUUUGCUUGCUAGCAGUGAUCUUGGUUUAUUACGUGAAACCAAGGAAUAUCUCUCUAAAAACUUUCAUAUGGUUGAUAUGGGUGAGACAAACUAUGUUAUUGGCAUCGAGAUCUUUAGGGAUCGAUCUCGAGGAGUGCUAGGUUUAUCUCAGGAAGGAUAUAUUGAUCGGGUUUUAGAGAGAUUUAAUAUGCAAUCAUGUUCAUCGGGUAUUGCACCUAUAUUGAAAGGUGACAAAUUAAGUAAAAUGCAGUGCCCAAGGAAUAACAUGGAAAGGGAGCAAAUGAAGAAAAUUCCUUAUGCAUCAGCUGUGGGGAGUUUGAUGUACGCUCAAACAUGUACAAGACCGGAUAUAAGCUUUUCUGUAGCCAUGUUAGGAAGAUACCAAAGUGAUCCAGGAUUCGAACACUAGAAAGUUGCAAAGAAGGUGAUGAGGUACUUACAAGGGACAAAGGAUUAUAUGCUCACAUAUAAAAGAUCAGAACAAUUAAAGGUUGUCGGUUACUUGGAUUCUAAUUAUGGUGGUUGUCUCAAUAGCUUAAAGUCAACUUCAGGAUUUGUCUUUAUUCUAGCAAAUGGGGCAAUCUCGUGGAAGAGUGAAAAACAAUCAAUUACUGCUUCAUCCACGAUGGAGGCCGAGUUUGUUGCUUGUUUUGAAGUUCAAGUCAUGCUCUAUGGUUGUGGAAUUUUUUCUCAGGGCUUGGUGUUGUCAACUCUAUUGCUAAACCUUUGAGAAUAUAUUGUGAUAACACCGCAGUUGUUUUCUUCUCUAAGAAUGGCAAAUUUUCUAGUGGAUCGAAACACAUGGAUUUAAAGUAUUUAGUUGUUAAAGAAAGAGUCCAGAAACAACAAGUGUCAAUUGAAAAUAUUAGAACCACAUUUAUGGUUGUUGAUCCAUUAACUAAAGGAUUACCUCCAAAGGCAUAUUUGGAACAUGUUAUGAGGAUGGGCCUUUUGAGUAAUCCAUAAUAUGUAUGAUAAUGAAUGGUGGUUAUGUAAUUGACAAUUUGCGCAUUAAAAUUGUUUCUGUUUAUUCUUGUUUUCAAUUAUAGGUGACGUUUUAUUGUUUGAUAAACAAGAAUUGUCCUGACAAGACAAAUUACAGGGGUUAUUUGGCAUUAAGGACUGGGUUAGUAAGGGUUAUUGAUGUGUGGUGCAUGGAAGGAAACAUGACAUUAUGGUUAUGUGACCGCCAUGACUCGCAUUUAUGAUCUAAACUGAUUCAGUAUUAUGGUAUAUGAUUUUGGACGUGUUGGCUAAGUUUAUUGAAAUCAUGAUCACGUGUCAAAUUUAUUUUCCAGUAUAUAUUUUAUAUAUAAACUAAAUAUAUUAUAGUUUUCAUAAUCGGUUUAGUGGGCCAAGUGGGAGAAUGUUAUUUCCACAUUAAAAUUAAGUGGGUGGCCCACUAACCUAGUAUUUAGCCAAUUAAAAGAAUACCCAAUAUCUUUAAACUGUUAUAAAGAUAUUUACCCUUGAUGGAGUGGGUAAAUUAUAAUAAUUUUAAUAUUAUUAUUUGGAAUAAAAACAGUUAUUCGAAUAACACGUUUAGAACGAUUUUUGAACGUGUAUUCUUGGCCCUCUUCUCCUAUCAAUAAGAUAUAUAUAUAUAGAAACCCCUUCAUGUGCGGUGAGUGCUCUCUUCCAUCAAUUACAUAAAACAAUUCUGUGCAUUAAGGUUUGAUAAGGAGAAGAAGAGAUAAAGGAUUUAAGAUCUAUAAACUGAAGGGAAAUCUCUCAUGGCUGCGUGUUCUUCAAACGGUAUGUAAUCUAUUUUUAAUUAAUGUUUUUAUUACUUUAUUAUCAGAGAUGAGUUUGAAUUCAAUGAUCUGGAAUAUUGUGUGUUAAUUUUCGUAUUAAAUAUCAACAUCUUUGCUAUCACAGACGUAAUCAGAAGAAGAGGCCAAGCAAGCUGCCUCUAGUCUAGGUGGCACAACCCAAAUAGAUGGAAUUGGAGAUAUGCUUGAAGUGAGUUUGAAAGAGGUUAUUUAGGCACAAGCACAACAACAUGAAUUGUCGUUUAAGCUUUUGUUGAUGAUUCAAGUUGGGAUUCUGAGAAACUAGAGUUGAGUUGGAGUGCCUUGGCUGAUGAGGUAGUGCGCCAAAACCCAAUGAGCCCUCUAAAAUCAAUAUGGUCAGUUCUUUUCCAGACUACCAGCAAUCUGCAUAGGUCUCCUCAUGCAACCACCAGUGGUGCAGUCUCAGUCCUAUCCCUGGGCCUCACUCCUGCAUGGCUACCUUAAUGCACACUGUCCUCUCCCAAAUGCAUUUCUAUUGUUUCUUUGUGAUCUUACAUGUUUUUAAUCGGGUUUUCAAAUGUUUUUUCAUUCAGAUAAUCUCGGGUUUAAAAAUUAAUCCUUAAACAUUUUUAGGCAUUAAAAUCCUAAUUUUUAAUAAACACUUGCAACCAUUCUUCUCCUAGCAUGAACCUUCCUAAUUUUCUUUAAUUUUCAACAAUUUUCUCGAUUUUUAAUAAACAUGAAUAAAUUCCAUAAUUCCAAAAAUAAUGGAAUUCCUUCCAAAUUCCUGUAAUUCCUCUAUAAUCAUUAGAGUUAGAAUUUAUAGGAUUAGCUCAUGCAAAAAUAAAAUUAGGCCUUGAUGGGAGCCCAACAUCCAUGAUAUUUUCCUUCAUAAUAAUCCAAGUGAAAUGCAUCUUAGGUAUUUAUUGACUUUGAUCUGUUUGUGAAGUGUGUGUGAUUAUUUUCUAUGGUACACUAACCUUGUUUCUUUGAGACAUUUUUGUUGUUGCAUAGGUAUGCUUUCAUCUCUACCUUGUCUAUUUAUUUAUUCCUCAUUAUCAUGCAUGAUUUGUUUUAGUCCAUGACUCUUGCUCCUUGGCAUCCACCAAUUAACUAGUCAAUUACCAUACUUGCUUCAACUUGAUUAGUAGAAACCUGAUUUUAGGGCUUGGAGGAGUGCAAUGACUUAUCAUCAUAACUUCUUAAUAGAUAACUUGACCCUCGGAUCCUAACUCAGUUUUCACAAACUUGCUUUUCCCUUUUAAGAGUCACAAUUAGGGGUUUUUUUUUUUUUCUUAUUUUGUUUUCCUUUCUUAAAAAUAAUAAAAAAUAAUUGAUGACUCCAAGUCUUUUCCUAAAAAUAAAAUAUUUCACAAAUAAAAAGCGAGUCAUGCUAUCAAGUGGAAAUGCAUGUGAAAAAUGCAAGUCCACAAGAUCCUAUAAUGGGGCAUUUUUCACCACUUUGAGCUUAUUAGAUUCACAUCAUAUUCAAUUGGGGCUUCAUUAGGGACAUGAUUCUAUUCUUGAGACUAUCAAACCUCUUGUCAUUCUGGUCAUCCUUUUGAGAUUUGAUUUGGAGCAUUUCCUUUGAGACAUGGACAAAUUUAUAUUUUGAUUUCUUAGUUCAUUAUCAUUGAGUUGGAGACAUCACGAUUACCAUAGUUUCUUCAGGAGUAUUUUUACCCAAUCAGACAAGUGAGGAUGUUUAUGCUUUUUAAAUAUGUAACAAAGUUCUAUAAUUGCUUCAAUCCAUGUUUUAAAAAUUGUAUUUCUUUCUAAUAUUGGAGCAAACUUUUUCUUUCUUAUAAAUUUCAUUUGGGAAUGAUUUAAAAAUAAAUAAAUAAAACUCCUUCUAAAUAUUAAAAAGUAACACUUUCUUAUAAAAAUUAAUUAGGUGGAUGGUAAGGUCAAAUUCGGGAUAGCUUCAUAUUUUUUGCUUUAACUUAAAAUUAAAAUCAAAAUUAAAGUAAUAAUUUUUAAGGGGUAAUAUUGAUAUUGUAAGAGUUUUACUAAACAUGAAAGAACUUCUUAUAUAUAUAUAAAAUAGAAUUAUAAAAUUCUUAUAAAACAUAACAUUUUGAUGACUUGUACAUGAAAUCUUUUUUAAAAGUUAUAAGUUUUUUAAAAAUAUAUAUGAAAAUCACUUUUAAAAAUCCAAAAAAUCCCUUAAAAAUAAUUUCUAAACAUUUUUUUAACUUAGAUUUAAAAAAUAAAUGAGUAAAAAAUGAUUUGUUUUUACUAGUUAUUUAAUUUUAAGGAAGCAAUAAAGGGUUUAAUUUGAUGUAAAAUAAAAGAUAAAUAAAUAAAUAAAUAAAUAAAAUGAGGGUUGAAAAGUAAUUAAAUCACUAAAAAAUGGAAUUGGAGUUCCUUCGGUGUGGGGUUAAACUCAAUUUGUCCCAUGCAAUGGAAAUGGACGAUUUUUAUUUUUAUUUUUUUCCUUUUCCUUUAUCUUGGUGUAGUCUUGUGAUAUUGUUACUAAAAUAGUAGGUAAAAAUAUAAAUUAUGUAUCAAUUAUUUUAAAUUUAGAAAAAAAAAAUGCUUAUUUUAAUUUCAAAUAAAUAAAUAGAAAAAAAACUAAUUUUAUCUCAAUUGUGCAAGACUUUAUAAAAAAAUUCUUAUUUGCAAAAUAUUUUGAGUUGUAAAAGUAAAAUUUAAACAAAUCAUUUCAUGACCUUUUUAACAAGUAUCCAUUUAGAUCAUAGUCUAAUUUUUAAAUAUUUGAAUAAUCCAAUUACUCUAAACUAUGUCAUUUAUAAUUUUUUUUAAUUAUUAAUAUGAUACCUAAGCUUCUACAGAAUUGGAAUAAAAUAUGGAUAAGUAAAAAAUGUCAAAUAAAAGAUAAUUUCAAUCUUUUCUAAUACAACAUAAUAUUUUAUCAUGUUGAAUAAAAUUGGAAUGGGCAAAAGUUGUCAAAUCAAGACUUACAUGGAAAAUUCCACCAUUGCAUAUCUCAAUGAUUAUUCUACAACAUUAUCUUUGUAGACUUUUAAUAAUCCAAGAAAUCGACAAAUUAUAUAAUAAUCCCAAACACACAAUAUUCUACAAUUUUUUUGAAUAAAAAAUAAAUAAUGAAAUUUGAAUAAUGCAAACAUUCAAUGAAAUCUUUGGCAUGUUAAUUCUUUGCAGCUUCAACAUGCUGGCAUGUCGGAUGGCGAAGGCAGCAUUUGAGCUUCUGGGUGUUUACCAUUUUUCACUAUGAACGCAGUUUCCAUGCCCCAAGUCACAUGGCGUUCUACAUGGCAGUGCAUGAACCACACUCCUGCAAUAGAGCAAAUAUACCAACAUUACACCUAACUUAUUGCAAUAUUAAGAAAAAUUAUUUCAAGGGUUUUUUUUUAUAAUAGAGGACGUGAGUGCUUGCAACAUACCAGGGUUGGAUGCCUCAAAUCUGAUUGCAACCCAACCAUUCGUAGGAACGGAGAUGGUACUCUGAAGGGGAGGAUCCACCAGAUUAUAGCGUAAAGGGUCCCUAUUUUUAUCGAAAUUCCCAAAUCCCCAUCCAACAAGGUAGAAACUGUAUCCAUGGAGAUGCAUGGGGUGGUGUGUCCCUGCAACCAAGUUUGUCCCUUGAAAAACAAUCUCCACUGUGGAGUUAUACUCGAGCACCCUUACUUCUGUUCCGAUUUCUGGCGUCUGAUACUCUAAUGGAAGAUAAUCAGCUGUAAAAUCAAACACCAGUGGUGGAACGCUAGGAAAUUUAUCUCCAUAUACACCACUGAUGUUAUAAUAGUAAGCUUGUAGUAUGUCAAUCGUAGGGGAUUGGAAGCUUAUGUUGUUUAUACUUGCGGAGAAUCGCGUCCCAUUGGGCCCUGCACAUGAAUUAUUAGGGCAUAGGAACGAGUUUACAGAAACAGUGUAAAUUAGUUUAGUGCUCGGGCUCAAUGGGACAUUGGAAGGAUGUUCCGCAUCUACUAAGCUUCGGAGGCCAACCAUGACCUGAACCGAUGCAUUUGUGUCAUUAUAUGCAGGAAAAUGAGGCAAGGAGAGAGGUGAAGAUGAAGUGUAGUAACCUCUAUAAUGUACAAUAGCUGUGGUGGUUGUGUUAUCAUAAAAAUUUUGAGCUAUCGGGGCAAUGGAAUAAGUUUUAGCCGCCAUGUAAUAGUGAUCUGGGCGUUGGUUAGCUUCUAGUAAGACAUCGAGGUUUGGCCAGGAUAUAUUGUGAUAUAAUCUCGUGUCAAUGGUUUCGUGUAGCUACCAUAUGUUCCAACCACUGUCAUUUUAUGCUUGGCAAUGGAGAAGAAGAGAGCCUCAUGCAAGGCAGCAUUGAUUAUGCGAAGUAGAUAGGUCUUUCCAUGAUCCACUCUUAGCUUGAAUGUGCCUGCAAUUAGAAAGGAAAAGUUGUAUACUUAUGACUAGCGAAAAGAAAAAAACUUUCCAUGAGCAUCCACCAAUUAUGAAGUGAUUGAUUAAUUAAGGGUGUAAAUUUGGCUCCAUAGUUCAAAUUUAUAUUUGGACUAGCCUUUUCUUAUGUGUUAAGUCAUGGCUCUACCAUCCUCAUAGCUAUAUUCCUCUUUCUUAGCAUUAAGUUUUCAAUAUGUUUAUAUUAAUAAGAAAAAGUAAUAUGGUUAACAUACAAGAAAAUGACAUCAGUGCACAAUUUUAAAAUGGGAAGUUAAACUUUAUACCUGAUUUUGAGCAUGGAUAUAGAUCACUGGGUUGUCCAUUUAUCAAUAAAGAAUCAGAGGCAUUAGGGUCAGCUCUGGUUGCAAGCCCUUCAUCUCGAACCGCAUUCACAUCACUCUUCCACCAUUGUCCUGCAUUUCAACAACUCCAAUAAUUUAGAUUUCGCUUUGUUAGUUAAUUCAUGAUAUGGAAAUUAACCUUUAAAAGGAACUACACUUAUACCUAAUAUGAUGGGAAUUUCUGCGUUAGGUUUGGGAAAAGGAUACUUGGUUCCAUUCUUGGGAUAAACGAUUAUAGCUCCAUGAACAGUGGCUCGGGUCCAGUCAUUGUGAGCAUGCCACCAUAGAGUGCCUUCCUCGGAGGAAAGGAUGAUCUUUUGGCUAAACUUUGACCCUGGUUGAAUUGGGCAUUGUGUGAUAUACUCGGGACCAUCUGUCCAUGGAUAUCUAGGCAUGUUCACCCCAUGCUUGCAAAACAAUAACUAUACGUUAAAACUAGUACUAAUUUUCGGACUAACAAAAGAUGGCAUGUAGCAACAUAUUAUCAUAGUAACAAGAGGCAUCAACUGUAUUUCAAUGGAACUAAUGCAAAUAACCCUAAAAUAUUAUUUUAAAUUUAACUUUAUUUGCAAAGCAAUACAUUGCAGCCCCCUCUUAGAAAUAAAAGAAUGUAUGUCAUGGAGGCAUGCUGCCCACUGCUAUCUUUCUCCAAGACACGAUAGGACUUACCAGUGAAUGGUGAUAUUUUCUUUUCCCCUAUUAUAAACAUCGACGAUGAUCAUCUCUCCUUUCUUAGCAUAUAUAGUUGGUCUUGGAAAUUGUCCAUUUACUGUUAAGAUGUUCUUGGUGCUACAAAGCCUUGUAUAUGAAGCCUCCUUCACCUGCAACCAAUUAAAAGUUAACCAUGCAACCUCAUCCCAAAAGAAAUAUUACAAGCAUGAAUAGUUGCAUCGAUCCACUCAUGCAAGUGCAUAACCAAUUAGAAAUUGAAAGCAUGCAUGAACGACUCAAUGACACCAGGGUACCCGAAGACACCAUGAGGGUCAUACGGUGGAAAAUGAGAGCCAUACUGCUCCCUAAAUAUCAUGAACAAAAGAUGGCGUUAAGGCUAGAAUCAUAUAAGUAUUUACCACAAAAGUAAGCCGACGAGUUGAAGCUUGGCAAUGGAUGCCACCACCAAAAAGUAGAAACGCUAAAAUUUGCAGGAGGAAAACCUUCAUGAUCAGCCACAUCUUCUUUGGAAUAAAAGCCUCUUCUCUUGUCCUAAACACAACUCCUUCAAUUUUCUUACUAUUUCUAAUAAGCACGACUUAUCUUCUCUUUGACAUGAAUAGAUGAAUUCUUAAAGGUAUUUAUAGAGGCUGGAGAGGACCAAAACUGGAAUUGGUGAAAGCUGAACAGCCGGUUUCUCUCGAACUUUUGAUGUAUUUUUUUAAUAUAUAAUUCAUAAUCUAUUCAAGAUGAUUUUCCUGGGGUACAACAAUUCCUCGCCGCGUAUCAAUAUAAGAGAAGUAAUUCGAAUGUGUAUUGGUUUUUAAAACUUUGACCUCUCAUAUAUACAGUACCUUUAUCAAGAUUAGUCAAUAUUUUUUCUUUGUUUUUGGUAUGAAGGGAAAAGUCAGCGCUAUAUAAUCAUAAUCCAUCAAAGAUACACUAUAUGCUACCAUGGGCGUACCGGCCAUUAGUAAUGGGCCAAAAUGUUCUCCAUGAUUAAAAAUAAAAUAUAAUCAUGGCAUAAAAAUGACCCUCAUUUUCAAGAGGUGACUUUCUCCUAGAAAGAAUUAAUUUCCUUUUUAUUUUCUCAUCGGGAGAAAGUUGGAGACUCACAUUGUUUAUAUUUUUAUAAUAGUUUUAGUUUAGUUUUAAAGCUUCCAAAAACUUCUCCCUUAUUUUUAUUUAUUAGGUUGGCUCAGUCCACUUGGGUACCCAAAAACAAACCCAAUAAAUAAUUAUUUAUUGAAUUGGGUCAAUCCCAAUAUUUUCAUAACCGAAUCAGACAUUGAAUUAGAAAAAUUAUCGAUUCAUAGGUCACUGGUCAGACUAGUGACCGAACCGGUGACAUCAUACAUACAUAAUUUAUAUUUUAUUAAAAUUAAAAAUAAUUUUAAAAUAUAUAUAUAUAUAUAUAUAAUUAAAAAUUAAUAAUAUUUGCAAUAUUAUUUAUUCAUUUUUAUAUAAAUGUAUUAAUAUUGUUAAUUUAUUAAACAAAAUAUACAUAAUAUUUAAAUAUGAAAAUAUAUUAAAAUGGGUAUAUAUAUAGGUAGUCUUUGAGUCAACAUGCAUAACAAGAUUGGACAUCAAUUAAUUCAUUUAAUAAUUAUGUUGAUUAGUUUAAUUAUACUUUUUAAAAUAUUUAACUCAUAUUUGACACAUUUUAAAUUUGAUUUUAAAUAAAUAGGUUAAUUGAGUCAUAAAUAUAUUAGUCAUAUAAAUUAACACAAGACCUAACUCUACUUAAUUAUUAAAUGGGACAUAUGAGUUACACGAUAUGUUACUUGUUUAGUAAUUAUGUAGUAUUUUAGGUUUACGUUUUUAACCAGAUUAUUAUUCGUGUCGAGUUUGACACAACACAAAUAUGACCCACCAACACAAAUUGUAACCCCUAAGCUUGUUCACUCAAAAAGUAAAUUUAUACUAAUAUUUAAUUACCUAGUUUAAACUAGUAGGAAUAUUUUUAAAUUAUUGCUUAGUUUUUUUAAAAUUGUUAAUAUUGGUAUAUGUAUAUAGUUUCUCUAAAGACAUUCCAUUGAUGUAGAAUUCCAAAUAUAAUUUGUCUAUAUAAAUAUAUCAUAUAUUUUUAAUAAAUAUAUAUAUUGUAAGUUAAAUAUUAUAUUGUAUAAUAUGUUGUACUAUAUGCAUAACUACUAUAUUACUAUUUUACAAAAUAAAAAAUACACUAUAUAAUAGUAAUAUAUUAUAUACAUAAAAAGUUUUUGUGUAAAGUAUCCAACCACAUUUUAAUUAAUAAUUGAUUAUUUUAUUUUUAAAUAAUCUAAUUAUGUAUUUAUUAUUUUUAAUUAUUAAUAACUAUUUUUUCAAAAGUGAUUUGUCAUUAAAAAUAAAAUCAUAAAUUAUGUCAUAAAAGUAGUAAUUGUUGUAGAUGCUAAUUUGUUAAGGAUUAUUAUUAUUAUUUUUACUUGCAUACAUUGUUUAAUAAAAUAUUUAAUUUAAGUUUUAAAUUCCUUACUUUAAAUUUUCAAUUUUAUUUUUAGUCUAAUUUUUAAUCUAUAAGUUCUAAUUUUUAAUUUUUAAUUUUUAAUUCCUAAAUUUUAAAGGGGAAAUCAUGUAACCAUACAUCACCAAAAAAAAUAAAUGAGAUUUUUAGAACUUUGCUUUUACCUUUUUAAUUUUAAUGAAGAUGAGAAAAAAUAUUACCUAUUCAUGUACUUCAAUAGUGCUUUCAGAUUUGUUCCAUAAUUACCCUCAAAAGUAAAUGACAAAAUACACAUCACUUUAAUACCACCUAUUGACAAGUACAUGAAUAAUUUAUUUUUCUUAUUUCUCUCACAUCAACUCCCUCACAUGUCUCACUUACCACUUGCCCCAUUUCCACUUUUUUCUUUUUUCUUUCUUUCUUUUUUUCCCCUCUUUUACCACCAUAAUCCAUAGUCACCUAUUAUAUUUUUCAUUCCUAUUUUUUUUUCCUUUGAUAUUCUUUUUAAUAUGCUCAUAUAUUUUCUCAGCUCAAAAUAUAUGUUAGCUCUGCAACUAAGGUCUUAACACUUAAUUUGGAAAAGGGGGUUCCUUUAUAUAGUAUAAAUCAUAUCAUAUCCUAUUAUAAGGUUGUGCAUCUUGGUUCAUUAAAGAAUUUGGGGAGUAUUCCCUUUAGACCUAGCCAUGAAAGCCUAAGAAUGCUUGACAUUUGCAUCUGGAUGCCUAGUUGGGUGCAUGCAACACAAACCGUGAGUCCAUACACUUAUCACUUGAGUGAUUCUACCCAAACUUAGUCAACUUAUCUAGUAUCCACUACUCCUUAGGCAAAAGAGAAACUAUAAGCAUUGUUGUUAGAAUUUACAUAUCAACCUGAUAAACCAUGAUCAUGCCUUUUAAGGCCAUAAAUCUUAAACAAUAGUAAUCGAUAAACAACUUUUCAAAAUCAUCACUUGCCUUGACUUAAACAUUUAGGGCUUAGUUCCUUUUGCUCUUUCUUACUCGACCUCUUACACUAAUGACUCAAUACGGAAGUCAACUCUUUGUCAGGGGCACAUCUCAACAAUAGUAUAUAUUCCUAACAAUCUAUUGAGCAUUGUCUAACACAAACCUACCCAACUAAUAGUUCCUUCAUGAAGAGAUGGUUGACCUCAACCCUUUUAGUCAACCUACCAUGGAGUAGCAACAUAAACUAUGUCUCUUCCCACACUCUAGUUCAAUUAGCUUUCAACUCUCUCCCAACCUCCAUCUCUCAUCUCAGCCUAUAGGUAAUCCAUGUUUGUCAACCUUCAUUCAGUUAAGAUCUAACUUAAUCUUUGGAGAGGCAUAGCCAAGAUUCACUUUCAAUACCCCUUAGUGCAAGUGCUAGGUGCUAUAGGCAAAUAGAUCAAUCACCACCUCUAAGAAGAAUACUGUUAGAUCACAUCACUCAUGGACCCUAGCUCAAGAGUUUGAGCACCAGUAAUAACUAUGAAAUAACAAGGGUCAAAGUGUAAGAGAUUUAUUUUAAAGAAACAAAAAAUUAAGUAAACAUAAUAAGCUUAGCAUGAUUAAUUAUCAAUUAAUUAUAUAUAUCUAUAUAUAUAUAUAUAUAUAUAUAUAUAUAUAUAUAUAUUUAAUAAAGAAGUUCCAAGUCUGAAACCAUUGUUUAUCUAUAGCCCUUUGGCCUUGUCAAUAUGAAACUAUAUUACAAAUUUAAAUAAUUUCUCAAUGUUUACAUGUGAGACAUUAACAUUGGUUCGAAAAUUACAAAAAAAAAAAAAAAAAAAAAAAAAAAAACAAGGUUAUUUGGACACAUGACUCAAAAUAACUCUCAAAUUAUAAAAAUGGCCCCUCACACUUUAAUUUUGUCGAGAAAUAACUCUUUCUGGAUGCUUUUACCCUUCUUCAUUUUCUUUAUUAUAAAAAUCAUUAUCUUUUAGUAACUGUCUUAUCUUUCAAAUAACACAUUCUUGCUUUCAUUUUAGAUGUUUAUCUAGAUUAAAUAAAUACACAACAGUCAAGUUUGAUUUACAAAAAAAUUUAACUAGAAUUAAAUUCAUUUACAAAUAAUUUAACUAUAGUCAAGUUUUCCAUUUCACCAACAAAGAGCUUGAUUAUAAUGAUAUGAACUUUGUUGUUAUUAAGUUUUAUUUUUAAAAAAAUUUAAUUAGAGUUAAUUUAACAUUUUAUCUACCAAAAAACUUAAUUAUAAUUAAUUUCUUAAUUAAAAUAUUCAUAUGGACUUAAACAUUAAAUGAAAGGAUUAUGUAAUCUCAUCUUCACAUUUUAGAAGUUUAAAUGAAACUACAAAAACACUUAACAAAAAAUAGUAAAAAUUACCACUAAAGGACAACCUCAAAAAAUCCUAACAAAAAUUCCACUAGAAAAAUCCCGACCAAAAAUCCUAGUUGGACAUUGCAAAUAAAUAAAAAUAAAUAAAUAAAUAAAUAAAGACAACCAAAAUCCCAACAAUACAAUUGCGAAAAAUUCUAACAAAAAAUAGCUACAAAAAAAGAAUAAAAAAAAACUAUAAAAUCUCAAUAAAAAAAAUUAUAAAACAACCAUAAAAAAAUACUAACCAAACACACACACACAUAUAAAGGAUAAUGAAGGAUCUUGAAGAAGACCGCAAUAAAACAACAAAAUCUCAACAAAAACCAAAUCCAAAUAAAUAAAAAAAUGCCACUGUUUGAUUAUUGUUCACUAUUUUCAAUUUUUAAAAAUAAGGUGAAAUAAUGAACAACUUUUAGAGAACAAGUAAAAGUUGUUUCCACCAAUUUUUAAAAAUAAUAGAAAAACACACACUCUAUUAUUUAUCUUCUAUAUAGAAUUAUUAUUUCUCAAUUCUUUUUUUGCUAGACAACUUAACUCCAAAUUAAAUAAUUCUUAAAUAAUAAACUCAUUAAUACCAUAAAUUUAUUAAGAUAAUAAAUAUAAUUUUUUCUAACAUAUAAUAAAAUAAUAUAUUUUCUAUUAAAAAUAUAAUUUAUGAUUUUAUUGUCAUAUUACUAUUUAUAUUUUACUAAAAACUAUAUAUUUUUUAAUUUAUUUGUAAUUACAAAAUUAUUUUCAUUUUCAAUAACACUUCACUUAAAUUUAAUUAAAUAAAUGUUAUAUAAAUUGAAUUUAAAAUGUUUUUACAAAAUCAAAACAAAUUUAAAAAAAAAUAAAUAAAAAACAAUUUAUCCAAACAGGUCUUUUUGUUUUUUAUUUUUAAAAUCCUUUUAUAAAAACAACUUGACAAAUAUUCUUAUUUUUAUAAAACAUUUAAAAACUUUUUUUGGUUCUUUGACUUAAAAACAAUUUCUCAAAAAAAAAAAAAAACAUAAGAAAUCAUGAUCAAACAAGAAUUUUAAAAAAAAAUUAAUUGAAGUACUUAUUUAACUUGUAUUAAAAAUGAAUAUUUAUAUCAUUUUUAUCUUAUAGUAAUUUUCACUAUAAUAAUAAAAAAAAUUAUUUAUCUUUAACGUAUACAUAUUUGUAGAUUUAAUUUUUAUUUGUUAAUAAGACUUAACUUAAAUUUGAUUUCAUAUUAUUAUAAAUUAAAUUUAUAAAAUUUUUAUAAAAUAAAAGUAAGACAUUGCUUUUAAAAACAAUACACAUUCUUUCAUCCAAACAAGUUUUUUGUUUUUUGUUUUACAAAAACUAUUUUUAAAACAUCUUAUCAAACACUCUUAUUUAAAAAAAAAAGAAAAAAAUUAAACUGUUUUUUGUUCUCUAUGUGAAAAAAAAAAUUAAUCAAAAUUUUAAAAAAUAUUGCCAAACGGGCCCCUAAGUUAUCCAAAGAUAAUUUUUUUUUUUAAUAAAAUAGAUCCAAUAAAACAUUUCCAUUAAAUAAGAAAAGGGACCCAAAAUUUUCUUUUAAUAAAAAUAAGUUUUAGACAUUUUUUUAGAUAAAAUAGUUCAAAUUUUUUGUUUUAAUAAAAGAAAUAGUUCAGAAUUUUAAAAUAAAUAAAUAAAAGGUUCAAAAAUAUUUUUUUCAAAUAAAAUAAAAUAGUCCAUGCUACUUCAAAAAAAUAUUCUUUUUAAUAAAAGAAAGUUUUCUUAAUAGAAAGUUCAAAUAAAUGUUUUUAGAAGAAUCUAGAAAAAGAAUAAUAAAAAUUCAAAUAAAUAUUUUUAAUAACAAGCUAUCUAGAAAUUCAUUUGUUUAACAAAAGUUUCUAGAAAAAAUUGAUAUUUAAAUAAAAUUGUCCAAAAAGUUAAUUUUAAUAAAAUUGUCCAAAAUUGAUUUUUAAAUAUAAUUCUCUUUCCUUGAUAAGAAUGGGAUUAAAAGUAAUUUUUAUAAAUAGAGGUCCUAAAGAAUUUUUUUAAAUAAGAAUAGUAUGAGUAAACCUUUAAAUCGAACUGAGAGACCUUUUUUUUUAAUAAAUUGGAAAACUAAUCUCCCGCUAGAUGAAAUCCAAAAUUCUUUCUAAAUAUAAUUGGAAUCCUUGGGAACAAAUUUGUGAAAUUCUUUCUCUAAAUAAGUUAGUAAUAAAGAAUCUUUUUCUAGGUAAAAUAAAAUAUAUAUAUAUAUAUAUAUAUAUAUAUAUAUAUUUAAUAAAAUUGGGUUGAAAUUCCUUCUUAUAAAUUUGUAAAUAUCUUUCUUUAAGUUUGUAGAUUUUUUUUUUUCAAAUAAAUAAAGAUUGAAUCAAAACACUUUUUAAAAUAAAUAUGUAAAACUCACCCCUCUUCUUAAUAAGGUAAACAAAAAUCAUUUCUUAUAAAUCAAAUCUUUUGUAAUCAAUUGAAGCCUUGUGAAUAAAUAAAUUAAAAUCACUAAUUUGAAAUUGUUGUUAAAAUAAAUGAAUUCUUUGAAAAUUUCUGGAAAUUGUAUUAUGAUAUUUGAAAUAAUAAAAUCUUUCUAAUAAAUUAUUUUGUGCAUUUCUCAUGUAUCAUUUCCACGUAUCCUUAUAAUUUGCUUUUGCAUUAUUUCAUGUACUUGUACUAUUCUUUAUAUAUAUAUAUUCCUUUUACGUGCUUAUUAGAAACCUUUUUAAGGCUUGAAGGGGUGCUACCCUAUGGUAUCUGCCCAAUAAAUAACCUGACCUCUAGAUUUGGACUCGAUUUUUACCGACACAUCUUUUCUUUAAAAAGGAGUAACAAUAGGGCUUUAUUUCUUUUCUUUUUUCUUUUAAAAAAAAUAAAAAAUGAGUGAUGACUCCAACUUUAAAAAAUAAAAAAUAAAAAAUAGUUUUUUAUAAUAAAAACAAGUCUCACCAUCAAGUGGGAAUGCACAUGAAAAAUGACAGUUCACAAUUGUAUUUCUUAGACUUAAAAUAUAAUACAAUUACUAAAUCAACAAAUGUCGUAAGUUUUUAAAUCUUUGAUGAUACAAGAUUCAAAGUAUAAUGGAACAAAUAGUUUUCAAAAGAAAACAAAUAUUUAAAAUGGAAAAUCUAACAAUAAAGACAAUGAAACAAGGUGAUACAAUAGGAGUUAAAUAGAGAAAUCUUUAUUCCACGAAUUUAUAGUUUAUUUAGUAGAAAAAAGUUCAAAAGAAAUAUUGUAUACAUUAAUGGAUUAAGUAGAUAAAAGGGAUUUAAGUAAUUUGACAUUUAUGCUUUCGUUAGAUAACAUCAAAUAGAUAUUUGAUAUUAUUAGUUUCCAUAUUGACUUUAGAAAUCUAUCAAAUGGAAGUUAAGAUUAUCUUUCUUUGAAUGGUUAUAUAAAUUAAUAGUAUAUAGGGUAACCUAAAGGAUUUAUGACAAGAACACAAAAUUAGGGAUAGAUAUCUACAUUUAGCUAGGUUGGAUUAUAACCAAUCCAAGAAUCAAAUAGAAGUUGAUUGGUUUUAACUAAAGUAUAACAAAUUUAUUUAUUGACUCAAGCUAAUCCAACUUAAUAUUAGUUUGAUUCAAUUUAGUUAACUCAAUUUAGACCAAAAUAUUAAGUCUAUAUGUUUUUUUAUCCACGGAACCAAAAUGAUCAAAUUGUUUUAGAUAAAAAUAAUUUUUUUUUUUACAAAUAAUACAAUUAAAAAAUUUAAAAAUAAUGUGUAGGAGCAAACCAAUGGGUUAUUUUCUUAUUGGGAGUAAGUCAAUGAAUAGUAUUCUUGACAUAUUGGGUGCUUGUGACUUGAAAUUAUAUAUCAUCAUUAUUUAGUCCCACAGUACAAAGAUUUUAAAUUUUAGAUCAUGCUUACGCCAUAAGCCACUUUAAAUUUGUAAUAAAGCCACAGGAGUUAGGCUCUAGGCAUCCAACACCAAACUAUAGCCUAACAAGUUAGCUUUGGAAGAGCAUGAUUUGACUCAUAAAGUCUCAAGAUUCUCCACAACACUCCAAAAUCCAAGAAAUUAUAUUUGUUCCACUCCUCUACUACUUGGGUUUGUUUGCCAAUCCACUUUUAGUAAGUGAUCUAGGUCAAACCUUUCAUAAUCCAAAUACUUAAACUAGUUUGAUCUCUAGUUUCAUUGCACUACCAAAAUAAAGUAAUUCAAGUAGAAAAAACCAAUGGCACAUGCAAGACAAGUUUUGCUGUUGGGGAGGUUUACAAAUAGCUUGUGGAAACCUUUCCUAGAAUAAUUUGAGACAAAUGCAAAUGGGGUUCCUAUGAACUAUUAUGCAAGGCUAGUCAGGCUUAUCUAUCAAACAAUGGAAAUUGAAGAUUUGGGGACCAAAUGAAAGUAAUCAAGUUUGAAGUUGAUGGAAUUGCUUAUUAACUCAAUAUGGAGGCUUAUCUCAAGCACCUUCUCAAUACAAUGCUUCGAGUCAAUUAACUACAUGCAUGCACUAAAGACUUCCACAACAAAGAAAAUUUUGCAAGAAUAAUCUAAAGAGCUACUACAACAGAGAAUGAUCUUCUGAACAUAUGUAAUUGAUUGUGCAUUAAUUAAGAGGGCUUCUCAAGUUGGAUAAGUUGUUUAGAAUUUUUAAGAGGGAAUUUUUAAACUUCACUGAAUUGAUCUAAGAGACAUUUACCAAGUUUUAUCAUGAUAAUAAAGUAUUGAGGAGAAAAUGUACCACCAAAACCAAGUUGUAUUUGCUAAGAAUACUUACUAUAUUCUAUUAAGAAAGAAACUAUCUAGUGGUAAAGGACAAGUUGAUAGUUUUAGUUCAUGAAGUUUUCACUACCCAAGCUAACAUCAAAAUCUAUUACAAGACAAAUCCCAAUAAGGUAAGAUAAAAGGCUGCACAGAAGGGACAUCUUGCUCCUUGUUGAAAAUCUCAUUCAAUUGCAAAUCUACCACAUCAAUAAUGCUCUCUUCUAUAAUUUUCUCAUACCCAAUCCACAAUACUAUUAUUAUACUUAUUCUGCAUGCUUUUUUUUUUCUUGCCUUUCUAAGUUAUUUUUUCUUUGGUUAUAGCAACAACUUCAUUGGUGUGUUAAAUUCUCUUAUAGGUAAUUCCUCAAACAUGUAAUAUCCUCAUUGUUGCUAUUAAGUCUUGCAGUAUGAAACGAAAAAUUAAAAUUCUUGUAUUCAAAAUCAAAUGGAAGCACAUGAAUUAAAAAAAUGCAAACACAAGAGAAACACUGAAAUCCAAUUACAAAGAGUAGUAUCAAAAUUUCCAUAUCUACAAAAUUCGGGUGUUAAGAUUUCUAAAAAUGAAAAAAAAAAAAAAAGAUUCAUUGAGAAAAGACCUACAUCGAAAAAAGAUCAAGGUGUGAGGUUAAGAGAGGAAUUCAACCCAUGCCUAACAUGGAUUCAAACAUAUUGACUAGAUUUGAAGAAUGCAAUUCAUCCAUGGGAACUUGUGUAUCUAAAGAGGGUUGGUUUUUGGAGGUACUAGAAGAUGGUUGGAGUAUGGUGAUAGUUGUUGAAAGGGUUAAUGGUGGUGGGAAUCCAUAACUACUGGUGAAGAGGAAGUUAGGUGUAUUGGAGACUUGAUGAGGAAGAUAAUGUGAGCCUAAUAAAAUUUCCUCCUACUUUUCCCUUCUCUUUCUCUCUUAUAUUCCUCACUAAUUUCUAAGGAAAGUAGAAAGGAAAAUAUUACAAUAUUUUCUUUAGCAUUUUCAUUUAUAUUUUUUUCCAUCAUAUUUCUCAUGUCACCCAAACUAAGGAAAAUAACUUUCCAUAGUAUUUUUUUGGUCCUUUCCCUUGAAUUUUCUGAAAACCAAACACAAUCUUUGUAAAUAAAAAUUAAGAACUACAACAAAUUGUAUAUUCUUCCUCUUUAUUCUUCCAUUUCUACAUCUACUACUCUAUUUGACAUCAUAUUUUUACUCGCUUCUUCAAUAAGCAUUCCUCCCUUUAUACAAAGUUAUCUUCGCACCAAUUCAUAAUAUAAGAAAGAUGAAUGAACCUUGGGGCAAGGUUGGACAACCGGUGGCAACUAGUCAAGGCUUAAAGUCAACUUUUGCUUGACUUUUUUUUGGCAUGGGCAGCGACUUGUGGACCCCUCUUUAGCAUGAAAGUGGCUAGAAUAUGUUAAGCUCUCUUAUUCGAUGGUUAAUGAUGUGUGAACCAUAACAAUCAUAGGUUGGGGAAUAUAUGGUAAUCAUGCAAAUAUCUAUCUAUCUAUGUAUCUAUCUAUCUAUCUAUAUAUAUAUAUAUAUAUAUAUAUAUAUGGUAUCCAAUUAUAUAAAAAGACAUUUUUCAACAUUUGAUAUAAGUAAAAAUUAAGAGGAAAAUAUUAAAAAAAAUUAUUAAACCUAAAAACAGGGACUUAAUAAUAAAAUGAAGCAAAAAGUUAAAAUUAAAACCAAAUAUUAAAUAUGAAUAUAGUUUAAGUAUUAAAAAUAUGAUUAUUUAGGUUUAAUCAUUGGGUUUGCUAGAGUUUAUAUAUAUAUAUAUAUAUAAACUUUGUAAAUUAAAUAUCUCUUUCUAUUAUUUAAAGGAAUCACUGAAAUGAUUGCAUGAAAGAUUUAUUUCAUAGCCUAAAAUAAUGAUAUUGGCAUUAUAUAUAUAUAUAUAUAUAUAUGUUUGUGUGUGUGUGUGUUUACUUUAAUGGUAGGCUGAUUUUUAGCCAUAAUAAUAAUAACUAUAUUAUUGUAUUAUUGAAAUAAAAAGGUUGUUGUCCUCUAAAUUUGAUUUGAAAUACAGGGGUUAUUUCUAACACUAAGAUGAUGUUUAUUUUUUUGUUUGAAUAGAAAAAAUUAAAAUAUUUGAUUUUGUUUAUUUUUUAUUUAACUAAAAGUAACCUGUUGAUAUCAACCAACAUAACUAAAGUGAACUUAUUAUUAAUAGGUUUAGUUUAGUUACGUUGGUUGAUAUCGGUAGGUUAUUUUUAACUAAAUAGAAAAAAUAAAAUAUUUUAGUUUUUUCUGUUCAAUAAAAAAGCAAACACAUCUAAAAUUAGAUAAUAAAAAUACUUUGAGUAGAAAUAAAUUCAUAUGGACCACUAUCAAAUACUAUGCACAAGGAGAAAUUCAGAUCCUCACUUGCUCUUUGAAUUUAAUGCAUUGAAUUUGAUGUUGCCUAAAACAAAAUUAUAUUUCAUGUUGUAUAUUAUGAGUAGACAACCAUUCCUUAUGUUAGAUUUUAGAUAAAGAAUGGAUAUUGGAGAUUGGAGUUGUAACAAAUUAGGAGAUCUUAAUUUUAAAUAUGUAACAAAGUUCUAUAAUUACUUCAAUCCAUGUUUUAAAAAUUGUAUUUCUUUCUAAUAUUGGAGCAAACUUUUUCUUUCUUUCUUAUAAAUUUCAUUUGGGAAUGAUUUUAAAAUAAAUAAAUAAAAGCCCUUCUAAAUAUUAAAAAGUAAACCUUUCUUAUAAAAAUUAAUUAGGUAGAUGGUAAGGUCAAAUUCAGGAUAGCUUCAUAUUUUUUGCUUUAACUGAAAAUUAAAAUCAAAAUUAAAGUAAUAAUUUUUAAGGGGUAAUAUUGAUAUUGUAAAAGUUCUAUUAAACAUGAAAGAACUUCUUAUAUAAAAAAAAAAUAGAAUUAUAAAAUUCUUAUAAAAAAUUACAUUUUGAUGACUUCUACAUGAAACCUUUUUUAAAAGUUAUAAGUUUUUUUUUUUAAAAAAAUAAUUAAAUAGGUAAAAAAUCUUUUAUUUAACUCUUAAGAGUCAAUCAUAAGGAAAUUUAAAUAUAUAUGAAAAUCACUUUUAAAAAUCCAAAAAAUCCCUUCAAAAUAAUUUCUAAACAUUUUUUUAACUUACAUUUAAAAAAUAAAAAGUAAAAAAUGAUUUGUUUUUACUAGUUAUUUAAUUUUAAGGAAGCAGUAAAGGGUUUACUUUGAUGUAAAAUAAAAGAUAAAUAAAUAAAUAAAAUGAGGGUUGAAAAGUAAGUAAAUCACUAAAAAAUAGACUUGGAGUUCCUUCGGUGUGGGGUUAGAUUCAAUUUGUCCCAUGCAAUGGAAAUGGACGAUUUUUUAUUUUAUUUCCUUUUCCUUUAUCUUGGUGUAGUCUUGUGAUAUUGUUACUAAAAUAGGAGGUAAAAAUAUAAAUUAUAUAUCAAUUAUUUUAAAUUUAGAAAAAAAAAAGUGCUUAUUUUAAUUUGAAAUAAAUAAAUAGAAAAAAACUGAUUUUAUCUCAAUUGAAUAAGACUUCAUAAAAAAAUUCUUAUUUGCAAAAUAUUUUGAGUUGUAACAGUAAAAAUUAAACAAAACAUUUCAUGACCUUUUUCACAAGUAUCCAUUUAGAUCACAAUCUAAUUUUUAAAUAUUUGAAUAAUUCAAUUACUCUAAACUAUAUCAUUUAUAAUUUUUUUUAUUAUUAAUAUGAUACCUAAGCUUCUAUAGAAUUGGAAUAAAAUAUGGAUAAGUAAAAAAUGUCAAAUGAAAGAUAAUUUCAAACUUUUCUAAUACAACAUGAUAUUUUAUCAUGUUCAAUAAAAUUGGAAUGGGCAAAAGUUGUCAAAUCAAGACUUCCAUGGCAAAUUCCAUUGCAUAUCUCAAAGAUUAUUCUACAACAUUAUCUUCGUAGACUUUUAACAAUCCAAGAAAUUGAAAAAUUAUAUAAUAAUCCCAAACACAAUAUUCUACAACUUUACAAUAUUCUACAAUUUUGUUGAACAAAAAAUAAAUAAUGAAAUCUGAAUAAUGCAAACAUUCAAUGAAAUCUUUGGCAUGUUAAUUCUUUGCAGCUUCAACAUGGUGGCAUGUCGGAUGGCGGAGGCAGCAUUUGAGCUUCUGGGUGUUUACCAUUUUUCACUAUGAACGCAGUUUCCAUGCCCCAAGUCACAUGGCGUUCUACAUGGCAGUGCAUGAACCACACUCCUGCAAUAGAGAAAAUAUACCAACAUUACACCUAACUUAUUGCAAUAUUAAGAAAAAUUAUUUCAAGGGUUUUUUUUUUAAUAGAGGAUGUGAGUGCUUGCAACAUACCAGGGUUGGAUGCCUCGAAUCUGAUUGCAACCCAACCAUUCGUAGGAACGGAGAUGGUACUCUGAAGGGGAGGAUCCACCAGAUUAUAGCGCAAAGGGUCCCUAUUUUUAUCAAAAUUCCCAAAUCCCCAUCCAACAAGGUAGAAACUGUAUCCAUGGAGAUGCAUGGGGUGGUGUGUCCCUGCAACCAAGUUUGUCCCUUGAAAAACAAUCUCCACUGUGGAGUUAUACUCGAGCACCCUUACUUCUGUUCCGAUUUCUGGCGUCUGAUACUCUAAUGGAAGAUAAUCAGCUGUAAAAUCGAACACUAGUGGUGGAACGCUAGGAAAUUUAUCUCCAUAUACACCACUGAUGUUAUAAUAGUAAGCUUGUAGUAUGUCAAUUGUAGGGGAUUGGAAGCUUAUGUUGUUUAUACUUGCGGAGAAUCGCGUCCCAUUGGGCCCUGCACAUGAAUUAUUGGGGCAUAGGAACGAGUUUACAGAAACAGUGUAAAUCAGUUUAGUGCUCGGGCUCAAUGGGACAUUGGAAGGAUGUUCCGCAUCUGCUAAGCUUCGGAGGCCAGCCAUGACCUGAACCGAUGCAUUUGUGUCAUUAUAUGCAGGAAAAUGAGGCAAGGAGAGAGGUGAAGAUGGAGUGUAGUAUCCUCUGUACUGUACAAUAGCUGUGGUGGUUGUGUUAUCAUAAAAAUUUUGAGCUACCGGGGCAAUGGAAUAAGUUUUAGCCGCCAUGUAAUAGUGAUCUGGGAGUUGGUUAGCUUCUAGUAAGACGUCGAAGGUUUGGCCAGGAUAUAUUGUGAUAUAAUCUCGUGUCAAUGGUUUCGUGUAGCUACCAUCUGUUCCAACCACUGUCAUUUUAUGCUUGGCAAUGGAGAAGAAGAGAGCCUCAUGCAAGGCAGCAUUGAUUAUGCGAAGUAGAUAGG
This 93825-nucleotide long non-coding RNA is filed under the name Vitis vinifera (wine grape). Its description in RNAcentral is "long non-coding RNA (VVIN_LNC007054)". The record is from RNAcentral. Lineage: Eukaryota; Viridiplantae; Streptophyta; Magnoliopsida; Vitales; Vitaceae.